UGGCCACGUGCUAGGGGUCUUGUUCUCACGGUUGCAAACAACCACACACUAUCUCAUCACCUUGCUUUCGUUGUCGAAGAUGCAUGUGUGAUAUGUUUGCAUAAGACACAAACGUUUUUUCUUGACUUUUAUCGAGUGUUGUCCAUGUCUCUUUCACACACGCACACACACUUUUUUCACUCACUCUUUCUAUUUCACUCUCUCUCUCUCUCUAGUUAGGGACUCUCUCACGUCCAUAAGUAUAUGGAUGUUUUGAAAAGUCAAACCUCAGAAAAGUUUGACCAGGUAUAUGUGGAUAAAAACAUUUACAUCUGGAAAGAUCAUUAGAUUCAUCACAACAUGUACUUACUUCAUACUAUCAUUUAUCUUUGGUAUUGUAGAUAUAAGUAAUUUCUUUAUAAACUUGGUCAAAGUUUUAAAAUUUUGACUUUAAGAAAAUGUUGGAACUACAUUAUUGAAUGGAGGGAGUAGCUCUUUCUCUCUCUCUGCUAUCUCUCACGGGCCUCCCCUCUCACACGAACACUCUAUACCGACGGAUUAUACACUCACUAUGUCAGCGUAUAGCUCAGUAUGUUGUUUAGUUGACCGGUCAACCAGUCCACAUGCUGCUUUGUCAGCUCAUGUUCUGUAUCUUCGUGUGCUGGCCCAUGUGGCAGUGGGUGAAAAUAAGUAAACUAGAGGCCCAUCUGACACGCGGAGAUGUAAACGAAAUUGAAACCACUCGGGGUAGCACCCCGCACGCUAGUAAAUUGAGGGAGCAUUGAGGACACACUUCUUCCGCGUGGAGGACGCACUCGCGCACAAUUCACCACUGCGCGGCGGCAUGCACAGAAGAACGCACUCGCGCACACCCAGCACACAACACACACCAGCACACGUGUACACCAGUGUCGCCGCCGGUUGAGAUGGGCCGCGAGGCAGCCAACAAGCGGAGGCGGCUCGAUCCAAAACCGCAUCCAGUAGCCUCCCCGGCGACAUGCUGCUCGUCAUCAUCGGCCUCCUCCCCACCAAAUCUGCCGUGUGGACCGCCCUGCUCUCCCGGCGGUGGCGCCCCCUCUGGCGCCGCGUCCCCCUCAACCUCACCGUCGACAGCUGCCUCUGCGACAGCGAUUGCAAAUGCAUGGCCGCAGUCUCCAAGAUCCUUUCAUCGCACCCUGGGCCAGCCAGACGCAUUGACAUCCGCAUGUUCAGUACCAACUGCAAGGUCCAACCCAAGUUCGACGAGUGGUUCUUAUCCCUGCCCUAGAUUAGCUCGAGGAGCUCAGCUUUGAAGCUGGACGAUGUCGCUCUCUGCCUCCAUCCGCGCUCCGCCUCGCGCCAACGCUGCUCCGCGCCAGCUUCAGCUCCUGCUAUCUUCCCCAGAUUAAUGACGUGCCCGCCCUUCUUCUCCCUCAACUCAAGCACCUCGACCUCUUCGACGUUGUCAUCUCAAAGAAGGCUAUGGAGCACCUGCUCCGCAGCUGUACUACGCUCGAGUACCUUCGUCUUGAGCAGAUCCAUAGGUUCAUUAGCCUCCAUAUCGCCUCGACGAAUCUCCGAUGGAUUUAUGUGUCUUGCUGGCCCCGCAACAAGACAUCAAUUGGGUAGAGAUCACUCCAGCUGUUCCACGUUAUGGUCAUUAAGAAUGCGCCUUUCCUUGAGAUAUUGCUGGUAUCAGAUCUAGAAGGUCCAAGAAAAAUCAGGGUCAUUGACGUGCCGAAAUUGACAGCGUUGGUGCACUCAUCUGCCAAAUUCUCCGAACUCUUUAUUGGAUCCGUAAUCGGGUACAACACUCAUCUUCUUCUCUGUCUUCUUGAAAUUCACAUUUUUAAAUUUCUUCUUGAUGUAUUUACGACCGUCUUCCAGAAAAUGAUUCCCACAAGCUUGACCCAGUCUAUGCGCAUAGUGAAGAUCUUGGCAAUAAAAUCUAUCGGCCCCAAUCUGGAUCAAGUUGUUGGAUUCCAUACAUGCUUUCCGUGCACGGAGAAGCUACUCAUUGAGGUGAAACUUCUUUCCUUUUAGUAAACGGUAAUCACAACGUAGCUCAAAUUUUUCGUAAUUUUCCCAAAUUACGAUGACAAGUGUAGUGUUCAAAACUGCAUCUACGCACUGCACCAAAUGAAAUGUUUUUAGUAUUUUUUUUCUCACGUGAUCACCCGCAUCGUUUUUUUGUUGUAGUACUAUAGUAGCCUAGGCUAGUCAUAGUGGAAAGUAACUUAGACUACUCCAGUAACUCGAUGGUUACCCUAAGAGCAAGUACUAUCUCUGUCCUGGUUUACUCUUCCUAUUUUGUAGUAUCAAAAUUUGACCAUAGAUUUAACUGAAAAAAUGUUAAUGCAUGUCACUAAGAACUAUACCAUUGGAUCCGUAUUUGAACAUAAUUUCAAACGGUGUAAUUUUUAGUGGCAUGCAUUGGCAUUUUCUUGCAUAAAUAUAUGGUCAAAAUUUUAUACUAAAUAAGAGGUAUUACAAAAGUGGGCUAUAACGGCCCUCCACUAUGUAGGCCAAAACACAUGCCAAAUUCACUUGUGAUGCAUUUGGCAUCGAUGCCCCUCCACUGCUCACCUGGUGCCCUAAUCUGGAUCACCUACUUUGCUCCGGCGCCAAAUUAACUCACGCAAUGAAAAAACACUUGCGUGGGAGAGAGAGAGAGGACUAAGGCAAUAAAAACACUUGUUUGGGAGAGUGAGAGGCUGGUGUAGUUGGUUUGAUUGAUUUGUUUAUACAUGUGGGUCUGUGUGCACAACGGUGCCAACUCUCUCACAUCGCGAGAGCGGUGCCAAAAUCUUUUGAUUUGACAUCAAUGUGUAUUAUGGCAUCAGCCACAUAGUGGAAGGCAACAAAUGACCAAGCUCUUCACGUACUCCUAGGUAAAUGAGAGGAAAGAGAAAGAGAGAGAGAGAGAGAGUGAAAAAAUAUCACUAGCCAGCCAACCCUAUUGUAUGAGCGAAUGAUAUUGGUACCUCUUGAUGACACGGCAAUCUUAUACAGCCAGCUGCUCUAAUAUGUUCUCUUCUUUUGCAGAUAAAAAAAGACCUGAAAGUGAAAAAUGUGCUACACUAUAACAAUCUCAUCGAAUGCCUUGAUCUCCAUCUUAUAGAAAUUGAUUUGAUCGACUACCGAGGCAGCACAUCUGAGAUUAAAUUGGCUAGGUUCUUUGUUCUGGAGGCAAGUGUGCUCAAGGUAAUGAGGUUUGGCGUUCUGUGGCGCAACAAUUUAUGGCAUGCUAAUCACCGCAAGCUUCUAAGCCUAAAUGACAAAGUCUCCGCAGAAGCUUAAUUUGUUUUUUCAAACAUCAAGUGGCCAGAGACUUGAAAACUUAUUUGCCCAUUAGUGACUUGUUAGGGCGGUGGAUUUUUUAUACGAUAAUGUUGCAUCCACCUAAAGUAACGAAAGUUCUUACGUGAACUUCCUAGUAAUUCCCUCUUCGUAGGUGCAGCAUUACUCCUAACAUUUGUAAUAUCAGUUUGAAACUUGUAAUAUUGUCGUGUCCUAUUCCUGCAUUUUCAAAAUCCUGCGAAUCAAACAGGUCCUGAGUUGGUGAUGAUGUUGUGCCUGCCAUCUUUCACCAAUAGCCGUCGGAUCUAGAUCUGACGCAUACAAACCAAACUUCUCCAGUUUUGCAAAAAGAUGCCCGCACUUGUUCCCUAUUUACAAACAACUCCUUAUCUCUCACAAUCAGCCUUAUCUCCUCCCCACCACAUCUAGAAGGCCAUGGAAAAAUCUGGCGCGAUGGCCGCUGUCGGCGCCGCCCACCCCCCAAUCUUGGUGUUCCGUGCAAUGCACGGGCAUCUACGCAUGGGAAAUUAUGUCGAACAUGGCUAGUUGUAAGCAGGCUAGGUCUACAGCCAUGAUGAUAGUGACUGCAGAAGGUGAGGCUGACUGUGGUAUGCCGAACACGGCGCCUAUACUCAGGUGUCAUCUCUGGCGUAGGGUCUUGUCACUUCACUGUGAGGAGCAGCACGUAAUAAUUUGACCAACGGAUAGUACAAUGCUACUACAUUGGUAGUACUACUACUACUAGUACUAGCACCACCGUCCGGAUUUAGUAGUACUACCACGUCCAUUUGGAUUUAGUAUUUGACUAGCAAUAUCUAGUAAGGCAUGUCACAAAAAAUGUAUUACUCCCUCUAUAAAUAAAUACAUGGUGUAUUGUUUUAUUCCUAUCGAUGAGGUAACUUAAUGUCUUUUUGCUACUUAAUAGGAUUACAUGCAAUGAACUAACCACUGCAUGUGAUGUUUGGUAGUCUCAAGUCAUUGAAAGCAUGCACGGGCAUGGAGGGGGACGCGGCUUCAUUGACUUACUGCACCUCCCUUUGGGUGUAUGACACGUGGGCCCAACGGGUGGCGGCCAACCUGUCAUACAGCCAAUGGCAGGUGCAGUAGAGGGGCGAGGAGUAGAUGGCCAACACGCACGUGAAUUCAACAUAGUCUGCACUUCUCAUAUAAAGGCUCCCGCCAAUCCAAUCUACGAAAUCCUAUGCACCUACGUACCCAAGGGCAAGAGUGAUCACUCCAGUCGCAAGAUCAGUUGACUAGAAGCUAGACCCAUGGAGGCGAUGAGCGCGAGCAUCAGCCGACUGUGCCAGGUGGUCCACGACGCCGGCCUGCGGCCCGGCACCGAGGAACGUCUCCAGGUAGUGCUUGAGGCCGCCAGGGCGAGGGCCGCUUGGACGACAGCUUCGUCUCCUUGUUCGACGAGGUCCUUGUCGGCUUCCUCGGCAAGUUCACCAUUGUCAAGAAGCUCGCGAACGACCUUGACGUACGCCUCCAGCCCACGCGCCCAGGCUCUGCGAUGCCUGCCACCCUCAACGGCCUUUAUGGUGACAACCUCUUCGACGCACUGGUGGCCCUGUGACUGCCCGCCGUCGCGCCGGAGAAUGUCCACCUCAAGGUCGCGCUCGCCGCACGGCGCCUGGCGCAGCAAGACACCAUCGACAUAAUCACCCACGUCUACGCGCAAAUCAUCCACAAGGACUACUACAUGCAAGAGGAGGACGAUAGGAUGCUGGCCUUCUUGGACUACAGGGCAACCUUGGACGGCAUUGUUCAGAAGCACGUUGAGCUUGCCGCCAAUGCCGUUGCUCCUCACACGUGGGUUGGUGACCCGGUGCACUAGGGCGUGAGGAUGUUGUUGAUGGAUCCGUAUGUAUCUUUAGCUUUCCGUCAAAUCCAUGUAGUAGUAUAUGGUACUACUAGUAAUUAUCUUACCUUUCGCAUCAACUUCAUAAUUUUCCUACGUACUCCAUGCAUGAACCGCGCCAGAACCAAACUUCUCAUUACUCUAGGGAAAAUCGUUAUUUCUAUCUAUCGGUCGCCCCAUGGAGCAAAACCAAAUUUUACAAGUUACAAGUUCAAAAGGAAAAGCCUGCCAUGUUCACGUUGCACCCUCACACGGUUUGUCCGGCACGCCGCUCAAGGGGGAAUGCGUGCUGUGUUGCAUUUUCACUUACAAGUGGGACCGCAGUUGAGCAAACCAACUAUCAGCAAACCCCCACCCCGCCCACCGCGUGAUGGCUGAGAAAACAGGAGGGAGAAGAGAUGGUUGUAGCUAGCACGGACUCCAAGAAAAUUGGUGUCGGAUGGGACUCGUGUGGGUGGCGUGUGCCGUACUGCUAGACAUGAAUGCUAGUUAUGGCCCAUGCCACCCCACUAUAUCGAUGUGCUGGUUACAUAGAACAAAUUUCCUGGAGUCCGUGCUCAGCCCUCCUCUAUGUCUCUUCUCAGCCAGCCAGCAGACACGAGGAGCCCAUCGUCUGUUUGCUCAUAUGCAGUCCCACAUGUCAGUGAAAACGCAAGAGGACCCACUGAACCUACACAUCUUUCACCUCGACGUGCUGGUGAUGAAAAACAAAUCCAAUAAAGAUCUUCGGUGGCCUCUUUUGGAGUUUCUCAAGAGUAGUAAGAUUCUAUUUAUAGUUUAACCCAAGAUGCACAUCACGUGGCUUCACCUACCACUCUAUUUUCUUGCAUGACACGACCUAGAUGUUGGAUGUCCCACGUGUCGGCAAAAGGAGGAAGAACUCGACCAAAUCUUCAGUUGUGCUCUCGGAUUAGACUAGUUGUGCUAACUUAAAAUUUUAUUGUGUAGAAUGGAUGCAAGUUUUGGUAUUGGGAAGAAGAGUGCAACGAAAUAUAGAUAGAGCGCAAAUUAGUAGAUGUUCUAGCACUUUUAGCUAGCAUAGAGGCUAGAGAUGAGACUAGUGCACUUGUUGAUAGAAUAAAGGCUAGACACGUCUACUUCUUUACACUAGAAGAAGAAAGAAGCAUGCAAGAUCGAGCCUCCGCAGAUCAGCAAUGAAUGCAUCGAGAAGGCACUAAUCCAACUUACAGGAGCAGUUAUGGAAGUUGGACAUCUUCUAAAAUGUAUUGUUGUGGUUCUUGUUUUCUUUGGUCUUGCUUUUCUAGUCAAAAUUUUGGUGAUGUAUUUCCAUGUACCAAAAAAUCAAUGAUGAAAAAAAGAUAUGUGUUUGCAAAGAAAAAUGUACGCGGCCGGGAUGCGGUCGCGUGUUCGGCGCACGACCACCGCAUCCAAGAAAUGGCCCGGACACGACCCCAUUGCCCUACCCAAACGGACAGAUCUGGGCAAAACGGAGGUCCGUUUGGGGUCGUGCGUUGGAGUUGGCCUUACAAGUGGGACCGCAGUUGAGGAAACCGACUAUCAGCAAACCCCCACCUCGCCCGCCGCGCGAUGGCUGAGUUAGAGAAACGACGAGGUUGAAGAGAUUGCUGUAGCACGGACUCCAAGAAAUAUGGUUUCAGAUGGAAGUCGUGUUGGUGGUGUGUGCCGUACUCCUGGACGUGAAUGCUUGUUCUGGCCCAUGCCACCCUACUACUCCUACUACUUAGGUGGUGUUUGGUUCUCUAGUCCUAGGACUUUUUCUAGUCCCUAGGACUUUUUGAAAAAGACUCUCAAGGAGGUGCUUCUAAGGACUUUUAGCAAAAAGUCCCAAAAAAGUCCCUGGAACCAAACACCCCCUUAUAGUAGUAGUAGUAUCGAGGAUUCGAGGUGCUGGUUACAUACAGCGAACACAUUAACAUAUGGCCCACCUCACACUGUGGCCAAAUUUCUUAGAGUCUGUGCUAGGUUAAAAAGUGUUCUUUGUGAGGAUGGGUGGCUGGUCUCAAGUUUAAAACUUGUUGUAUUAUGUACGUAGACGUAGAGAUAGUGCAGCAUGUGAAGCUAGUACAAAUAGUGUACUAUUGUUGAUUGGCCUCAUCCGAUAACCUGUUGCAAUGCACGUACAAUUAUGUAUUCGGAAAAUAUUUUUUUGCCUCGUCGCAGCACCCACUCAGAGAAGCAACUCGAAAGCCAUUCAUAAAUUUAGUAAGUUUAUCACAGGCAUAUCAUUUUAUUACAUACAACAGAUCAUCAACCCACAAUGACAACGAGGAUACAUUAUAAAUACUAAAGUUUUCAUCACACAACAAAUAACAAGCAAUGAAAUGAACUUCAACUCAACCAAUCCUCGGCGUUGGAAACACUUGCUUUGAACCACAAGUGAUUCUCUCGGAAUGGCCAGCUACUGUCAAUCUCGAGACCAACAUAAAACUGAUCAUCCAGGCUGAAGCGACCUACUAUAUCACGACCAGGGUAGGGAACCACCGCAAUGUCUGAUGUAUAGAUACAGUUGCUUCUCAUAAAUGGUAGUAAUGUUGUGUCAACAAUAGUUGGAUCGCCUUUCACCAUCAUUGGAUAGUUUUGUCCAAGGAAGAGCGAGUUUGCACCAAGACUAUCAAUACUGUACCAGGGAGAAGGUGUUGGCGCUAGCACAGUAGUAUCCAUCCCGAAUACCAUACAAUGGGUGUUGGAAUAGGUCCGGAGAGUGCGACCAUGGGAGACAACACCUGCUUCCUUAGUAGUAACAUCAGUAGUGGGCUGUAUACAGACAAGAAGGAGUGAUCCAUCAGAAGUUGCCAGGCGCCAUUGAGUAUAUCGGCCCUCCUCGUCCUCAUCUCCCCCUUGGUUAUAAAUUUUUUCAAGUAUAGGUGGUGGAAUGUCCACAAGACCUUGGAAACACAAGAAGAAGGUUAAUUAGUAGAGAAGGGAAACUUGCUAACUCGCAUGCAUGUGGAUGAAACAAUUAUAAUUAUGGUGGAAGACAAACGUACCGAAACUACGAGGAUCCCAUGCAAAAACAGUGCCACGAGUGGUGGCAGCAAACACAAGACCCUCUUAUUCAAUUGCAUCACAGUAUACAUCCGUGUAUAGAAUCUAAUUUUUUAGCAAUAUCCAUCUAGUCGAACCACGAAUGACGGCAACAAGCUUGUCGAAGAUAGCAACAACUUGAUAGUUCUUGUAAUUCCAAGAGCGGUUGGGAACUCGAGAAAUUGCUAUCUUCCGUAGAUGAUAGUCACCAUGAUCAUAUUUGAACAUACGUAGAUCAUCUGUUGCUCAACCUCAGGGCACUCGGAGAUUUUUGGAAGUGGAAUCCGCUGACGAGUGUACACAUUCACAAGUUCCCACUCGCAAUUGUACCCAAUAUAAACAACCCAAUAUUCAUUUGCGUCUGCCCAAGCCUUGCCCUCAAGCGAUGGCAUCUUAACAUCAUACGUAUCAUUAUCAAGCGGCAUCAACUUGCACAAGGCGAGGCUUCCCUUGUCCCCGCACCAGUCAGCAAGGUCACGACGAAGAAGAUAGGGGAGAUCAAACUGCUCCUGGACCCUUGGGUUCCUUGUAAUGAUGUUACUAGUUGAGUCAAGAAUGGGCUUGAACGAACCUGCCAUGCUAGCCGAGGUGAUGAUGUCGCACCGAUCAAUGAGUUCCCCCACCACGUCAUCUUUCAGAUCGGGGCAAGAAUAACGGGGUCGUUUCCAGCCUGUUCCCUCCAUGGAGAAGACGAUCGAACAAUGGCAGAAGGAAGGGUGAAGGCAAAUGGAGGAGGGAGGAAGAGCGUGUGACAGCAGUUCCAAAUCAAGAGGGAAAGGCGAAGAGUCGAUGGACGGUUGCCAGUUUGCCACGGUACAUGAAGAGGCGCCCCGACCUACACGUCCUUUCGGAAAUUGUACAAAAGGACUCGUCGUCUUCUCACUGACAUGUUGGAACGGGAUCACAUGUCAACGAAACAUGGUGUGUAAUUUCUCGUGCAAAAUGCGAUCUGGCCGCUUUGUCCCGAGGUGCCGCAUUAGUUAUCGACCUUUAUUUUUUAACAUACAAUCUAAAUGGAUAGCUCAUGUGGUCAUCACACGUGAGCGGAUAUAUAGGUGGGCUAGGUGGGUAGUCGGCAACAACCUAAGUGCUAAAAGAGUUGAUCUCGAAAAAAGAGUUGAUCCAAUGCUUGGUUUUGUUUGGAUUUUCCAACUAUGACCAUUGGAUAGAGUGAAUCAAUGGCUUACGAUCAAAGUUAUUCUCAUUCUAUAGAAUGGUAUAGGAACGUGGAGAGAUUUGGUUGAUUAUAUAUCGCUGAAUAAUAUAAAAUAUUAUGAGUGCAGACGCUCCACCCCGAGGUUUGUAGCUCCUUCUCGGUCGUCGGGAAUCUAUGUUCUUCCACUCUUUCGUUGAAGACAUGAGCUUUGUUCAUCCUAUUGCCGACACACGGGACAUCUAUAUGCCUCCAUUUUACAAAAUCAUACUAUAUGCCUCCAUGACACGCGGGACAUCUAGCAUCAAGGUGGCGUGUCAUGCAAUAAAAUGGACAUAUGCAGUGCGUAAGUGAGUUGUGCACUUCGAUGGCACCUAGUACUACGCAAUAUUUUUUCUCCUUGAUGGCACGUGAAUAGUGCACGUACUCAAUGACAGAGCACGCGAUGGUAGCCAUGGACAUGGUCGGCCCUUUUUUAAGAGAGUACUAAUAAAUAACUUUGAUGUGUCCCGUCAACUCGCAGAACGACGAGAAGCUUUCUUACUACGCCUCCUCCCUCGCCAACGCGUGCACGGUGGCUCACAGCACAAGGAGAAACUUUUGCUUACAAGCGGUGGACGUGCAGCAGUUCAUUUGGUGUUAGAUUGCCAGAAGUACUACUGUAGUACCAUCAUUAUUGUUCGACUUCCAGAAGAGGAGAAGAGCCAAGCACAAGGUCACCUACUAACCUAGUACGGUACUACUAUAGCCAAUGCUGGUCCACCUGUUUAGAGCAUGGUUAAUUAAUAUAGCGGUUCUUGCAGCGGCACAUCAUUUAGAGCAAGUACUCUCUUUGUAGGAACAAAGGAAGUGAAACAAAAGUUGGAGUCGAUGCUAUAUUGCCAAUUAAAACAUGAUUACAUAGGGGAAAAAUCCUAUAGAAUUCUAUCCUAUGAAUCAAACGACCAAUGUAGGAAAAUUAUGAGGGGGGUCUCUCCAACAGUGUUCGUUGGCUCGCACCUAGCAUCACGGUGGUCGAACUUGGAGUCAUUCAUCUGGUACACGUGGCAUCUCAGAUCUGGACACAAGGUGACGUGACCUCUCACUUCCUCCACCAUUUGAACUGGCGCACCGGUGGAGGGCUAGCAUACUCCAAUAUUAGGUUGGCUCUAUGUGAUGUGGCAACUUCAUAUACUAACCGGAUGUUGGCUAUACUACUACGGUACUCACACUCCAAGAAGUGACUCGAAAACCAUUCAUAAAUUAAGUCUAUGACAUGCAUUUGCAACUGAAAUGUACCAUUCAUUAAAUACAACAAGUCAUCAACACACAACGACAACGAGGAUACAUGUUGGAUUAUAGAUUAUUUCCAACAAAACAUUCUAGCAAAUACUAAAGUUUUCAUCACACAAAAAAUAACAAGCAAUGAAAUGAACUUCAACUCAACCAAUCCUCGGCGUUGGAAAUGCUUGCUUUGAACCAUAGGUGCUCUGGGAAGGGCCAGCUAUUGUCAAUAUCGAGAGCAAUGCAGGACUGAUCAUCUAGGCUGAAGUGGCAUAUAUCAGGACCAGGGUAGGGAACCACCGAAAUGUCCAAGGUAUAGAUACAGUUGCUUCUCAUAAAUGGUAGUAACAUUGUGUCAACAGCAGCUGGAUCACCUUUCACCAUCAUUGGAUAGUUUGGUCCAAGGAAGAGCGACUUUGCUCCAAGACUAUCAAUACUGAACCAGGGAGAAGGUGUUGGCACUAGCACACUAGUAUCCGUCCUGAAUACCAUGCAACGGCUGUUGGAAUAGGUCAGGAAAGGGCGACCAUGGGAGACAACACCUGCUUCCUCAGUAGUAACAGUCUGAGUGCACUGUAUAUAGACAAGAAGAGGUGAUCCAUCGGAAUUAGUUGCCAGGCGCCACUGAGUAUAUAAGUUCUGCUCCUCCUCAUGCUCGUGAUCAUCACCAUCAUCAUCUCCCCCUUGCUUAUAAAUUUUUUCAAGUAUAGGUGGUGGAAUGUUCACAGGACCUUGGAAACACAAGAAGAAGGUUAAUUAGUAAAGGGAAACUUGCUAACCCGCAUGCAUGUGGAUGAAACAAUUAUAAUUACAAUGGAAGACAAACAUACCGAAACUAUGAGGAUCCCAUGCAAAAGUAGUGCCACAACACAAGAUCCUUGUAUUCAAUUGCAUCAUAGUACACAUCCGUGUAUAGAAACUGAUUUUUGAGCAAUAUCCAUCCAGUCGAACCACAAAGGACGGCAACAAGCUUGUCGAAGAUAGCAACAACUUGAUAGUUCUUGUAAUUCCAAGAGCGGUUGGGAACUCGAAAAAUUUCUAUCUUCAGUAGAUGACAGUCACCAUGAUUGUAUUUGAACGUACGUAGAUAAUCUGUGUGCUCAACCUUAGGGCACUCUGAGAUUUUUGGAAGUGGAAUCCGCUGACGAGUGUACACAUUCACAAGUUCCCACUCGCAAUUGUACCCAAUAUAAACAACCCAAUCUCCAUUUUCGCCAGCCCAGGACUUACCCUUAAGUGAUGGCAUCUUGACAUCACACGUAUCAUUAUCAAGCGGUAUCAACUUGCACAAGGCGAGGCCUCCGUCGUCCGCACCCAUGCGAACAGACUUAUAGCAAAGAAGAUAAGGGAGAUCAAGCUGCUCCUGGACCCUUGGGUUCCUUGUAAUGAUGUUAUUAGUUGAGUCGAGAAUGGGCUUGAACCAACCUGCCAUGCUAGCCGAGGUGAUGACGUCGCACCGAUCAAUGAGUUCCCCCACCAUGUCAUCUUUCAGAUCGGGGCAAGAAUAACGGGGUCGUUUCCGGCUUGUUCCCUCCAUGGAGAAGACGAUCGAACAAUGGCAGAAGGAAGGGUGAAGGCAAAUGGAGGAGGGAGGAAGAGCGUGCGACAACAGUUCCAAAUCGAGAGGGAAAGGCGAAGAGUCGAUGGACGGUUGCCAGUUUGCCAUGGUAUACAAAGAGGCGCCCCGGCCUACACGUCCUUUCGGAAAUUGUACAAAAGGACUCGUCAUCGUCUCACUGACAUGUUGGAACGGGACCACAUGUCAACGAAACAUGGUGUGUAAUUUCUCGUGCAAAAUGCAAUCUGGCCGCGUUGGCCCGAGGUGCCGCAUUACUUCUUGACUUUAUUUUUUUAAUGUUGUGCCGUUCAAUUUUGAAGCACGACUAACUGGUACUGUUUGCAGAGAAAAUAUAAACUACUCUACCAGUACUCCACCUCUAGUACUAGUAGUAUAAAAAAGAUAUAUAGGCUAGAGCUUCAGAGCUUUCUUGCUAAGGGCUGCCCGCUUGCUUCUCACACUAUCACCCUCUCUCCAGAUCUAAAAAGACGACCUCUCUCUCCCUCCUCACCGGUGGUCACAGAUCCGCCGGGGAAGAAAAGGACAUGCAGUGUUGACGCACUCGUCGUUGGCGAGUGAGGUCACGCACUAAUGACAAGGUUGUCCUCUCAGACCUAGCACCCGCACGGGAUGGCCACCGUCCCCAAGCUCGUUGUCGUAGUGCGUGCGGAGGACGACAACCACGAGCGAAGCCACUUCCCGCCGACCCUCAGGUAUGCUACCUCUUUUCAAACCAUACCCUUGUUCUAUUGCCCCAUCUACCAUGUCGCUGCAUGUGGAUCUUUUUCCACUCCACCAUCUUCCAAAUUUGCUAUCCUCUGCUCUGCUGGUCACGCAGACGAAAACCUUAAUUUGCACUAUUAAAGGAAACACUACUUCAUGCAGACUAAUCCAUGUCUGGGUUUAAUAACGAAAGGAAGGGAGACUGUAUUGUCCAAGAGAGUAGGCAUCAAACCCGCAUCUAGGUUGAAAAGAGGAAAAUCAGUAGCUAAGGAACGAGUCGUGUGUCUCUUGGUUGAAGAAGGGUAGAAAGGCAUGACAACGCAAUAGAGAAUGACGAGGUCGAUCGGUUUGUUGUCCUCACAUAGGAAAAAGGUGGCUAAACAUAACAAAAAUGGGACGUAAUCCACAUGUGCUACCUGGAUAUUUGUUGCUCUGGGCAACCAUACCUCCCUCACCACUCUAUGCGUCCGUGGGGUACAUCGUACUGGUGCACCAACUGUCCGAAUGGGCCUACCAUGCUCCUAGUGUCACUUCUUUACUGUUAGUAUAAUGCCAGCAGUCAAGUCAAGCAAUGCUACUGCUCAAGUGAUGCCACAUUUAACUAAUACCGCACUCGGUCUAAAGCCACCGAUAAAUUUAAGCAAUGCCAUUUAAUGUCACUGGAUUAUUUCAGGGUUAGCUAUUGAUUGUGGAUGUAUUGAAGAUUUUUCAGCUAAGGCAUUCUAAUGUUGUUGCACAGCCAGUAUACCAACGAUGAAACUUGUUACUACCUUCAGUUUUUUGCACUAUUAAUGCUUAUAGAUUAAAUACCACACUUUCAUGAGAUAAGUUAAUUUUUUUUUGUACAGUGUCACCAAAAUGCCAAGGUGAUGAUGUCAUUUUAUUUUGGUUAAACUGCACAAAAAAUUAUGAAGAUAAGAGGAAAGGUCAAGAGUGGGCACCUCCUCCUCCGGCUAUUCUCUUGAUUCGUUCGAUCAAGUUUUUAUGUUUGAUCGAUUAUCAAGAUUGGGAUAGCAAUUUUUAAGCCCCCCCCCCCCGAGUUCGAAAUGAUAUUUACCUUGGAGGUACAUGGUUUGCAAUUUUUUAUACUGUCAUUAGUUAAUCAUGCUAGUUACCUUCAGACUUUUGUAUUUGGUUUAAUGCUCAUGCACAGCUAGUAUACCAAUGCUGAAACGUGUUACCUUUACAUUUUGUAUUGUUAAUUCUUAUAGAAAUCUUCCAGUGCCAGAGUUUAUUGAAAUCUAUUUAGUAAAACCAUUAUACUAUACCCUGUAAUAAAAUAACUACUCUACUGUUGCACUAGCCACUGGAUUAGUGUAUAUUUGUAGUAUUCAAAAUUUCAAAUGGUGUUGCAUUAGCGUAUGGACAUAAAUAAAGUGUGGCAAGGUUUCCCAGAUAUGUGAUCAAGAAAACUACUACCUGUUUAUCUAAAUACUAGUAGAUGUUUGGGUACUUUAAACUGAACCGCGAAAACAUCUUAUAUUAAGGAACAGAGGGUGUAGAGUUCACUCAAAUUAUCCCGGUAAAGCUAGUCACACCUUUGUUAAAAUUAAUGUUCAUUAUGUUAUCGGAGGAGGUCUGUAAGUUUGUCUCUAAUGCCUGUCGACUACAUACCUGACAUCAUGAUGUAAUGUUAAGUCAUUUCCUUUUGUACAGUGUCACUGAAUUGUCAAGGCGGUGAUGGCAUUUUAUUUAGUUGAACUGCACAAAAUAUGCUUAAAAAAAGAGGAAAGGUCAAGAAUCGAUCAUUCUUUCAGAAAGAACUAUAUAUGCCUUUCUGACAUCAACCUCUCUUGCCUUAUUUAUUCCUUCAAACAGGUGGUUAGAAACAGUCUUGCUACCUUUUACCAUUAAGAAAUUGGAAUGCUUAUAUUUGUGAGUUUAUGCUUCAACUAGUGCCACUUUUAUAGUAAUCACACUUUCAAUAUCUAUGCAAAUAGGGAUGCUCGAUUUUAGUGGAACUUCACAAAAAGUCCAACUGGUUCAACAUUAGGAGCAUGUUUUCUUCCAAACCUUUAUAUCCAAUUGGUGGCACUAUGAGAUUUUCAUUAAGAAGGUACAUGGUUUGCUACUACCUUGCUACUCUUUUUGUACUGUCAUUAGAUAGUAAUACUAGUGGUUUGCAUGUGAAUUUAUUGGCAGGGUGGACCUACAUUGGAGGUGCAGGACAGGAUUCAAUGAUUGGAUGCUCAAUUUUGGUUGUACCGAUUUCACCUCUUCCAUCACUGCGAACAUGGAUAUCCUUGGUGAGGGAAUCCUGGAUUAGGGGGUCUCCGGACAGCUGGACUAUAUCCUUUGGCCGGACUGUUGGACUAUGAAGAUACAAGAUUGAAGACUUCGUCCCGUGUCCGGAUGGGACUUUCCUUGGAGUGGAAGGCAAGCUUGGCAAUACGGAUAUGUAGAUCUCCUCCCUUGUAACCGACUCUGUGUAACCCUAGCCCCCUCUGGUGUCUAUAUAAACCGGAGGGUUUAGUCCGUAGGACAACAUACAAUCAUACCAUAGGCUAGCUUCUAGGGUUUAGCCUCUACGAUCUCGUGGUAGAUCAACUCUUGUAAUACUCAUAUCAUCAAGAUCAAUCAAGCAGGACGUAGGGUAUUACCUCCAUCAAGAGGGCCUGAACCUGGGUAAACAUCGUGUCCCCUGCCUCCUGUUACCAUCCACCUUAGACGCAUAGUUCGGGACCCCCUACCCGAGAUCCGCCAGUUUUGACACUGACAUUGGUGCUUUCAUUGAGAGUUCCACUGUGUCAUCACCGUAAGGCUUGAUGGCUCCUUCGAUCAUCGGUAGCGAUGCGGUCCAGGGUGAGGUUUUCCUCACCGGAUAGAUCUUCAUAUUCGGCGGCUUCGCACUGCGGGCCAACUCGCUUGGCCAUCUGGAGUAGAUUGAGAGCUACGCCCCUGGCCAUCAGGUCAGGUUCGGAAACUUAAACUACACUGCCGACAUCCGCGGAGACUUGAUCUUCGACGGAUUCGAGCCCAUGUCAGGUGCGCUGCACGAUCACGAUGGGCAUGAUUUAGCUCUGUCGUCGGACAAUGCUCGGGAGAUCACACCUACAACUACUCCGGCCUUCAAUCUAGAGCAAAUUGCGCAAUCCGAGGAUGGAAGGAUAGACCCCGCCACGGAGGCCGCACUCUCAGUGGCGAUGGAGCCGUAUACUGACUUCACCCCUUACGAGAACCGUGUUGCCGAACCACUGGAUUCUUCUCCGGCCACGGACUCCGAGCCGCCUGCAUCCGUGCCUAUCGAAUCUGAUUGGGCGCCGAUCAUGGAGUUCACCUCCGCGGAUAUCUUUCAGCACUCACCUUUCGGUGACGUGCUAAAUUCAUUAAGGUCUCUCUCCUUGUCAGGAGAUCCUUGGCCGAACUAUGUCCGGCUAGAAUGGGAUGCCGACGAUGAAGAAAUUCUCUGCCCACCCACCACCCACUUAGUGGCCUCUGUCGACGAUUUAACUGACAUGCUCGAUUUCGACUCCGCAAACAUCGACGGCAUGGACAAUGAUGCAGGAGAGGAACAGGAACUAGUGCCCACAGGGCAAUGGAUAGCCACUUCAUCACAUGACAUAUACAUGGUGGAUACACCCAAAGAAAACGAUGACGAGGAACGGGAGGAGACAGCGGAGGAUGACCCCUCCAAGAAGCAAACAAAGUGUCGGAGUAGGCACCGCUCCAAAUCCCGCCUCGGCAAAAACAGCGAUAACAGCGCAAGAGAAAAUAACAAUCCAGUCGACUCCAGAGGAAACAACGACCACAUUGCCCCGGCGGCAGAGCACGAUGAAGCUGCAAACGGCGAACAUAGUAUGGAUUCGACGUACGAACACGGCGACGCCGAGGAUAAACCUCAUCAAACCCCCUCUGGGGAGGAAAACAGUCCAGACGAAGAUGCACACAUCAUCCCGGAAACACACUUGGAGCAAGAGAACCUCCGCAGAAGGCUUAUUGCCACAGCGAGGAGUCUGAAGAAGCAGAAGCAAAGGCUUAAGGCCGGACAAAAUACGCUCAACAGCAGGUGGAACAAAGUGCUCGACAAUGAAGAAAAGUAUGGUGGAGGUUACCACACAAAGAGCUAUACAAAGCGCAAGCUAUUACCCGAAUUCGACGAUGAGGCCUUAGAGCCCAUACAGCUAAAAAAUAAAACGGCCAACCGGCCGGAUCAACCACCUUGUGACCGCGAUAGAGUGGCUAACAAGGCCGCACAGUCAACACACGAUCUACGUGAGGACUUGCGCCAAAAAUACAGUAUGACCAGGUCCAUCUAUGGAUCUAGGAAGCGCGCUUCGGCACAAAAUCAAAUACUACAACCGUCCGAAUGCCAUGAUACAUCCAAAUACAGGGGUGCCGCACACCCCCUAUGUUUCACCGAUGAGGUGCUGGACCACAAAUUUCCAUAAGGAUUUAAACCAGUGAACAUAGAGUCAUACGACGGGACCACAGACCCUGGGGUCUGGAUUGAGGAAUUUAUCCUCCAUAUCCAUAUGGCUUGCGGAGACGAUCUCCACGCCAUCAAGUACUUGCCCCUCAAGCUUAAAGGACCAGCUCGGCACUGCUGAAAAGCCUCCCCGAAAACUUAAUUGGAAGUUGGGAGGAGCUCGAGGAUGCUUUUCGGGCUAAUUUUCAAGGGACCUAUGUUCGACCUCCGGAUGUAGACGAUUUAAGUCAUAUAAUUCAGUAGCGCGGAGAGUCAGCCCGAAAGCUUUGGAACAGGUUUCUCACUAAGAAGAACCAAAUCGUCGACUGCCCGGACGCCGAGGCCUUAGCAGCUUUCAAGCACAGCGUCCGAGACGAAUGGCUCUCCAGACACCUCGGCCAAGAAAAACCGAGAACAAUGGCAGCCCUGACAAGCCUCAUGACCCACUUUUGCAUGGGCGAAGAUAACUGGUUAGCCCACAGUAGCACCAGCGACCCAAGCACGUCCGAAGUCAGGGAUCGCAACAGAAAACCACGACGCAGUAAAAACAAGCGUCGAAAUAAAGAAGAUAGCCCAGAUAAUACGGUGGUAAACGUCGGAUUCAGGGGCUCUCGACCAGGUCAGCGGAAAAAGCCUUUCAAAGGCAGCAGAGAUGGACCGUCCAUCCUAAACAAGAUUUUAGACAAACUAUGUCAGAUUCAUGGCACCCCUGAUAAACCUGCAAACCACACCCAUAGAGAAUGCUGGGUCUUCAAGCAGGCCGGUAAGCUAAACGCCGAACACAAGGGGGGAGACACCAAGUGAAGAUGAGGAUGAACCUCGCCAGCAAAGCACUGGAGGACAUAAAAAGUUCCCACCAGAGGUUAAAACGGUAAACAUGAUCCACGUGACAAAGAGGAGAAGCAAACAUGCACUCCGAAACACAUGCGCCGUAGAGCCCUUCACCCCUAAGUUCAACCCCUGGUUGGCUUGCCCGAUCACUUUUGAUCGCGGGGAUCACGCGACAAGCAUCCGGCAUGAAGGAUUGGCUGCCUUGGUGCUAGACCCAAUAAUAAACGGAUACCAUCUCACAUGAGUCCUUAUGGAUGGCGGCAGUGGUCUAAAUCUAAUAUAUCAGGACACAAUCCGCAAAAUGGGGAUAGACCCAACAAAAAUCAGCCGCAGCAAUACUACCUUCAAGGGAGUAAUACCAGGCCAAGAGGCCCGCUGCACAGGCUCUCUAUUACUAGAGGUUGUAUUCGGUUCUUCUGACAACUUCCGAAGCGAAAAGUUAACUUUCUACAUCGCCCCAUUCAGAAGUGGCUAUCAAGCACUACUUGAAAGAGCGGCUUUCGCUCGUUUUAAUGUAGUACCACAUUACGCUUCUCUCAAGCUUAAGAUGCCCGGUCCACGUGGCACCAUCACAGUUAGUGGAAAUAUUGAGAGUUCUCUACACGCGGAAGAAUGUGCGGCGGCUUUAACAACCAAGCACUAGACGGCCUCACCAACCAGAACAAAUGACGGGUCGUCAAGACCACGGACACGGUUAGACGAGUCCGGCGCAUCACUACAUAUACAUGAGAUUGGUUUGAUGGUUAAAUCCUCAUAAACGGUACCAGGGGCUUCCCGCGUGUAAUCAAGGCUAGUUCGGCUCAACUUGACUUAUCUUGAAUUUUAAUGGCCUAUUGAUCAGAACCAAUUUUCUGGCACGGCAACUUUCACCUAAGGUCUUCUCUUUUACAGAUGACAAUCGUGCUACACCCGUCCAGGACACGGCACAACGGAGAUACAGGUGUAGACGUGCAGCAGGGACCCGCUCAAAGGUUUCUUUUUAGAUUAAGACCCUGCGUAAACCUUUUUUAGUGUCUCUCGUUGUUCACAUCCUCCGGAUACUCAAUACAACCGAGAAGGAUGCUGACGUUAUUGGCAUGUGGCCACGUCAGGAUAUUGCACGUACCUGGACACUCGGGGUUUAUUAGUAAGGGUAUUGUUCAGCCUGGCAUAUGUUAUAAAGACCGAAUACCUUAGGGAGUGUUCGGCGUCGCGAGUUUGGCCUUAUAUGCAUCAGCUCCGAAUCAUGUCUUUGGUCAAAUGUUGGGUUUGCCUGACUCCCGUGUUUUGGUACCUUACGUUCCGCUAUAUCGGCUAAGGUAGCACUGGGAGAACUACUGCGAUUGUGCCCUGGUUCAUCCGGAUGAGCACCUCAGUAGAGAAAGCCGAAAACUGACUGUCAUGAUAAAGCGCGAGACUAGUCAACCACUCGAUGACUUAGCGGAAUCUUCGGGAUUCCUCCGCAUUAACGAAGGGUCGUUCCCCGGUCAUGUAUGUACGCGCCCCGUAUUCGGACAAGCACGGAGGUACCAGGGGCUAUCUAGUAGUCCCACCGUCAAACUCCUAUGGCUAAGUGAAAGUGUUAAAGCAAUAUAGUCUGAUUGCCUCGUUCGCUGCGCUACCACCUCCUUUAUGGACCAAGACGUUGGAUUAAGUGUGAAUACACGUUUUUUGCGAACACCCCCGCAUUAUAUGCGUGGGGGCGUAAGCCAUCGACUGCAAACUUUCAGGUUAUAUUCAUAAACGAUCGCACAGGAGGCAUCAUAAUACUUUCAGGAAAAAGUAUAAACACAGCCUUUAUAAUUCAAUAAAACAUUGUUUUUACAACGGGAAUACAUGUCACUAGAACAUAAAUUCUUUGAUAAUUGCGCCUCUAUCGAACGAGCGCCUUCAAGGACUUCUUCAAAGUAGUGCUCGGCAGCUACUCAGCCCAUGGCCGAACCCUGUGUUGCAAUAGUGGUGCCCUCCAUCUCUGCCCAGUAUGUCUUGACAUGGGCAAGUGCCAUCCGCGCACCCUCUAUGCACGCCGACCUCUUCAUAGCGUCGAUGUGCGACACAGCACCAAGGAAUUGUUGCACUAAACUAAAGUAACUAUUCAGCCUUGGUCCUUCCGGCCACAAAUGAUCCACAACAGACCUCAUGGCAAGUCCGAACAACCUAUGGAGCUCGGCCCACUCGGCCAUUUGCUCAUUCAACAGCAGCGGACGCACUGGAGCAUGGAACUGUGACCAGAACAACUUUUCCACUUCACGAUCUUUUUGAUCCUUGAAGUACUCGGCCGCAUCAGCAGCACUUGCUGCCAAAUCCACAUAUGCGUCUGCAGAACUCCAUAGUUGAUCAAGAGGGGCAUACUUCGGAUCUCCGAACUUAGUCCACAACAAAAAGGGCUUCCCAGCCACGAUAUCUCCAGCUUGACACAGCUCCUCCUUCGUCGCUCUAAUUUUGGAGCGGGUUUCCUUGGCUGCUACCAUGGCCUUCUCCAAGUCCGUCACCUUCGCUCGGCUUUCUUUUUCAAGAAGCCGGUAAUGGUCGGCGGCAUCUUUCAACUUGACUGCCAUCUUGUCCAUUCUUUCCUUGCUCUGGCAAUGUGUGGCCUGUUCGGCCCUCAGCUCUUCGACCGCCUUCAGAGCGGCCGCAUUGCUAUUUCUGGCUUGUUCCUUGGCUCGGGCAAGUUCCGCCCGAAGGGUCUCCACGGUGGCAGCUCCAUCUGCAGUCACAACAUAUUAAGGAUACUGGCAUCAUGCUCCUCUUACUAUGUGUUGAUCACCGGAGAAAUCACAUACCCUGUGCCUCGUCAAGCCGCUUGUUGACAAGCACGAUGUCGGCAUCUGCCGCAUCAAGUUGCCGCUUUAGCUCGGCAAACUCAUCAGUCCGGCUAGCCACCAGACCUUCAUCCACCUGCACAUGAAGGCGGUCUGAUUAUUACUUGGGACUAUGAUCCUCUGUUUGCCGCCGUUCUCGGCGGCAACCAGAGUCUCAGGGGCUACUAUCUGCAUAGGGCACACCUAACGUGUGUGGUACUGUCAAAAACACACACUAUUUCACGUACCUCAAAGCCUUUCAGCAGACUCAUAAAAGCUUCAUGCAACCCACUUUCGGUGGAUGAAAUCCUUUCAAUCACCGUACCCAUUAGCGUACGAUGCGCUUCUGAGAUGGCCGCUUGCUCCAGAAGAUCCUUCAGUGCGUCCGACCGCACACUGUACGGUUCUGGACUCUUUCUGUUGCUCUCUUUAGGAGCCGAAUACUAAGGACUUUGGGUGGCCAAAGGAUUACCCUCUGGCCUUGGCGGAUCAGGAGAAACCCUCUGCGAUGACACUUCAGGGUCACCCGCCUCAUGAGGCGGGGUGGCAGGGGGAGGCGUUUCGCUCUCCAUCAUCUCCGGAAGAAGAACCCCCGAAGACGAACUUUGUCGAGAAGGGCUAUGAUCCGAACUGCAAGAUAUAUGCUUCGAUUAUUAUCUUCAGAAGCAAUGUAAGAUAUUUUUACUAUUAAGUACUUUUUGUUUACUUACAGCUCGGUAGAGGGCUGACCCCUUGCGGAAACUGUGCGGCAAGAGUACCCUCCGAGGCAGGACCCUCCGGCGAAGAUUUCUUCCCCCGUUUGGAAACCUUUGUUUCCAGGUCUUCAGAGGUGGUCCUCUUCCUUCCUUCGGGAGAGGGAAUUUCAGAUUCUUCUCCCUGGUUAUCCUCCUUCGCGGAGGCACUAAUUCCCCCGGUUUGGAUGAAUAAUGAGCGAGGCCCGCUUCCAGCCUCUUUAUUUUCCCCUUUAUCUUCCUCUGAGGGCGCCUGAUAAGGCGCCGACUCAAGCAUUCUGUCUAGUACCGGAUUGGCCGAGCCUUCGGGAAGGGGGGCUGAACACCUGAUCAUCUUCGCCUUUGUUAUCCAGUCUUGGUCAAAGAGCAACUUUUCAGAAUGAUGUUAUGAUAAAUAAAAAAGACAAGCAUGUUCGGCCAUGGGAUUACUUACUUGGGUAUCAGGGCGAUUACAGCUCAGACCCGCAUACUCGGUGGUGUCCGGACACUUUAUUUGGGGUCCGAAGAACAAUUUGUACAUCUCUUCGAGCGUCAUGCCGAGGAAGUGUUGAAUAGUUCGCGGUCCUUCCGGGUUGAACUCCCACAUAUGGAGGGGUCGACAUUUGCAAGGUGGGACUUGAUGAACUAGCAUGACUUGCAUUACUGAGACCAGGCUGACAUCUCUCUCAAGGAGAUCUUAGAUGCGACUCUGCAAUAUCGGCACAUCAUUUACUGGCCCCCAGUUCAACCCCUUGUUGAUCCAUGACGUCAGUUGUGGUGGGGGGCCUGAGCGAAAGGCAGGGGCAGCUACCCACUUGGUACUCUGGGGAGCUGUGAUGUAAAACCACUCCCGCUACCAUAAACUGGGCACCUCUGGGAAGGAACCCUCUGGCCAUGGAACAUCAGCGCUUCUGCUUAUUACGGCACCUUUGCACUCUGCGUGACGCCCCUCGAUCAUCUUCGGCUUCACCAUUGAAAGUCUUGAGCCACAGGCCGAAGUGUGGGGUAAUGCGGAGGAAGGCCUCACACACGACGAUGAACGAGGAGAUGUGAAGGAGGGAAUCUGGGGCCAGAUCAUGGAAAUCCAACCCGUAAUAAAACAUGAGCCCCCUAACAAAGGGAUCCAAAGCGAGGCUAGCCCUCGGAGGAAGUGAGAGAUGAACACAACACUCUUGUUGGGUUCGGGAGUGGGGAUGACCUUCCCUCAGACAGGCAGCCUGUGCGAGAUUUCGGCGGUCAGAUACCUGGCCUCUCUCAGCUUCUUGAUGUCCUCCUCUAUGACAGAGGAAGGCAUCCACCAACCUUGGAGGUUGGAUCCGGACAUGGUUGAAGGUCCGAAGCGCCUGACCUGAGCCUUGGGUGUUGGAACUCGAGGCGGGGGGAAGGAUUUGAUUGAGCACGAGAGGGGAAACAAGGACAGGCCUUGGCCUCUUUAUAAAGAGGGUGAAUAUCAAGCAUCCUCCUCGUGGCCGUUUGGGACUUGCCUAAAAUUGAGGAGUCAUACCAAUAGGCACGAUUGGGUUACCCACGUCCGUAUUGAUGAGAAUCCCGUAAUAAGGGGGACACGAUCUCUGCUUUGACAAGACGUGUCAGGAAAACCGCCUCGCGAUAUGUGAAGUGCUGGUUGAGAAAAACGGUUCGAAUAAAGACCGGGCCAUGGCAUGAUGUCAUGUUGCUAAACGUGUUAGGAGAUUAGAUUUGUGGAAAUAUUAUUCACUCUGCGGUGGUAUGUGGAACUUGUUUUGCAGAGCCGGACACUAUCCUUGGGUUCAAAAUCUUCUAUGGAGUAUUCGGAGGAGGAACCCGCCUUGCAAUGCCGAAGACAUAUCUGCGUGCCGGACUCAUCGUCAUUGAAGCCUGGUUCAGGGGCUACUGAGGGAAUCCUGGAUUAGGGGGUCUCCGGACAGCCGGACUAUAUCCUUUGGCCGGACUGUUAGACUAUGAAGAUACAAGAUUGAAGACUUCGUCCCGUGUCCGGAUGGGACUUUCCUUGGCGUGGAAGGCAAGCUUGGCAAUACGGAUAUGUAGAUCUCCUCCGUUGUAACCGACUCUAUGUAACCCUAGCCCCCUCCGGUGUCUAUAUAAACCGGAGGGUUUAGUCCGUAGGACAACAUACAAUCAUACCAUAGGCUAGCUUAUAGGGUUUAGCCUCUACGAUCUCAUGGUAGAUCAACUCUUGUAAUACUCAUAUCAUCAAGAUCAAUCAAGCAGGAUGUAGGGUAUUACCUCCAUCGAGAGGGCCCAAACCUGGGUAAACAUCGUGCCCCCUGCCUCCUGUUACCAUCCGCCUUAGACGCACAGUUCGGGACCCCCUACCCGAGAUUCGCCGGUUUUGACACUGACACUUGGUCUUAUGAAGAAUAGGCGCUAUAUUUCUGCUCUGAACAAGCAAAUCAAUUCAGUAUGAAAUUGUCCAGGGCAAAACAUGACUGUAUCAAAUUGUCGAGUGCAAAACAUGAUAGAUGCUAAGCGGAAGAGACAUGUUUAAACCGAAAAUGCAAGGUGGGGUAUAUGUUUACUAGCGGCUUGAUAUUUGUGCAGACAGAGAUGUCUGCCCGUUGCUAUUUGGCAAUAACACAAAGUGACCGAAAUUUUGGUUGAACUACACAAGAGAAUAGUAUAGUCACUGCAUGCAGUGCCAUUUGAAAAUAGACACAGGAAGAUUGGAUAGUCACUUCAUGGACUGCAGAAAAGUAGUAAUGUACUACUUAUUGGCCAACACUAGGUGCUUCAUUGCUUUGGUCUGAUUAUACAAUGGGCAUCAUUUUGCCUAAGUUAAAGUUUGUAUUCUGAAAAUAGUCUUGCCGUGUGAUCAAGAGAAGACCAAAUCAUAUUGCAGUGGAUGUUCCUCCAUCAUGUGUGGUUCAUUCUCAUGGUUCCAGCUAUUGGUUAAACCACUUACGUUUUCAAGAGGAAUUGUAGACUUCACAAACAAAUUUGUCUUUCAGUCUAUGCUGAAUGUUAGCCAAGAGAAGCAUCCAUGUUAGUAGGAAGAACAUAUGUUUUUUCUAGAUCUUUGCUUUUGGAGCUACAUAUUUGUAUAUGAUCUUUGAAUCAUUGAGAUGCAUUAACAUGUUGAUCUUAUGUAUGGGAAUCGUAUUAGUUGGUUUUAGUUGUGGCUGAUCUUUGCUUUUGGAGCUACAUAUUUGUAUAUGAUCUGUGAAUCAUUGAGAUGCAUUAACAGUUCCUUAUAUCUGUUCGCUCAAUGUUUACAAGUUACUGAUCAAUCACUAGCUAGCCUACUAAUGCACUCCUGGCUAUUUUAGUUGCGACGCAAGAACCAAAGUGGCAGUUUUUUGAAUAAAAAUGCCUACCUCUAAAGAAACUGACAAGCUGCUCUGAAGAAAAUGCCAUGCGAAUCUGAAGAAACUGCCAGCAAAAACAUUCGCAAAUGCCUUAUCUCCAAGCUAAAGUUCAUCAACUAAUGCCCUCGGCUACGACUCGUUGCAUGAUGCUCCGCGUACUGGUUGCGAGCGGUUUUGAGUGCCUGCAUGCAGCUGGCCAUAAUUAAGGCAGCUAACUGACGCGAAAAAAUAUGCGCUUUAAUUGUUGCAGGCCUUUUAAAUCCGUGGAAUCAUUAUUGACAAGGAGGGAGAUGAUUCGAGUGCACUCGUUUGACCAUCAUGCCGGCGUGUGACCCAGCACGGAUGGGACGGGACGGCAUAGUCAGAAUUUCAGUUUCUCUAGUUUUCCACGGCAAGUUGGCGCGCUAAGCCAUGCCUGCUUAAUUAUGCAUUGAAUUCUGAUGACCGUCGCGCUACCUUCCGCCUAUAAGUACUAUUCCUCGGCCUUCUAUGGUGGCACCGUGACCCAACUCGCCCUAUCCUCAUAAGCCCCCACCGGCCCGACGUCGCUCACCACUUAUCCUCGCUCUCGCCACGUCCGCCAUGCCCCCGCCCGUCCGCGAUAGGCGAGGCCGGAGGCGGUCACCGCCGUAACUAGUGUUCGGUUUUUCACCAGAAGGCAGACAGAGGGAGGAGGCAUUCUAUCGGUCUUUAGAUGGCAAUGUGGAGAUCGAGGACUUGUUGGAGCGCGACCGCCUGGCGGAGGAGCAGGAGUUGUUGGAGCGCGACCGCUUGGCGGAGGAGCAGCGUAUCGCCGAUUUGCGUCGCCAGCGGGACAUGGAGGAGUAGCGCACCGACGCUCUGAGUCACGAGGAGAGUGCCCGCACCUGGGCCGACUACGUGGAGGCCGGCGCCCAUCAAAUAGCCCGGGAGGCUGUCGGGCACGCACAUGUUCGCGACGUUGAUUUUUACUACCAGCUCAUCAAGUGGGUUUCCCGCUUAGAAGCUGAAGCUUCGGUGCACCACGCCAGCAUGGAAAAGGCCAACGCGUGCGAGCAACGCGCCCUAUCGCACCUUUGGCAAGUCUGAGGCGAGGCGGAGGACGCCGGUGCCAGCAUUUAGCGUGUACUGCAGAUGGCGACCGACAUCGUCUAGUUAGCUAAGAGUAAGUUAGUACUUGUACGCUACUAGAGUAUUAGUGGGAGUAGAUAGUUAACUUGGCUAUGAUGGUUGUCAAUGUGGAAGUUCAGUACUCUAUAUGUGGAUCAGACCUGUUACUUUGCUCUGAAUGUUGAACUUUCCGUUUGAAUGUAUGGAAUGGGCUGUUAUUUUUUUAAAUGGGUUGUAUUUGUCCUCCACGGGUUUAGAGGUUGACUUGUGGGCCUACCAAGUUGACGCGUACACAAUCAGGAGAUGAUUGUACGUGGAGAGGAUGACAGCAGGGACCCGCCAAGGUCAUGGCAGUACGCAAGCAAGUGCCUCCUUAUUUCAAUCCAAAAAAAAUGGCUCCUCCUAAUGGAUUUCUGGCAUCUGGGUCCCAUGCCAUUGUCAACGUAAUCAGUAAACGAGAGAGUUGCACAACGAGCGGCUGACACCAGGGACCUAGUAGCUCGCCCAGUUAUUUUUGUUUUGGGUUAAUUUGAUAAAUGCCACUCCAAAUCUGGUGUUUCUGAGAAAUGCCACUACAAUUUCCAAACUUUGAAAGAUGCCAUUUCAUGCCAUUUACAGUGGCAUUUUUCGAAGUCUGGGGUGGCGUUUUUCAAAGUUUGCAAAUUGCAGUGGCGUUUUUCAAAGUUUGCAAAAAUUGCAGUGGCAUUUUUCAAAGUUUGGAAAUUGUAGUGGCAUUUUAAUGAAUCGCCAUAUUUGUUGUGGCAUUUAUCUAAUUUGUUUUUGAGACGGAAGCAGAGUGUCAACUGGCCUGUGCGGGGCACUCUGGCUUGCCUAGACAGCCUUCUCUUUUAUGUUUACCACAGACCAGCCCAGUAGUUUUUUUCUUUCUGAAAAUGGCUAGCCCAGUUUUUUUGUGAUUUGCCAAGUAAGUCGCUUUGUCAGGCCUGUUGGGCUACAAAUCUUUCAAGACGAGGAGAGCUUCAUUUGGCUGGACGAGAAAAUGGCCUAUCAGUAAUGAGAAAUGGGUUGUAUAUUUUCAAAACACAUAAAACCGGCAAUUACUUUCGAAUUUCUCUUUUUCAUUUCAAGAUUUUAAAUUGCAUUAAUUUUUAUGCGUGGACAAUUUGUUGGAUUUUAUAUUGAUAUGCAUUUACUUUUAAAAUCAGUUUGAAUGUGACUCAAAAUUUCGGGAUUAAAAACAGUUUGGACCGCAUCGAAAUAUGCAACAUUUCGUAUAAUUUUUUAACUGUGGCCACAAUGUGGGCUGUAAUGCUAACAAAAAGAAUAUGGGCUCCAAAAAACCUUAAGAAUUAGCAAAUGGGCUGUAAAUUAUUAGAAAUAAUGGCAGAUGGGUUGUAUGCUAUUUUCCACAGAUUUGAGGCUUUCCUAAAAAAGGUUGACGCACAAGCAGUGACUGUUGGAUGUCCAUCCGACGGCCGUCGUGCUUCUUCAAUCUCUGCUCUUCCUACUCCAUCCAUUCAAACAAGCGCCGACGGGACUGCCUGCUCCCUCCUCCCCGCGGCCGGCUAUGCUGCCGUGCAGGCCUCACCGCCCCACCGUACUCCCAUCGCUGGCCUAGCCAUCCCUCUACUCACCCACACAUGCUGUUAUUCUCCGGCGACGGCAGACGAACCAGUAAACCCUCGUACAGUCGUACUCCCCUCCGCGUGGGGAACAACUGCCAAGUCUUCCCUGCCUCCGUGUCGUUCCCUUCCUAGGCCUCGCCGUCAUCCACCGCCCUGGUGCUCUCGGCGCGGCGUGGUCAAUGUGGUCAACGACCGACAUGCAUUUGAAGUGGACUAUACGUGGAGAGGCUGACAGCUGGGUCCACGGCCGCAAGCAAGGAAAUGCCUCCUUAUUACGCGCAAAAUAAUGAUUCCUCCACCUGACAUCUGGGACCCACCGAAAGGGCCUCUGUAUUUCGUGAAAAAAACGUUAUCGCCACUGACAACUCGGACCCACCAGCUAUAUCUUCGCACGCAAGGAAGUGCGUCCUUAUUACGCACAAAAAAUGAAUACCCCCCUGCUAGCUGGGACCCAGUAUAGUGGCAGGCUGACUUGUGGGCCUACUAAGUUGACGGGGACGUAGGGCUUUGUCAACUUAGUCAAUAUGCACGAUUCUAGCUCCAGUGACCGUACGAUGUCCAUCCAAUGGCUGUAGUGCUUCUUCAACCUCUGGUCUUCUUGCUUCAGCCGCCCAAACCAGCGCCAGUCGUGCCUCAUGCUCCUGCCUCCCGUGGUCGGCUGCGAUGCGGCGGAGGCCUCACCGCCCCCUACUACUCCCACCGCUGGCCAGGCCAUCCCUGUACUCACCCACACCCCAUGUUAUUCUGCGGCGACGGUAGCCUAAUACCGCAGCAAACCAGUGAACCCUCAAACUCCUCUACGUGUGGGCAUCCACUGCCGCAUCUUCCCCGGCUCCACGUCGUCCCCUUCCUAGGCCUCGCCGUCGUCCACCGCCCUGGUGCUCUCGGUGUGGCGUGGUCAACAUGGUCAAGGAACGACUUCCAUCGGAAGAGUACUGUACGUGGAGAGGCUGACAGCUGGGUCCACGGCGGCCGUAAGGAAGUGCCUCCUUAUUACGCGGAAAAUAAUUAUUCCUCCACCUGACAGCAGGGACCCACCGGAUGAACCACCGUAUUUGGCGAAAAAAUGUUUCCCCCUGACUGCUGGGACCCACCGGACGACCACCGUAUUUCGCGAAAAAAACGUUCCCCUCGCUGUCAGCUCGGACCCACCGGAAGUGUCGCCUUAUUACGCACAAAAAAAAAGAAUACUCCCCCUGCUAGUUGGGACCCACCUUGGUGGGUGGCUGACUUGUGGGCCUACUAAGUUGACGGGGAGGAGUGCUUUGUCAACUUAGUCAAUAUGAACGAUUCUAGCUCCAGCGACCGUACGAUGUCCAUCCAAUGGUCGUUGUGCUUCUUCAACCUCUGGUCUUCUUGCUCCAGCCGCCCAAAGCACCACCGGUCGUGCCGCAUGCUCCUGCCUCCUGUCGUCGGUUGUGCUACCGCGAAGGCCUCAUCGCCCCUUACUAUUCCCACUGCUGUCCAGGCCUUGCGGCGACGGCAGCCUCACACCACAGCCGAACCAGUGAGCCCUCGUACUCCUCUCCGCGCGGGCUUCCACUGCCGCGUCUUCCCCGGCUCCGUGUCGUCCCCUUCCCAGGCCUCGCCGUCGUCCACUGCCCUGGUGCUCUCGGCGUGGCAUGGUCAACGUGGUCAAGGAAUGGCUUCCAUCGGACGUGGACUGUACAUGGAGAGGCUGACAGCUGGGUCCACGGCCGCAGCAAGGAAGUGCCUCCUUAUUACGCGCAAAAUAAUUAUUCCUCCACUUGACAGCGGGGACCCACCGGACGGGCCAUCGUAUUUCGCGAAAAAACGUUUCCCCCUGAUUGCUGGGACCCACCAGCUACAUCUUCGCACGCAAGGAAGUGCGCCCAGGCAAAAACAAAAAAAAUGAUUUGCCCCCUGACUGCUGGGACCCACCAGCUACAUCUUCGCACGCAAGGAAGUGCCUGACAGUCGGGACCCACCAGGUCGAAGCGUACGUAGUGUUGUCAUUCUGGUCGCGAACGUGUACGUACAUACUGGUCGAUGUAGAGGCGCGCACGUGUCAUAGUAGAGGCGCGCACGUAGCAUGUACACAUACGUACAACGGCCAUGGUGCAAGAAAGUAAAUAUGGCCACGUACGUACAUACGGGCGGGGUCUCGAGCGCCUACUUGCGCGUACGUAUGGCCAGGGCUCGUGUACAUGGCUGGGUCGGAACGGAGAAACAACGUCAUCCUUGUGUUCAUGGGGAGCCAAUCGGCUGGGUCGGAACGGAAUGCGUUGUCGUGUUCAUCGGGAGGGCUUGGACGGAACAGCCAAUGGAAACAAGGCCUGGCAUACCGCAGAACGGAGGAAACGGCCUUGUGUUCGACCAGCCACAUUCGAAACGGGAUCUUGUUCAUCGGGAGGCGUCUGGCAUACCGCAAAACGGAGGAAAUGGACCUCCUAUGGUCGAAACGGGGGUCCUGUUGAUCGGGAGGGGUGUGGCAUACCGCAAAACGGAGGAAACGGACUUGUGUUGGAGCGCUACGGUCAAAACCAGGGUCCUAUUCAUCGGGAGGGGUGUGGCGUACCGCAAAACGUGACUCCACGGGAUACUGUUCAUCUCCACUGUCGACCCCUCCAGCCUCCACGGGCUACUGUUCAUCCACCGUCGACCUCCUCCAGCCUCCACCUGCGAUUGUUCAUCCACGGGCUCCUGUUCAUCCAGCCUCCACCGCGCGCUACUCCACCGACUACUGUUCAACCAGCCCUCUCCACGGGCUCCUGUUCAACCACCCCUCCACGGGCUACUAUUCAUCCAGCCCUCCAUCGUCUACUGUUCAUCCUGCCCUCCACGGGGUGGUCCUGUUCAUCCUGCCCUCCACGGGGGUCCUGUUCAUCCAGCCCCAACCAACUCGAUCGAUCGGGGUCCUGUUCAUCCAGAGGCAACACCACGGGGUCCUGUUCAUCCACCCCCCCCCUAAUGCUCACUGUUCAUCUAGAGGCAGCAUCGAUCGGCUUCAGUUAGCAGCAGUAGCGAAGGAAUCGCUCGAUCGGGUUCAGUUAACAGCCAUUGACCGAUCGCUCGGGUUCAGUAACGCAUAGCCUGCAGUGCAAUCGCUCGGGUUCAGUUCGAGCCCAACACCUCACUAGGGUUUAGUUAGAGCCCAAUGCCUCCCACCCGCGUGUGUGCGUGUAUAAGAGAAACGCGCAUCGCUCGGCCCGACCACCCACCGUAACCAGGAACACCCCGAUAUUUUCCUCACCCUCGCUUCUACCAUGGUUUUUUCCGUCAUGGACGGCCCAAAGAAUGUCAUGCAGCUGCGUCUUCGGCCCGCCCAGGACGAAAAGCCCAUUUUCUGUCAUGAUUUUUUUGUCAUAGAAGUAGGACCCCACCACAUCUAUGAUGAUACCGGGUUUUGUCACAAUUAUCGUCAUAGAAGUGUCAUAAGUAUGACAAAAAAGAUUUUUGUUCGGCCCAAAAUGUCACAGAUGUGUCUUUUUUUUGUAGUGCCAUGUCUGGGUUGAAUAAGGAAAUGAAGGGAGAAAGUAUUGUCCAAGAGACUAGGCAUCGAACCCGCAUCUAGGUUGAAAAGGGGGAAAUCAGUAGCUAAGGAACGAGUCUCGUGUCUCUUGGUUGAAAAAGGGUAGAAAGGCAUGACAACACAAUAGAGAAUGACCAGGUCGAUCGGUUUGUUGUCCUCACAUAGGAAAAAUGUGGCUAAAGAGAACAAAAAUGGGACGGAAUCCACAUAUGUUGCCUGGAUAUUUGUUGCUCUGGGCAACCAUACCUCCCUCACCACUCUAUGCGUCCAUGGAGGUACAUCGUACUGGUGUGCCCAUUGUCCGAAUGGGCCUCCCAUGCUCUUAUUGUCACUUUUUUGCUGUUAGUAUAACGCCAGCGGUAAAAUCUAGCAAUGCUACUGCUAAAGUGAUGCCACAUUUAACUAAUGCCGCACUUAGUCUAAUGCCACCGAUAAAUUUAAGCAAUGUCAUUUAAUGUCACUGGAUUAUUUCAGGGUUAGCUGUUGAUUGUGGAUGUAUUAAAUAUUUUUCAGCUAAGGCAUUCUAAUGUUGUUGCACAACCAGUAUACCAACGAUGAAACUUGUUACUACCUUCAGAUUUUUGCAUUGUUAAUGCUUAUAGAUUACAUACCUCACUUUCAUGAGAUAAGUCAAUUUUUUUGUGAAGUGUCGCCAAAAUGCCAAGGUGCUGAUGUCAUUAAUUUUGGUUAAACUUCACAAAAAAUUAUGAAGACAAGAGGAAAGGUCAAGAGUGGGCACCUCCUCCUCCGGCUGUUCUCUUGAUUCGUACAAUCAAGUUUUUAUGUUUGAUCAAUUAUCAAGAUUGGGAUAGCAAUUUUGAUGUCCCCUCGAGUUCGAAAUGAUAUUUACCUUGAAGGUACAUGGUUUGUAAAUUUUGUAUACUGUCAUUAGUUAAUAUUGCUAGUUACCUUCAAACUUUUGUAUUUGGUUUAAUGUUGUUGCACGGCUAGUAUACCAAUGCUAAAACUUGUUACCUUUAUAUUUUGUAUUGUUAAUGCUUAUAGAAAUCUUCCAGUGCUAGCUUAUGGAAAUAUGUUCAGUAAAACCAUUGUACUAUACCCCAUGAUAAAAAAACCACUCUACCGUUGCACUAGCCACUGGAUUAGUGUAUAUUUGUACUAUUCGAAUGGUGUUGCAUUAGCGUAUGGACAUAUAUAAAGUGUGGAAAGCUUUCUCAGAUUGAUGACCCACAAGUAUAGGGUAUCUAUUGUAGUCCUUUCGAUAAGUAAGAGUAUCGAACCCAACGAGGAGCAGAAGGAAAUGAUAAGCCGUUUUCAGCAAGGUAUUCUCUGCAAGCACUGAAAUUAUAGGUAAUAGAUAGUUUUGUGAUAAGAUAAUUUGUAACGAGCAACAAGUAACAAAAGUAAAUAAAGUGCAGCAAGGUGGCCCAAUCCUUUUUGUAGCAAAGGACAAGCCUGGACAAACUCUUAUAUAGAGAAAAGCGCUCCCGAGGACACAUGGGAAUUAUCGUCAAGCUAGUUUUCAUCACGUUCGUAUGAUUCGCGUUCGGUACUUUGAUAAUCUGAUAUGUGGGUGGACCGGUGCUUGGGUACUGUCCUUACUUGGACAAGCAUCCCACUUAUGAUUAACCUCUAUUGCAAGCAUCCGCAACUACAACAAAAGUAUUAAGGUAAACCUAACCAUAGCAUGAAACAUAUGGAUCCAAAUCAGCCCCUUAUGAAGCAAUGCAUAAACUAGGGUUUAAUCUUCUGUCACUCUAGCAACCCAUCAUCUACUUAUUACUUCCCAAUGCCUUCCUCUAGGCCCAAAUAAUGGUGAAGUGUCACGUAGUCGACGUUCACAUAACACCACUAGAGGAGAGACAACAUACAUCUCAUCAAAAUAUCGAACGAAUACCAAAUUCACAUAAAUACUAAUAGCAAGACUUCUCCCAUGUCCUCAGGAACAAACGUAACUACUCACAAAGCAUAUUCAUGUUCAUAAUCAGAGGGGUAUUAAUGUGCAUAUAGCAUCUCAACAUAUGAUCUUCCACCAAGUAAACCAACUAGCAUCAACUACAAGGAGUAAUCAACACUACUAGCAACCUACAGGUACCAAUCUCAGACUUAGAGACAAGAAUUGGGUACAAGAGAUGAACUAGGGUUUGAGAGGAGAUGGUGCUAGUGAAGAUGUUGAUGGAGAUUAACCCCCUCCCGAUGAGAGGAUCAUUGGUGAUGACGAUGGUGAUGAUUUCCCCCUCCCGGGGGGGAAGUUUCCCCGGCAGAACAUCUCCGCCGGAGCCCUAGAUUGGUUCCGCCAAGGUUCCGCCUCGUGGCGGCGGAGUCUCGUCCCGAAAGCUUGCUUAUGAUAUUUUUCUCAACGAAAGACUCCAUAUAGUAGAAGAUGGGCAUCGGAGGGCCACCAGGGGGCGCACGAGGCAGGGGCGCGCCCAGGGGGCUAGGGCGCGCCCCCCACCCUCGUGGCUGGUGAGUGGCCCCCCUCUGGUACUUCUUGUGCUCAGUAUUUUUUAUAUAUUCUGAAAAUAACUUCCGUGAAGUUUCAGGACUUUUGGAGCUGUGUAGAAUAGGUCUCUAAUAUUUGCUCCUUUUCCAGCCUAGAAUCCCAGCUGCCGGCAUUCUCCCUCUUUAUGUAAACCUUGUAAAAUAAGAGAGAAUAGGCAUAAGUAUUGUGACAUAUUGUGUAAUAACAGCUCAUAAUGCAAUAAAUAUCGAUAUAAAAGCAUGAUGCAAAAUGGACGUAUCAACUCCCCCAAGCUUAGACCUCGCUUGUCCUCAAGCGAAAGCCGAAAUCGAAAAAUAUGUCCACUUGUUUAGAGAUAGAGAUGUCGAUAAAAAUAAAAUACAGACAUGAGGGCAUCAUGAUCAUUCUUAGAACAUCAGCUUAUAUAAUUAUUGUCAUAUGAUCUCUUAUGCUAGAGUAACAAUUCAAUCACAAUUUCAAGUAUGAAUCAUGAACUUCAUUGAAAACUAACAAACUAUAAUCUCAGUCAUUGAAGCAAUUGCAAUUUAUCAUAACAUAGGAAAGAGUCAAUAUAAGAGCUUUUCAGCAAGUCCAUAUACUCAACCAUCUUUUAGUCUUUCACAAUUGCUAACACUCACGCAAUAUUUAUGGGUAUGAAGUCUUAAUCGAACACAGAGAAAGAUAGGGGCUUAUAGUUUUGCCUCCCAAUGUUUUACCUCAAGGGUAAUGUCAACAAUAAUAGUUCAUGAAAACUCACAUCCAAUUAGCCAUACAUACCAGGAUCUUUCCGACAUAUUGUGCUUGCCAAAAGAUAAAAUGUAAAAAGGAAAGGUGAGGAUCACCAUGACUCUUAUGUAAGGUAGGAGAUAAAAGUAAAAGAUAGGCCCUUCGCAGAGGGAAGUAGAGGUUGUCAUGCGCUUUUAUGGUUGGAUGCACAAAAUCUUAAUGCGAAAGAAUGUCACUUUAUAUUGCCACUUGUGAUAUGGACCUAUAUUAUGCAGUCCAUCACUUUUAUUUCUUCCACAUCACAAGAUCGUAUGAAGCUCAUUUUCUCCCACACUAAUAAGUCAUACAUAUUUAGAGAGCAAUUUUUAUUGCUUGCACCGAUGACAACUUACUUGAAGGAUCUUACUCAAUCCAUAGGUAGAUAUGGUGGAAUCUCAUGGCAAAACUGGGUUUAAGGGUAUUUGGAAGCACAAGUAGUAUCUCUACUUGGCACAAAGAGUUUAGCUAGCAUGAGGGGAAAAGGCAGGCUCAAUCAUGUUGGAUGAUCCAUGGCAAUAUAAUUUAUCUUAGAUGUAGGAAAACAUAACCCAUUACAUUGUCUUCCUUGUCCAACAUCAACUCUUUAGCAUAUCAUAUUUUAAUGAGUGCUCACAAUCAUAAAAGAUGUCCAAGAUAGUAUAUUUAUAUGUGAAGACCUCUCUUUCUUUAUUACUUCCUAUUAAUUGCAACAAUGACCAAAACUAUGUUUGUCAACUCUCAACAAGUUUUAUUCAUCAUACUCUUUAUAUGUGAGCUCAUUACUCUCCAUAAGAUCCUUAUGAUAUCUUUUAUUUCUUUUUAUUCUUUUCUCUUUUCUUUUAUUCACUCAAGAUAAUGGCAAAAUAAUCAAGCCCUUGACUCAACACUAAUCUUUAUUAUAUAGCUCACUGAUUCGAUUACAUAGAGGGAUCAUAAAGCAAAACUCAAAACUAGAUCAUACCAAAAAAAUUAUUCUACUAGAUCAAGAUAUUACUAAAAGGAUCGAACUAAGAAAACGGUAAAGAUAGGAGUGUGAUGGUGAUACGAUACCGGGGCACCUCCCCCAAGCUUGGCAGUUGCCAAGGGGAGUGCCCAUACCCAUAUGAUUAUGUCUCCUUUGUUGGUGAAGAAGGUGAUGCUUUUGUUGAUGGCAUAGGCUUGUCGUCCCUCUUCCAAGGCAUAGGCUCACCAUCAUAGAAGGAUGAUCGAGUCCCCUGAGUCCUCAAAUCUGCAGCCAAACUCAUCCUUUUGAAUCUAUAUUCAUACUCACAGUUUUGAUUUUGCAGGUCAUAGAUCUGGGCUUGGAGGUGCUUGAUUUUCUCAUGAAGCUUGAAGAUGGCCUCCCCAACGUCCUUGACAUUUAGCUUGUGGUUGUUGGUGAACUCUGUGAUCAUAAUGUGAUUGGAGUCAAGUCCACGCUCCACCAUCUCCUGACACUUGAAAACUUGUUGCUCCAAUGCCUCGAGCCUUGCCUCCGUGCUUCCGGUCUUCCUUGGUCCCUCAACAUCGCGGAUGUGCAACAACCCCUCACGCAUCUCAAUGGUUUGAGGGUGUUGCAGCACCUCCGCGAGGUAGGGGUUGAUGACCUUCUCGAAGAACUUGUCCUUGGGGGCACUUGAAGACGACAUGACGACCUAGAUCUGUCAGAAAAACAGCUCGAAACAAAGACGAGAGAUAUUUGUGUGAUACAGGAGUCAAAACCUCUCGGAGAUUAUAUAAUGAAUUUUUACCAACCAAAAUACGCAACGUGCAAGAAAACGGAGUCCGGAGAGCGCACGAGGUGCCCACGAGGUAGGGGGCGUGCCCAGGGGGUAGGGCGCGCCCACCAGCCUCGUGGAGGCCUCGUGUCCUUCCCGGGAUGCUUCUUAUUUUCCUAUUUUUCUAAAUAUUCCAAAACGGAGAAAUUUUUCCAUUAGAACUGUUUUGGAGUCGGUUUACUUACCGUACCACGUACCUAUUCCUUUUCGGACUCUGAAACAUUCUGGAAAGUGUCCCUUAUGUAUUCCUCCGGGGUUACGGUUUCAAUAACAUUAAUUUCAGCAUUUAUAGGAUUACCUAAUAUAUAAUGUUUGAUUCUUUGACCGUUCACCACCUUCGAUCCGUGCCUUCGAAGUUGCUGAUUUUUAUGGCACCGGAACGAUAGACCUCCUCGAUAACGUAAGGACCUUCCCAUUUAGAGAGAAGUUUUCCUGCAAAAAAUCUUAAGCGAGAGUUGUAUAGCAAUACAUAAUCACCUACAUUAAACUCACGCUUUUGUAUUCUUUUGUCAUGCCAUCUUUUAACUUUUUCUUUAAACAACUUGGCAUUUUCAUAGGCUUGGGUUCUCCAUUCAUCAAGUGAGCUACUGUCAAAUAACCUCUUCUCACCGGCAAGUUUGAAAUUAUAAUUGAGCUCUUUAAUGGCCCAAUAUGCCUUAUGUUCUAGUUCGAGAGGUAAGUGACAUGCUUUUCCAUAAACCAUUUUAUACGGAGACAUACCCAUAGGAUUUUUAUAUACAGUUCUAUAAGCCCAUAAUGCAUCAUCAAUUUUCUUGGACCAAUUCUUUCUAGAUCUAUUAAUAGUCUUUUGCAAAAUUAAUUUGAGUUCUCUGUUACUCAAUUCUACUUGAACACUAGACUGUGGGUGAUAAGGAGAUGCAAUUCUAUGAUUAACAUCAUACUUAGCAAGCAUUUUACGGAAAGCACCAUGAAUAAAAUGUGAACCACCAUCAUUCAUUAAAUAUCUAGGGACUCCAAACCUCGGAAAAAUAACUUCUUUAAGCAUCUUAAUAGAGAUGUUAUGAUCAGCACUACUAGUUGGAAUAGCUUCUACCCACUUAGUAACGUAAUCAACAUCAACUAAAAUAUGUGUAUAUCCAUUAGAGGCAGGAAACGGUCCCAUAUAAUCAAAGCCCCAAACAUCAAAUGGUUCAAUAACAAGUGAAUAAUUCAUAGGCAUUUCUUGACGUCUACUAAUAUUACCAAUUCUUUGACAUUCAUCACAAGAUAUAACAAACUUAUGGGCAUCCCUGAAGAGAGUAGGCCAAUAAAAACCGGAUUGCAAUACCUUAUGUGCGGUUCUAUCUCCAGCGUGGUGUCCUCCAUAAGCUUCGGAGUGACACUUGCAUAGGAUCUAUUCAUGUUCAUGCUCAGGUACACAACGUCUAAUAACACCAUCUACUCCUUUAUAAAGGUGUGGGUCAUCCCAGAAGUAAUGUCAUAAAUCAUAGAAAAACUUUUUCUUUUGCUGGUAUGUGAAACUAGGUGGUAUAAACUUAGCAACAAUGUAAUUAGCAUAAUCAGCAUACCAUGGAGCAAUGUGAGAAGCAUUUAUGACAUUUAAUUGUUCAUCAGGAAAGCUAUCAUCAAUAGGUAGUGGGUCAUCAAGAACAUUUUCCAACCUAGAUAAGUUAUCUGCAACGGGGUUCUCGGCUCCCUUUCUAUCAAUAAUAUGCAAAUCAAAUUCUUGUAGCAAGAGAACCCAUCUAAUAAGUCUAGGUUUAGCAUCUUUCUUUUCCAUAAGAUAUUUAAUAGCAGCAUGAUCAGUGUGAAUAGUUACUUUAGAGUCAACAAUAUAAGGUCUGAACUUAUCACAAGCAAAUACAACUGCUAAGAAUUCUUUUUCAGUAGUAGCAUAAUUUCUCUAGGCAUUGUCUAGAGUUUUACUAGCAUAUUAAAUAACAUUUAAUUUCUUAUCAACUCUUUGCCCUAGAACAGCACCUACAUCAUAAUCACUAGCAUCGCACAUAAUUUCAAAAGGUAAAUUCCAAUCAGGUGGCUGAACGAUAGGUGCAGAGAUUAAUGCUUUCUUAAGUAUUUCAAAUGCUUCUACACAGUCAUCACCAAAGACGAACGGUGUAUCUUUUUGUAAUAAAUUAGUCAGAGGCCGAGAAAUUUUUGAUAAGUCCUUAUUGAACCUCCUAUAAAAGCGGCAUGACCAAGGAAACUUCUUAUACCUUUGAUGUCCUUGGGACACGACAUCUUUUCAAUAGCAUCAACUUUAGCUUUAUCAACUUCAAUGCCCCUUUCAGAAAUUUUGUGCCCCAAGACAAUACCUUCAUUAACCAUAAAGUGGCAUUUCUCCCAAUUCAAGACAAGGUUAGUUUCUUCACAUCUCUGCAAAACUCGAUCAAGGUUGCUUAAGCAAUCAUCAAAAGAGGAUCCAUAAACGGAGAAAUCAUCCAUGAAUACCUCACAAAUCUUUUCACAAAAAUUAGAGAAUAUAGCCAUCAUGCAUCUUUGAAAGGUAGCAGGUCCAUUACAUAAACCAAAAGGCAUACGUCUAUAAGCAAAAGUACCGAAAGGGCAAGUAAAAGUGGUCUUUGAUUGAUCAUCAGCUGACACGUGUAUUUGAGAGAAACCAGAAUAACCAUCUAGAAAGCAAAAAUGUGUAUGUUUGGAUAAUCUUUCUAGCAUUUGAUCAAUGAAAGGUAAGGGGUAAUGAUCUUUUUUAGUAGCCUUAUUUAAUUUUCGGAAAUCAAUUACCAUCCUAUAACCUAUAAUAAUUCUUUGCAGAAUCAAUUCAUCUUUAUCAUUAGGAACGACAGUAAUACCUCCCUUCUUAGGAACACAAUGGACAGGACUUACCCACUGACUAUCAGCAACGGGAUAAAUUAUACCUGCCUCAAGGAGCUUUAGUAUUUCUUUUCUUACCACUUCUUUCAUCUUAGGAAUCAACCGUCGUUGGUGAUCAAUAACCGGUUUGGCAUCUUUCUCCAAAUUUAUUUUGUGUUGACAUAGAGUGGGACUAAUGCCCUUAAGAUCAUCAAGAGUAUAUCCAAUAGCAGCACGGUGCUUCUUCAGAAUUUUCAAUAAUUUUUCUUCCUCCUUCUCUGAAAGGUUAGCACUAAUAAUAACAGGAUAUAUCUUCUUUUCAUCAAGAUAAGCAUAUUUAAGAGUAUCAGGCAAUGGUUUAAGCUCAAACACGGGAUCACCCUUGGGUAGAGGACGAUCCCCUAAGAUUUCAACAGGCAAAUUGUGUUUCAGAAUAGGUCCCUGUUUAAAGAACACCUCAUCUAUUUCCCUUCUUUCAUUCAUAAACAUAUCAUUUUCAUGGUCUAGCAAAUAUUGUUCUAAAGGAUCACUAGGAGGUACGGCAAUAGAAGCAAGACCAAUAAUUUCAUCUUUACUAGGCAAUUCCUCUUCACGGUGUUGUCUAUGAAAUUUAGAAAAGUUGAACUCAUGAGACAUAUCACCUAAACCAAUAGUAACAACAUCCUUUUUGCAGUCUAUCCUAGCAUUAACAGUGUUUAAGAAGGGUCUACCAAAUAUAAUGGGACAAAAGCUAUCUUGUGGGAACCAAGAACAAGAAAAUCAGCAGGAUAUUUAGUUUUCCCACACAAGACUUCAACAUCUCUAACAAUCCCAAUUGGUGAAAUAAUAUCUCUAUUGGCUGGUUUAAUUGUGACAUCAAUAUCUUCUAACUCAGCAGGUGCAAUAUCAUGCAUAAUUUCUCGGUAUAAGUCAAUAGGUAUUGCACUAGCACUAGCACCCAUAUCACACAAGCCAUGAUAACAAUGAUCUCCUAUUUUAACAGAAAUAACAGGCAUGCCUACCACAGGUCUAUGUUUAUCUUUAGCACAAGGUUUAGCAAUUCUAGCAGUUUCAUCACAGAAAUAAAUAACAUGCCCAUCAAUAUUAUCAGCCAAGAGAUCCUUAACAAUAGCAAUAUUAGGUUCAACUUUAACUUUAUCAGGAGGUGUAUAGGUUCCAAUAUUGCUUUUACGAACCACAGUUGAAGCUUUAGCAUGAUCUUUUAUCCUAACAGGAAAAUGUGGUUUCCCAACAUAAGCAAUAGGAAGAAUAGGAUCAUUAUAAGUGAUAGUCUUUUCUUCAACUUUAAUAGGUGCAACUACUUUUACUUCUAUGAGAGGAUGAUAUUUAAACCACUUCUCCUUAGGGAGAUCAACAUGAGUAGCAAAAGAUUCACAGAAAGAAGCUACUAUCUCAGAGUCAAGUCCAUAUUUAGUGCUAAAUUUACGGAAAACAUCGGUAUCCAUAAAGAUUUAACACAAUCAAACAUAGGUGUCAUACCUGACUCCUUACCUUCGUCGAGAUCCCAGUCUUUAGAGUUGCGUUUAAUUCUUUCCAAUAAAUCCCAUUUGAAUUCAAUAGUCUUCAUCAUAAAAGAGCCAGCACAAGAAGUAUCGAGCAUGGUGCGAUUGUUAUCAGAAAGCCAAGCAUAAUUUUUUUGGAUAAUCAUUUCUCUUGAGAGCUCAUGAUUGGGGCAUGAAUAUAACAUUGAUUUAAGCCUCCCCCAAGCUUGAGCGAUGCUUUAUCCUUCGCGAGGCCAAAAUAUAUAUAUAUAAUUACGAUCACGAUGAACAAGAUGCAUAGGAUAAAACUUCUGAUGAAAUUCCAAUUUCAAUCAUUUGUAGUUCCAUGAUCCCAUAUCAUCACAUAGCCUAUACCAUGUCAAUGCAUCUCCUCCCCCCCCCAAAGAUAAAGGGAAGACCUUCUUCUUGAUAACAUCAUCGGGCAUACCUGCAAGCUUAAAUAAUCCACAAACUUCAUCCACAUAUAUUAGGUGCUCAUCAGGAUGUAAUGUUCCAUCUCCUGCAAAAGGAUUAGCUAGCAGUUUUUCUAUCAUACCCAAAGGAAUUUCAAAGUAGACAUGUUCAUUUUCAAUAGGUUCGGUAGGUUGAGGAGCAACUCUUUGCUCUACUGGUCGAGGUGAAGAUACCCCGAACAAGCCCCUCAGAGGAUUACUUUCCAUAGUAACAAGUGACAGUAAAUUUUAGCACACUAUAUAAAUUUUUCCUUACCAAAUUCCGCCUACCAAAGGCGCUUCACUCCCCGGCAACGGCGCCAGAAAAGAGUCUUGAUGACCCACAAGUAUAGGGGAUCUAUCAUAGUCCUUUUGAUAAGUAAGAGUGCCGAACCCAACGAGGAGCAGAAGGAAAUGAUAAGCGGUUUUCAGCAAGGUAUUCUCUGCAAGCACUGAAAUUAUAGGUAAUAGAUAGUUUUGUGAUAAGAUAAUUUUUAACGAGCAACAAGUAACAAAAGUAAAUAAAGUGCAGCAAGGUGGCCCAAUCCUUUUUGUAGCAAAGGACAAGCCUGGACAAACUCUUAUAUAGAGAAAAGCGCUCCCGAGGACACAUGGGAAUUAUCGUCAAGCUAGUUUUCAUCACGUUCGUAUGAUUCGCGUUCGGUACUUUGAUAAUCUGAUAUGUGGGUGGACCGGUGCUUGGGUACUGUCCUUACUUGGACAAGCAUCCCACUUAUGAUUAACCUCUAUUGCAAGCAUCCGCAACUACAACAAAAGUAUUAAGGUAAACCUAACCAUAGCAUGAAACAUAUGGAUCCAAAUCAGCCCCUUAUGAAGCAAUGCAUAAACUAGGGUUUAAUCUUCUGUCACUCUAGCAACCCAUCAUCUACUUAUUACUUCCUAAUGCCUUCCUCUAGGCCCAAAUAAUGGUGAAGUGUCAUGUAGUUGACGUUCACAUAACAUCACUAGAGGAGAGACAACAUACAUCUCAUCAAAAUAUCGAACGAAUACCAAAUUCACAUGACUACUAAUAGCAAGACUUCUCCCAUGUCCUCGGGAACAAACGUAACUACUCACAAAGCAUAUUCGUGUUCAUAAUCAGAGGGGUAUUAAUGUGCAUAUAGGAUCUGAACAUAUGAUCUUCCACCAAGUAAACCAACUAGCAUCAACUACAAGGAGUAAUCAACACUACUAGCAACCUACAGGUACCAAUCUCAGACUUAGAGACAAGAAUUGGAUACAAGAGAUGAACUAGGGUUUGAGAGGAGAUGGUGUUGGUGAAGAUGUUGAUGGAGAUUAACCCCCUCCCGAUGAGAGGAUCGUUGGUGAUGACGAUGGUGAUGAUUUCCCCCUCCCGGAGGGAAGUUUCCCCGGCAGAACAGCUCCGCCGGAGCCCUAGAUUGGUUCCGCCAAGGUUCCGCCUCGUGGCGGCGGAGUCUCGUCCCAAAAGCUUGCUUAUGAUUUUUUUUCUCAACGAAAGAUUCCAUAUAAUAGAAGAUGAGCAUCGAAGGGCCACCAGGGGGCCCACGAGGUAGGGGGCGCGCCCAGGGGGUAGGGCGCGCCCCCCACCCUCGUGGCUGGUGAGUGGCCCCCCUCUGGUACUUCUUGUGCUCAGUAUUUUUUAUAUAUUCUGAAAAUAACUUCCGUGAAGUUUCAGGACUUUUCGAGUUGUGCAGAACAGGUCUCUAAUAUUUGCUCCUUUUCCAGCCCAGAAUCCCAGCUGCCGGCAUUCUCCCUCUUUAUGUAAACCUUGUAAAAUAAGAGAGAAUAGGCAUAAGUAUUAUGACAUAAUGUGUAAUAACAGCUCAUAAUGCAAUAAAUAUCGAUAUAAAAGAAUGAUGCAAAAUGGACGUAUCAACUCCCCCAAGCUUAGACCUCGCUUGUCCUCAAGCGAAAGCCGAAAUUGAAAAAUAUGUCCACUUGUUUAGAGAUAGAGAUGUCGAUAAAAAUAAAAUACAGACAUGAGGGCAUCAUGAUCAUUCUUAGAACAUCAGCUUAUAUAAUUAUUGCCAUAUGAUCUCUUAUGCUAGAGUAACAAUUCAAUCACAAUUUCAAGUAUGAAUCAUGAACUUCAUUGAAAACUAACAAACUAUAAUCUCAGUCAUUGAAGCAUUUGCAAUUUAUCAUAACAUAGGAAAGAGUCAAUAUAAGAGCUUUUCAGCAAGUCCACAUACUCAACCAUCUUUUAGUCUUUCACAAUUGCUAACACUCACGCAAUAUUUAUGGGUAUGAAGUCUUAAUCGGACACAGAGAAAGAUAGGGGCUUAUAGUUUUGCCUCCCAAUGUUUUACCUGAAGGGUAAUGUCAACAAUAAUAGUUCAUGAAAACUCACAUCCAAUUAGCCAUACAUACCAGGAUCUUCCAACAUAUUGUGCUUGCCAAAAGAUAAAAUGUAAAAAGGAAAGGUGAGGAUCACCAUGACUCUUAUGUAAGGUAGGAGAUAAAAGUAAAAGAUAGGCCCUUCGCAGAGGAAAGUAGAGGUUGUCAUGCGCUUUUAUGGUUGGAUGCACAAAAUCUUAAUGCGAAAGAACGUCAUUUUAGUGGAACUGCACAAAAAGUCAAAAUGGUUCAACAUUAGGAGCAUGUUUUCUUCCAAACCUUUAUAUCCAGUUGGUGGCACUAUGAGUUGUUCAUUAUGAAGGUACAUGGUUUGCUACUAUCUUGCUACUCUUUUUGUUGUCAUUAGAUAGUAAUAUUAGUGGUUUGCAUGUGAAUUUAUUGACAGGGUGGACCUACAUUGGAGGUGCGAGACAUGAUUCAAUGAUUGGAUGCUCAAUUUUGGUUGUAGCGAUUUCACCUCUUCCAUCAUUGCGAACAUGGAUAUCCUUAGUCUAAUAAAGAAUAGGCGCUAUAUUUCUACUCUGUACCAGGAAAUCAAUUCAGUACGAAAUUGUCCAGGGCAAAACAUGACAGUAUCAAAUUGUCCAGUGCAAAACAUGACAGAUGCUAAGCGGAAGAGACAUGUUUAAAUCGAAAAUACAAGGUGAGUUGCUUGAUAUUUGUGCAGAUAGAUGUCUGCCCGUUGCUAUUUGGAAAACAAACAAAGUGACUGCAAUUUUGGUGGAACUGCACAAGAGAAUAAUAUAGUCACUGCAUGUUGUGCCAUUUGAAAAUAGACACAGAAAGAUUGGAUAGUCACUUCAUGGACUGUACAAAAGUAGUAAUGUACUAUUUAUUGGCCAACACUAGGUGCUUCAGUGCUUUGGUCUGAUUAUACAAUGGGCAUCAUUUUACCUAAGUUAAAAUUUUGUAUUCCGAAAAUAGUCUCGUCGUGUGAUCAAGAGAAGACCAAAUCAUAUUGCAGUGGAUGUUCCUCCAUCAUGUGUGGUUCAUUCUCAUGGUUCCAGCUGUUGGUGAAACCACUUAUGUUUGCAAGAGGAAUUGUAGACUUCACAAACAAUUUUUUCUUUCAGUCUGUACAGAAUGUUGGCCAAGAGAAGCAUCCAUGUUAGUAGGAAGAACAUAUGUUUUUUCUAGAUCUUUGCUUUUGGAGCUACAUAUUUGUAUAUGAUUUGUGAAUCAUUGAGAUGCAUUAACAUCUUGAUCUUAUGUAUGGGAUUCGUACUAGUUGGUUGUGAAUUUGGGCUACUAAUGUGAACAUAUUACAAUGCCAGGCAUGUGAGUCUUGUGUGAACAUUUGAACGGAUCGGCUCUUACUAUUGUGCACAACAUGAUCCUUAUUUCUGUGUUCUCAGUGUUUACAAGUUACUAAUAGUUCCUUAUUUUUGUUCGCUCAGUGUUUACAAAUUACUAAUCGAUCACUAGCUAGCCUACUAAUGUGCUCCUGGCUGGGUUUUUUUUGCGAGGCAAGAUCCGAAGUGGCAGUUUUUUGAAUAAAAAUGCCUACCUUUGAAGAAACUGACAUGUUGUUCUGAAGAAAAUGUCAUGCGAAUAUGAAGAAGCUGCUAGUAAAUACGUUAGCAAAUGCCUUAUCUCCCAGCGAACGUUCAUCUGCUAUUGCGAUCCUACACAUACACUAUCCGAUCGACUCGAUACUACGCGAAUAACCAGCGGAUCACGCGUGUACCUCAUCUGGAUGAAUCGAGCGCACUCGUUUGACCGUCAUACCGACGUGCGACCCAGCACAGACGGGACGCACCACUAACGGGAUGGGAUGGGACGACACGGUCAUAAUUUUAGGUUUUCUAGUUUUCCACGGCAAGCUGGGGCGCUAAGCCAUGUGUGCUUAUGCAUUGAAUUCCGAUGACCGUCGCGUUUCCCGUGACACGCUGGUUCACCUAACUUCCUCCUAUAAUUACUGGUUCUUGGCGUUCUCCGGUGGCACCAUCACCCAACUCACCCUAUCCUCAUAAGCCCCCACCGGCCCGACGUCACUCGCCACUUAUCCUCACUCUAGCCACGUCCGUCAUGCCCCCGCCCGUCAGCAAUAGGCGAUGCCGGAGGCAGUCACCGCUGAAACUAGUGUUUGGUCUUUGAUCAGAAGGUAGACGGAGGGAGGAGGCAUUCUAUCGGUCUUUAGAUGGCAAUGCGGAGUAUGAGGACUUGAUGGAGCGCGACCGCCUGGUGGAGGAGCAACGUAUCACCGAUUUGCGCCGCCAGCGGGGCAUGGAGCAGUAGCACACCGAAGCUCUGAAUCGCGAGGAGAGCGCCCGCAACUGGGCCGACUACGUGGAGGUCAGCGCUUGGCAAAUAGCCCUGGAGGCUAUCGGGCAGGCACGUGUUUGCGACGCCAAAUUUUACUACCAGCUCGCCAAGUGGGUUUCACGCUUAGAAGCCAAAGCUUCGGUGGACCACGCCGGCAUGGAAAGGGCCAACGCGCGCGAGCAAUGCGCCCUAUCGCACCUCUGGCAAGUCCGAGGCGAGGCGGAGGACGUCGGUGCCGGCGUUUAGCGUGUACCGCAGAUGGCGGCCGGCAUCGUCUAGUUAGCUAAGGGCAAGUUAGUACUUGUACACUACUAGAGUAUUAGUGUGAGUAGAUAGUUAACUUGGCUAUGAUGGUUGUCAACGUGGAAGUUCAGUACUCUAUAUCUGGAUCAGACCUAUUACUUUGCUCUGAAUAUUGAACUUUCCGUUUGAACAUAUAGAAUGUGUUGUUAUUUUUUAAAUGGGUUGUACUUGUCCGCCACGGCUUUAGAGGCUGACUUGUGGGCCUAUUAGGUUGACACGUACACAAUCAGGAGAUGAUUGUACGUGGAGAGGAUGACAGCAGGGACCCAUCAAGGUCAUGGCAGUACGCAACAGCAAGUGCCUCCUUAUUUCAAGCCCCAAAAAAUGGUUUCUCCAAAUGGUUUCUCCUAAUGGAUUUAUGACAUCUGGGUCCCAUGCCAUUGUCAACGUAGUCAAUAAACAAGAGAAUUGCACAACAAGUGGUUGGCACCAGGGACCCAACAGCUCGCCCAGUUAUUUUUGUUUUUGAGACGGAAGUAGAGUAUCAACUGGGCUGUGCGGGGCACUCUGGCCUGUCUAGCCAACCUUUUCUUUUAUAUUUACCACAAGACCAGCCCAAUAGUUUUUCUUUCUGAAAAUGGCUAGCCCAGUUUUUUGUGCCUUUGCAUAAUACCCAACCGAGGCCUACUUGCUUUGUCAGCCCUGCUGGGUUGCAAAUCUUUCAAGACGAGGAGAGCUUCAUUCGGCUUGCCCAGAAAAUGGGCUAUCACUAAUGAGAAAUGGUUGUACAUUUUUAAAACACAUCAAACCGGCAAUUAGUUUUAAAUUUAUUUUUUUCAUUUUGAGAUUUUAAAUUCCAUUGAUUUUUAUGCAUGGACAAUUUGUUGGAUUUAUAUUGAUAUAAAUUUAUUUUUAAAAUUAGUUUGAAUAUGACUCAAAAUUUCGGGAUUAAAAACAGUUCGGACUGCACCAAAAUAUGCAAAAUUUUGUAUAAUUUUUUAACUGUAGCCAUAAUAUGGGUUGUAAUGCUAACAAAAAGAAUAUGGGCUCCAAAAAAACCUUAAGAAUUAGCAAAUGGGCUAUAAAUUAUUAGAAAUAAUGGCAGAUGGGUUAUAUGAUGUUUUCCACAUAUUUGAGGCUGACUUGUGCACCUACUAUAGGUUGACGCGUAUAUGCUUUCCUAAAAAAAGGUUGACGCACACGCAACGCCAUGUAAACUUAGUCAACACACAACAGCAGUGACUGUUGGAUGUCCAUCCAACAGCCAUCGUGAUUUUUCAAUCUCUUCUCUUCCUGCUCCAGCCACUCAAACAAGUGUUGGCGGGACUGCUUGCUCCCUCUUCCCGUGGUCGGCUGUGCUGUCGUGCAGGCCUCACUGCCCCACCAUACUCCCAUCGCUGGCCUGGCCAUCCCUCUACUCACCCACACCUGUUGUUAUUCUCCAGUGACAGCAAACGAACCAGUAAACCCUCAUAUAUAUAUAUCUCGGAAUGACUAUGGAAAUGCCAUAAUAGGUAGGUAUGGUGGCUGUUUUGAGGAAGGUAUAUGGUGGGUGUAUGGUACCGACGAAAGUUGCGCGGUACUAGAGAGGCUAGCAAUGGUGGAAGGGUGAGAGUGCGUAUAAUCCAUGGACUCAACAUUAGUCAUAAAGAACUCACAUACUUAUUGCAAAAAUCUAUUAGUUAUCGAAACAAAGUACUAUGCGCAUGCUCCUAGGGAGAUAGAUAGGUAGGAAAAGACCAUCGCUCGUCCCCGACCGCCACUCAUAAAGAAGACAAUAAAUAAAUAAAUCAUGCUCCGACUUCAUCACAUAACGGUUCACCAUACGUGCAUGCUACGGGAAUUACAAACUUUAGAACAAGUAUUUCUCAAUUUCACAACUACUCAACUAGCAUGACUCUAAUAUCACCAUCUUCACAUCUCAAAACAAUCAUCAAGUAUCAAACUUCUCAUAGUAUUCAAUGCACUUUUUUAUAAAAGUUUUUAUUAUACCCAUCUUGGAUGCCUAUCAUAUUUGGACUAAUUUUAUAGCCAAAGCAAAUUACCAUGCUGUUCUAAAAGACUCUCAAAAUAAAAUAGGUGAAGCAUGAGAUGUCAAUAAUUUCUAUAAAAUAAAACCACCACUGUGCUCUUAAAGAUAUAAGUGAAGCACUAGAGCAAAAUUAUCUAGCUUAAAAGAUAUAAGUGAAGCACAUAGAGUAUUCUAAUAAAUUAUGAUUCAUGUGUGUCUCUCCAAAAGGUCUGUACAGAAAGGAUGAUUGUGGUAAACUAAAAAGCAAAGACUCAAAUCAUACAAGACGCUCCAAACAAAACACAUAUCAUGUGGUGAAUAAAAAUAUAACAUCAAGUAAAGUUACCGAUGGACGGAGACGAAAGAGGGGAUGCCUUCCGGGGCAUCCCCAAGCUUAGGCUUUUGGUUGUCCUUGAAUUUUACCUUGGGGUGCCUUGGGCAUCCCCAAGCUUAGGCUCUUGCCACUCCUUAUUCCAAAAUCCAUCAAAUCUUUACCCAAAACUUGAAAACUUCACAGCACAAAACUCAACAGAAAAUCUCAUGAGCUCCGUUAGUAUAAGAAAACAAACCACCACUUCAAGGUACUGUAAUGAACUCAUUCUUUAUUUAUAUUGGUGUUAAACCUACUGUAUUCCAACUUCUCUAUGGUUCAUACCCCCUGAUACUAGCCAUAGAUUCAUCAAAAUAAGCAAACAACACACAAAAAACAGAAUCUGUCAAAAACAGAACAGUCUGUAGUAAUCUGUAGGUUUCGAAUACUUCUGUAACCCCCAAAAUUCUGAAAUAAAUUUGUGUACGUGAGGAAUUUGUCUAUUAAUCAUCUGCAACAAGAAUCAACCUAAUCUCACUCUCCAGUAAAAAAUGGAAGCUAAUCUCAUGAGCAUUAAAGUUUCUGUUUUUUACAGCAAGAUCGCAAAGACUUCCCCUAAGUCUUCCCAAAGGUUCUACUUGGAACAAACACUAAUUAAAACAUAAAACCACAUCUAAACAGAAGCUAGAUGAAUUAUUUAUUACUAAACAGGAACAAAAAACAAGAAACCAAAAUAAAAUUGGGUUGCCUCCCAACAAGCACUAUCGUUUAACGCCCCUAGCUAGGCAUAAAAACAAGAAUAGAUCUAGGUAUUGUCAUCUUUGGUGUUGGGAAAGAAAAGAGAAAAUUUCUUAUCUAUAGAAUUUAUCUUUCUAUUUUGAGAAAGCACGUGGCCAUUAAUGGUGGAAGAAAGAUUAAGCACGCUACAAAAAUUUGCAUCUAAGCUAGCCUUCAUCUCUUUGAUAAUUUCGUUUUGAUAAAAGCACAAAAGAGAGGUGGAUUCAACCUUCUCAUUCAUGGGGUGCCCAAAUAUAGUUUUCAUCUUUUCAUAGGUAUCUAUGGCAUCCCCCUCAAGAAAACCUUCUUCAAAAAUAGAAUCUAAAACUUGCUUGAACAAAGAGGGUAAGCCAACAUAAAAGCUUUUUAGGUAUAUCUCAAUUUGAUAUUGGGGUACAUAACUGGCGUGGAUCCUUAAUAGCCUAUCUCAAGCAUCUUUCAAAGACUCAUCAAGUAAAUAACAAAAAAAAUCCCAGGAUCAUCUUCAUCGAAAUUAUUCAAACUCUCAUUGAUAACCCCGAUAGGUCUUUCCAUAGCAUCAUUAUUUAUGAGCUUAGAGAGGACAGAGGGACUAUCCAAAGUGCUAAAACCCGGGAGAGAACCCUUACCCCUUUUUGAUUCGGCCAUGGCAAAAGAAAGGCAAACCGGAAAGAGGCAAACGGAAAAGAGGGCGAAUAAAACGGCAAAGGUGAAGUGGGGGAGAGGAAAAUGAGAGGCAAAUGGCAAAUAAUGUAAUGCGAGGGAUAGGCGUUUGUGAUGGGUACUUGGUAUGACUUAAUUUGUGCGUAGAUCUCCCCGGCAACGGUGCCAGAAAUGGCUUGUUGACGGGAGAUCAAAUCUUGACUUGACUUGGUGCAACCUCCCCGGCAACGGCGCCAGAAAUCCUUCUUGCUACCUCUUGAGCAUGCGUUGGUUUUCCCUUGAAGAGGAAAGGGUGAUGCAGCAAAGUAGCGUAAGUAUUUCCCUCAGUUUUUGAGAACCAAGGUAUCAAUCCAGUAGGAGGUAAUACACAAGUCCUAGUACCUGCACAAACAAACAAGUACCUCGCAACCAAUGCGAUAAAGGGGUUGUCAAUCCCUUCACGGUCACUUAUGAAAGUGAGAUCUGAUAGAGAUAAUAAGAUAAAUAUUUUUGGUAUUUUAUUUAUAGAUUGGAAAAUAAAGAUUGCAAAAUAAACAACAAUAGAAACAGCAAGUUGCUAGGAAAAUAAUAUAAUGAAAAAUAGACCCGGGGCCAUAGGUUUCACUAGUGGCUUCUCUCAAGAUAGCAAAUUCUACGGUGGGUGAACAAAUUACUGUCGAGCAAUUGAUAGAAAAGCGCAUAGUUAUGAGAAUAUCUAGGCAUGAUCAUGUAUAUAGGCAUCACGUCCGCGACAAGUAGACCAAAACAAUUUUGCAUCUACUACAAUUACUCCACACAUCGACCGCUAUCCAGCAUGCAUCUAGAGUAUUAAGUUCAUAAGAACAGAGUAACGCAUUAGGCAAGAUGACAUGAUGUAGAGGAAUAAACUCAAGCAAUAUGAUAUAAACCCCAUCUUUCUAUCCUCGAUGGCAACAAUACAAUACGUGCCUUGCUGCCCCUGCUGUCACUGGGAAAGGACACCGCAAGAUUGAACCCAAAGCUAAGCACUUCUCCCAUUGCAAGAAAGAUCAAUCUAGUAGGCCAAACCAAACUGAUAAUUCGAAGAGACUUGCAAAGAUAUUAAAUCAUGCAUAAAAGAAUUCAGAGAAGAAUCAAAUAUUGUUCAUAGACAAUCUUGAUCAUAAAACCACAAUUCAUCGGAUCUCAACAAACACACCGCAAAAAGAAUUACAUCGAAUAGAUCUCCAAGAGAAUUGAGGAGAACUUUGUAUUGAGAUCCAAAGAGAGAGAAGAAGCCAUCUAGCUAAUAACUAUGGACCCGAAGGUCUGCAGUAAACUACUCACACAUCAUCAGAGAGGCUAUGGUGUUGAUGUAGGAGCCCUCCAUGAUCGAUUCCCCCUCCGGCGGAGCGCCGACAAAGGCCCCAAGAUGGGAUCUCACGGGUACAGAAGGUUGCGGCGGUGGAAAUAGGGUUUCGUGGUGCUCUCGGAUGUUUUCAGGGUAUAUGAGUAUAUAUAGGUGAAAGAACUAGGUCAGCAAAGCCACAAGGGGCCCACGAGGGUGGGGGAGCGCCUACCCCCCUGGGCGCGCCCUCCUACCUCGUGGCCGCCUCGUUUCUUCCUUGACGUCCACUCCAAGUCUCCUGGAUUGCGUUUGUUUCAAAAAUAACUUUCUCGAAGGUUUCAUUCUGUUUGGACUCUAUUUGAUAUUAUUUUUCUGCGAAACACCCAAAUAGGUAAAAAAUAGCAAUUUGCACUGGGCCUUUAGUUAGUAGGUAGUCCCAAAAAUAAUAUAAAGGUAUAUUAAAGCCCAUUAAACAUCCAAAACAGAUAAUAUAAUAGCAUGGAACAAUCAAAAAUUACAGAUAUGCUGGAGACGUAUCAGUGCUCUCGGUGCGGCGUGGUCAAUGUGGUCAAGAAACGACUUCGAUUGGAAGAGUAUUGUACGUGGAGAGACUAACAGUUGGGUCCACGGCCACAGUAAGGAAGUGCAACCUUAUUACGUGUAAAAUAAUUAUUCCUCCACCUGACAGCAGGGACCCACCGGAUGGGCCACCGUAUUUCGUGAAAAAAAUGUUCCCCCUGACUGCUGGGACCCACCAGCUACAUCUUCGCACGCAAGAAAGUGCGUCCAUAUUACGGGCAAAAAAAAGUUCUCCCCCUGACAGCUGGGACCCACCAGCAAUAACUUCGCGCGCAAGGAAGUGUCUCCUUAUCCUCUCUGACAAUCAGAACCCACCUGGUCGAAGUGUACGUAGCGUUGUCAUUCUAGUCACGAACGUGUACGUACAUACUGGUCGACCGAUCUGUCUGCAGACUGCAAUGAUGAACCGUGGCCGAGUAAGGAAGGACAUGUAUGAAUUAGACAAGUAUUACCAUGAAAAAAGGGGCACAUGUCGUAGUAGAGGCGCGGACGUAGCAUAUCACGCAGUCUCAUCAAUAUCGUGUACACGUACGUACAACCAUGGUGCAAGAAAGUAAAUACGGCCACGUACGUACAUAUGGAUGGGGUCUCGAACGCCUACUCGCACAUACGUACGGCCAUGGCUCGUGUACAUGAAGAGGCAGCGACGACGUCCUAUUCAUGGGAAGCCAACCGAUUGGCUCGGAAUGGAGAAACUGCAUCGUCGUGUUCAUCGGGAGGCAACAAAAUGGAUCAUGUUCAUCAGGAGCCAACCGGCUUGGACGGAACAGCCGAAACAAGGUGUGGCGCACCGCAGAACGGAGGAAACGGCCUUGUGUUCGACCACCUACGGGCAAAACGGGAUCCUGUUCACCGGAAGGGGUCUGGCGUACCGCUAAACAAAGAAAACAGACUUCUCUUCAACCUCCUACGGUCGAAACGGGGUCCUGUUGAUCGAGAGGGGUGUGGCGUAUCGCAAAACGGAGGAAACAGACUUCUCUUCGACCUUCUAUGGUCGAAACGGGGCUACUGUUCAUCGGGAGGGGUGUGGCGUACCAUAAAACGGGGCUCCACGGGCUACUGUUCAUCCACCAUCUACUACCUCACUCCAGCCUCCACGGGCUACUGUUCAUCCACCGUCGACCUCCUCCAGCCUCCACCUGCGACUGUUCAUCCAUGACGUCUCCCUCCUGCCUUCACCAGCUACCAUUCAUCCACGGGCUCCUGUUCAUCAAGCCUCCACCGGCUACUGUUCAACCACCCCUUUACGGGCUACUGUUCAUCCAGCCCUCCAUCGGCUACUGUUCAACCCCUCCACGGGGUCCUGUUCAUCCACCCCCCAACCGGCUCGAUCAGGGUCCUAUUCAUCCAGCGGCAACGACCUCUAGCUACUACCCCGGGGUCCUGUUCAUCCAACCCCCACCGGGAACUGUUCAUCCAACCCCCAACAACGUUCACUAUUCAUCAAGAGGCAGCAGGUCCGAUCGGCUUCAGUUAACAACAAUAGCGAAGGAAUCGCUCGAUCGGGUUCAGUUAACAGCCAUGGAUCGAUCGACCGCUCAGGUUCAGUAACGCGUAGCCGGUGCAAUCGCUCGGUUUCAGUAGGCAAAUGCCUCGCCCAGGUUUAGUUAGAGCCCAACGUCUCGCACCCAAGCGCGUACGUGUACGACAGAAACACGCAAUCCCUCCGUGCAUCUCUCGGCCCCGACCACCCACCGUAACCGGGAACUCCCUGAUAUUUUCCUCGCCCUCGCUUCUAUCACGGUUUUUUCUGUCAUGGACGGCCCAAAGAAUGUCAUGCAGCUGCGUCUCCGGCCCGCCCAGGACGAAAAGCCCAUUUUCUGUCAUGAUUUUUUGUCAUAGAAGUAGGAGCCCACCACAUGUAUGAUGAUAUUGGGUUUUGUCACAACUAUCGUCUUGGAAGUGUCAUAAGCAUGACAUAUUUUCUUCGUUCAGCCCAAAAUGUCACGGAUGUGUCUUUUUUGUAGUGCACCGGUCCACCCAUAUAUAAAAUUACCAAAGUAACGAACGUGAAUCAACUAAGCAUGAUGAACAUGACUAGAUGACAAUUCUCACGUGUCCUCGAGAGUGCCUUGCUUGCUAUUAGAGAACUUACUGGCUUGUCCUUUGCUAUAAAAAGAAUUGGGUCACCUUGAUGCACCUUUUUAUUAUUGUUACUUGUUACGAAUUAUCUUGCUACAAAUCUAUCUAUCACCGAUACUUUUAAUACUUGCAGAAAAUACCUUACUGAGAACCACUUUGUCAUUUUCUUCUAUUCCUUGUUGGGUUCGACACUACGGGAAACAACUAAUUUGCUGUUAGGGGACAUCUUUGCCGUCAGCUUUUCGUCGGGCAGACGGCAAAGAAAGGGUUUGCCGUCAUCAACAGACGGCAAAGAAAAACUGACGGUAAAAUAGACUUUGCCGUCUGCUAAAAAAACACGAACGGCAAAGAACUCACUUUACCGUCUGUAAAACAAAAUACAGAUGGCAAAGCUCUUUGCCGUGUGCUUUUUUAUUAUAGAUGGCAAAGUAUAAUCUUUGCCUUCUGUAAUGAAAAACGCAGACGGCAAAGAUCUUUGCCGUAUGUAUUUUAUUUGAUGACGGCAAAAUGAGUUCUUUGCCGUAUGUAAUAAAGAAAACAGACGGCAAACAAGAAACACAGCCCACGGAUCGAUCACACGGAUCAUUGACGUGGCAGCAAUAUCCACCGCAGAUGCGCAACCCACCCCAUCCCUACGAUCUCUCUGUCCCCACCCCACCACCCGCAGCCCAACCAACCCACCUUAUCCACCCGCAGCCCACCCCACCGCACGUUCUCUCUCCCUCUCUCUCGUACCUUUCUCUCUCGCCGGCGUAUCCCGCUCGCCCGCCUCCAGAUUGACCCGCCGGCGCCACCAGCCUCGGUCCUCCGGCCAGCGAAUCCUCUGCCACCGCCGGCAGGCCUCCGGCCUCCCCUUCCUCUGCUCCGUCCCUCUCUGAAUCCUCCCUCUCUCUUUCUCCAGGAACAACCGAGGCGGGCGGCGCGAGCAGGGCAUGGUCGCUCCGGGCUGCAAGAGACGCGCGGGCGGGCGGCGCUAGCAGGGCAGCCGGCGCGGGAGGCCGCUGCGAGCGACGCUCGGGCGGGCGGCGCUAGCAGGGCGCGGGCGAGCAGGGCCGUGCGGCUACGCGGCGAGCAUGGCCGGGCGCCGGUUCGGAGACCAGGUCGGGCGACCAGGGCACGCCUUCUGCCGGCCGGUGCGGGCAGGGCAGCCGGCGCGGGAGGCCGCUGCAAGCGACGCGCGGGCGGUCGGCGCUAGCAGGGCGCGGGCGAGCUGGGCCGUGCGUCUGCGCGGCGAGCAUGGCCGGGCGCUGGUGCAGAGGAUGGCUGUGCGGUGGCGCGGCUAGGCGAGCAGGGCAAGGCGGCGGCAUGGAUCCCCGGCCAGUAGAAGGACGGCCGACGGUCAAGUCCCUGUUCCUGCAGUGGAGAAGGACGAAGGACUUGAUUGUUUUUACUUUUACUUUCUAGGGUCCUUUGUGUAAAUUUUCAGGACAACUGUGUAACUUCUCUAUAACUCCACCUACAAGUGUAACUUCUCUGUAACUCCACCAGUCCACCUACAAUGAAUGAAAGGUAGCACGGCCGUGUCGAAACCAAAUCUAACGUGAGCUGAACCUGCUCUAUUGAUUUGAUGUUCAUGUGUCCGGCGAGAUGCUCUGCUCUGACGUCAUUUAAAAAAAUGCAAAACAGUCUUUGCCGUUUGUACUUUAGUCUAGAUGACAGCAAAGAACAAGUUUUGACUGACGACAAAGAACGUGGUUUUGCCGUGUGUUAUUUUUGCGGCAGACGGCAAAUCUAUAGUUGGCUGACGGCAAAAUCUUUGCCAUCUGCCUGGUCAAAAGCUGACGGGAAAGUAUUCUUUGUCGACUUAUCUUUGUCGUCUGCUUCCUGACGGUAAAAUCUUUGCCGUCUGUAUUAAGGUCUUUGCCGUCUGUGAUUCACAGACGGCAAAUCAUGUAUUUCCUUCUCCCCUCGGUACCCCACCUUGAUAUUGGGUCCUGCAACGUAAUCUUCAUCAUAUCUGGUGAGCCCUCAGGUGUCAGCGCGUGGCGUGUGGGGUUUAUUGGAAUCAAUACUUGUAGACAUGUGUCUCUUCCGCCCGUCAGGACUUCCUCUCUAGGCAAUGGUCCCGAUAGAACAACAGCCUUGACGACUUCUUGUCCGCGAUCAACCGUGUUAAUCUGGCCCGGGUAUUGGAGCGUCUUGCGAUGGCACUCCAACCGCCUGUUCAAGAAGAAGUUAGUGCACCGUAAAGAUUUCAAUGUAAUUAUUUUAUUUUCCAGGGUUUGGUUAACAUUUUUUAUUUUUGCAAAAACUAAAAAAAUCCAAAAAAAUCCUUACGGUAGCCUUUUGGCUCUCGGGUAUUAGUGCUCCUGAUGGGUGAAAAUAGUUUAUUUUUUCUAGUAAUACAAAAAAUCAGCCAAAAACCAUGCGCAUGGGUUGGGGUUGGAAAAUGAAAACAAGCAAUGGUUGGAAAAGCAAAUUCAAAUCUAUACAAACAAGACCAGACUUCUUAUUUCUUCACAAGCCGCAUGCGCUAGAAUUAUCUUAUGAAAAUUUAUCUAUUAAAAAAAUGUAGAUCACCACACAUGUGAUUUUUUGGUUGUUUAUUGCAAGACCGAAAAAAACUGAGAAAAUAUUUUUGGCAGAACGAGCGGUAUUGCCGGAGAGCCUAAGUGAAUUUUCGCUUUAAAAACGCAAAGCAAUUUAAAACGAGAUAUAGCAUUUAAAGAAAAACUCAAUUUAGGAAAAAAAAAACGUGCGAGAUAACUAACUUAUCGGCGUCAAGGCCUCGCGGCGAUCUGUAUAGCCCAAUCAGGCCCAGCCCAGUCUGUACCCUAGACGAGGGAGUCGCUCGACUCCACGAUAUAAAGGCCUGGCACGCGUGGCCGCUAGGGUUCCUCCUCAGCCGUCUUCGCAUCGCCUCGCGCCCGCACCCCAGGAAGGUAAGGUAAGCCGCCCGCCGCCACCUCCCCAUCCCACCCCUCCCCCGCCGCCGUGCUCAUGCUCCGCUCUUCUUCGCCUCAGUUAGCCGGCGUCGAGCCCCCGCGGCUCCCUCGUUCUUGACGAGAUGCCGGAUCCGCUCCAUGCGCGCGAAAUCCCGUGCUUCUCCUGUAGCGUCCGCGUCGUUGUUCAUGACAGUAGCUGUUGUUUUCCUCAGUGAUUUGUCCCGUAGCCCGUCCUAUUCCGCGGUAGUGUGAAGAUCCGUUAGUAGUCCAGAUGUGUAGCAGAUGUUUAUGUUUUGUUGCGCGUGAUGAUCAUGGUUGGUAGAUUUGGGCGUCAAAUUAGAUGCUUGUUUGGGCUUGUGGCUUAUCCCUGUUUCCAGUUCAUGACGAAUCGAGUUAGUGUUCUGUUUAUAGUUGUUUCAUGUAUUUUCAUCACAUGGUCUGUCGAAAUACUGUGCUCGGGAAAUGCUGUUGUUUGGAUUUCGAUUUACCCUUGUGGUAGAAGACGCUCUGAGUUGCUUUAGCUCGGAAAACUAGACUAGUUUCCUCUUCCAACACACACAGCUUGCUUUUCUAAUGUCAUUGUAUUUUCCUAUAUCGUUUCUCGUUAUAUCGAUCUGAAAUCGCUGCUCGUCUGUGUUUGCAGCUCAAGAGGCUGUCCUGAGAAGCUCAAAUGGCUCCCAAAGGUAACCUCAAAAUGUUGCAGAACUAUGUGCCUCCAUUUUUUGUUGUUGAAAAUGCUAAUGCAGACAUUUCAGGUGCUUUAGAUUUGAGUUCAUGUGUAGUUCAAAGUUUGCUUUACAUCUCACAGUAUUGUGGUCUCACUAUUGGAUUGGUCAACAUGAAUGAAGGCAGUUUUCACUAUUUGGUUGCUCUUGUAAAAUGUUUGUUCUUUGUCAUACAUAAAACUGACAAAUUUUUAUGGCAAAAUUUCUUUUGCCAACUGAAUGGUGCUCCAAUAGUAUGCUCUGCAAAUUUCAGUGAUAUGCUGCAACUUGUUACUCUUUGCCAUGUUAAAAACUUAAACUCAUGCUUGACUGAAUUGCCCCUUUAUGAUCCAGAAGCUUACUCUCAUCUGUCAUUCUGUAUGUCUUGCUGCGAAGUCCAUUAGCUGAUUAUUGUUUCCAUCUGUUACCAGUUGCUGUUGCCAAGAAGGGCGAUGCCAAGGCCCAGGCUGCCAAGGUUGCCAAGGCUGUGAAGUCCGGGUCAAUCAAGAAGACCGCAAAGAAGAUCCGCACGUCUGUGACAUUUCACCGCCCCAAGACCCUGUCCAAGGCCAGGGACCCCAAGUACCCCAGGAUCAGCACCCCUGGCAGGAACAAGUUAGACCAGUACCAGAUACUCAAGUACCCGCUUACCACUGAGUCUGCGAUGAAGAAGAUUGAAGACAACAACACCCUUGUCUUCAUCGUCGACCUGAAGGCAGACAAAAAAAAGAUCAAGGCUGCCGUGAAAAAGAUGUACGACAUCCAGGCCAAGAAGGUUAACACCCUGAUCAGGUUAGUAUUCUGCUCACAUGUUCGUUUGCUGUGCUGCUUGCUUGAUCCUCUAUGACGUGCAGCUAGGUGACCAACCAAACUUGCAAUUUUGCAGGCCUGAUGGCAAGAAGAAGGCGUACGUGAAGCUGACACCAGACUAUGAUGCUCUUGACGUGGCCAACAAGAUCGGCAUCAUAUAAGUCAGAGGGACGGUCCUGCAGUAGGCGCUUGUGUCGUGGUUUCUUAUGUUAUUGGAGUUUUGUAGUUGUUACUUAGCAAAGGGGCUCAGUGGCUCCAUUGCCUACCAUAUCGCCGCGCACUUUCAUGAAUUUGAUGCAAUCGAAGUGACUUGUGUUGAUGCUAAUUUGAGCUUUGCGUUUGGUCUUACCGUAUUGGUUGGUAUCUUUACCAUCCUUCGACUUACCUUAUUUCCUGUAUAAUUUCCCAGUUUUGCUCGUGUGUGUUUGUGUUGAACUCUUUGCUGCUUUGGGCGAUGAGACAGAGAGCCGUUUUGUGAUGUGAUAUUGUGAUUGACUGGUUGCAUCAGUAGCAGAAGCUACCGAUGUGGUAUCUGAAAUUACAUGGCAUGUUGAUGGUUAGGCAUACAUAUGCACAGUUAACAGUCCUACACUGAUCACCUGAAAUUUUGUUGUUACUUAGCGAAGGGCCUCGGUGGCACCAUUGCCGCUGCUUUGGGCGAUGAGACAGAGUGAUAUUGUGAUUGACAUAAGCUUGCAUCUGUAGCUGAAGCUGUGGUAUCUGAAACUAUCAGGUUGAUGAUUAGGCAUACAUAUGCACAGUUAAUCCUACAAGGGUCAGCCGGAAUUUUACAUGUCCAAAUAAAACUAAGAAUCGGCGAUGUAUAAUGUAUCACAGCCGUGCUGGACCUAGCUGUAGCCGAACAACCAAGUCAAAUUAGAGAUGCUCAACGCGGAGUACGACGCAUGUGACGGAAGAUUGGCACCGGCGGCGAACCCUGUUCCCAGGCCGGCGCGUGGCUUCCAGACCACGGCAACCGUCACGUCGUCGCACGCAUUCUCCCGGCCGUACGCCGCCGAGGCCACGCACAGCCGCUCCACGGCCUCGGCGCACUCCGGCGGCAACCGGGCCCUCGCCACGAUGCGCGCGACGGCCUCGGCCCGCCUGCGCCGCUCCAUGCCCAGGAACUCGGCGGCGCUGCCGCCCUUGUUGCCCAUGAGGACGCGGCGGCGGCCGCGGUCGAGAACGAGGUGGACGAAGAGCUGGUGCUCGUGGAGGUCGGCGGCCAGCGUGCGCCGGCCGGAGGCGCGCAGGCGGACGGCGCCGUGGCAGGUGGAGGCCGUGAGGGCGAAGGCGACGCCGUCGGAGUGGGUCGUCAGGUCCGGCAUGGGCCCUUGCUCGGUCGUCGUCGUGGUCGCCGGGACCUCGAGCCGAGUGGUCUGCGAGAGCGUGGCUGGCUACGCGUGAUGGAGGGGCUCGUGGCAUCGUCCAGGCGAGCGAUUAAUUAGUUGGCGAGAUGCGGAAAGGAGUUAUGGUCGGCGUAGUAUUCUGUUUUCUAGGUUUUUGGUUUCGGACCCGGGCGCGCGCGCGCGGAUACGCGGCAUUGGUUACUGACGUGCCAUUUCACUUGUUUAUUUCCUUGCGCUUUCUCUGGAUCUCUAUCUCUCUCCGCGGUAAGGUUUCAGUCCUUCACGUUUCCCCCUUCCUCUCUUCAUUUUUUUUGUUUUAUUUAUCUCUGAUUUUCUUUGAAAACCACAUCAGCUGUCCAGCCUCUUAUUGAUUUGUCAAAUAAAAUUUUAAUGUUUGUGCACAACCAUACUAAUUUGGACACGUAAAUCAAUAGCUUUCUCACGGUAGAUUUUUCAUAGCUGUUUAGGAGAUUUUGUGCAGCUGCUUUAAAAAAUCCACAGCUCAAUCAAACACCACCUAAAAUAUUUAUACUCUUGUUGCAACGCACGAGUCAUUAUCUAUAGUUGAAUUACGUGGAGAGCUUGGUUGUUCCUUCAAAGAGUUGAAACACAUAAUCCACUUUCCAUACUUGGGCGUCUCCAACGCCGACACCCAAUUGCUUGUAUCCGUUCAAAACACAACUGUCCAGACCCUACAAGCCAUCCAACGGUGACCCCCAUCGGUCAGCAGUCCGGGCCGUCGUUUUCACGCAAACCGGAACCAGACCAGGGGCUUGGCAGGAGUUCGGAUACUAGCUAUCCACGUAGGUCUCUGACAUCCUAGGGCCACCCAAAACUAAGGCGGAGCUCGUGCUUUUGUAGCUGAUUGCACUGAUUUCGCGACAAAAUUCCUCACUCUCCUCUUUCAUCCCACCGCUCUCACUCAAUUCCCGUUCUUAUUCUUCAUUGCUGACGCAUGGACCCGUAAGAGAAGCUGCCGGACACGGCGAUGGUGGAGAAUCCAGCGAUCUAGUUACCAAGAAUAUGCUCAAGAUCGAAGAGAGGAAGGCCAUGCUCGAAGAGAAAAAGAUUGAGAUCGCAGCUGCUUCGGAGGACACAAAGAUGUUGACCUUGAAGAUGUAGGAUUUAGACGACGAUGCAAAGAUAACCGUGCAAGCCGUCUAUUUCAAGAUGUUGAAGCGGCAGAAGGAUCAUUUGGAGAGAGUAAAGGAGGCGGCCGAGACGGUGGCAACGACAAAUUGAGCGUGGAUGCUCGAAUUGCCGGUCAGGCAGAGCAUUUUUUGCACGAACUGCCGAACUAAUAUACUUUUGUGAUCGAGUAUCUAAAACUAUGCAUACUUGCCCCUUUUUGAUUGUGAUCGGGACUGAUGUGAUCCGGCGCGUGCUAUGUGAUCGGACGGAUUUUGAAUUUUAAAUUGCCAUUACUAGUGGACAUUUAGGGGAUAGCUUUGGAUGGUCGCCUUCCGCAUUAGUGUCCAUGGACUGGUCCCCACUGGUCCAUGGAUGGAUACGGUGUCCGGUUAGGGAGUCAGCGUUGGAGAUGCCUUAAAACUUAUGGUAGUCAUUGCGCAUUGGUUGUUUCCUUCAGGGGUGGACCCAUAUUGCUUUCUAUCAUGGGGCAAACCAAUGGAGUGGGGACACUUGCAUGAAUUCAGACAUUUUGACUCACUUAAAAAAAUCAAACGAAGUCUAUUGAAAAUUGAGGAUAUAAAUUUGUUUUCACAGUAAGAUAAAACAAUCUACAUCUCUGAUAUGAUGUCAAAACAUAUUUUCUGUGAUGACCAUGUACGGUGAUUGAAGACUUUUACGGUACCCUCAAAUAGAUAUGAGCAUACGUUUUAAUUAGGAGGACAAAGGUCUAGAUCAUUAUAUACCAGUGCUCAAAACAUGAGCAGUAUUGGUCUUUGUAAUGAUUGAAUUGGUAGAGUUUGACACUAUCUUUUUUAAGGAAUGGGGAAGGGGAGAGGGGGGGGUGUAAAUAUGUUACUCGACAAGUAACCAAGUAGGAGACCGUUUACAAAAAAUGAUUGUACAGGCACCUGCACGUGAAUGGAGGUAUUUGCCACGAGUAAGUGAUAACCUCAGCACACUAUUUUAUAAACCAGUAGGUCGAGAGAUCUAAGUCAUUGACGACUGACUUGAGAGUGGUAGCACUAAGAACAUCUUGGCCCUAAAUGGUCUUGGCAUUCCUUGAGUCUCAAACUUUUCACAGGAUCAAAAGUAGGAUGGAUGGCCAAUAGGACUAGUCUAACCCUGGCGUCAGCUGACGACCCCAAAGAUCCGCCACAACGUUGGUGGGAAGACACCGAUGUCUUGGCAGACUCUACCGGAGAAGGGACACUUGAUGGAUAUGAUUGGAGUCCUCUAGCUCAUGGUGACAUCUUGAGUUGUUUGAGAUGUUCUUGUGAGCAAGAUCACCCUAAAAUUAAGGCGGACACGAAACAGAAGUCAGGCGAAGAUCUUGUUCAUGUUUGAAACCCUUGUUUUCAAGAUGUGUGGAUAGGAGGUUCCACCCUUCUCGCGCAUGAUGAGGUGGUAGGCAAGCAUUGCGGAGAAGGUCCUUCCCGAGUUGAGGAAGCGUGAGCAUGGUUAUGCCAACGACAAGAAAUCUUGCAACAAGGAGGCAACCAAUUAGGCUAGUUACCGGCGGAGCUAUGUAGAAGUCCGAGGGGCCAUGGCCCCCAGCCCCAACAAGAUUUAAUUUUUAUGAGGUGCUAGCUAGUAUGCCUUAAUCCCAUGUUUGCACGCAUGCAUAUGCCCAUCAUCUUCAACUUCACGCAUACACAUCUCGGCUGCCGCGAAGAUCCUGUUCAUGUUUGAAACCCUUGUUUUCAAGAUGUGUGCAUAGGAGGUUCCACCCUUCUUACACAUGAUGAGGUGGUAGGCAAGCAUUGCGGAGAAAGUCGUUCCCCAGUUGAGGAAGCGUGAGCAUGGUUAUGCCAACGACAAGAAAUCUUGCAACAAGGAGGCAAUCAAUGAGGCCAGUCACCGGCGGAGCUAUGUAGAAGUCCGAGGCGGCCAUGGCUCCCAGCCCCAACAAGAUUUAAUUUUUAUGAGGUGCUAGUAUGCCUUAAUCCCAUGUUUGCACGCAUGAAUAUGCCCAUCAUCUUCAACUUCACGCAUACACAUCUCGGCUGCUGCUUCAUCUCCUUGGGCAUUGCUACUCAGGCGCUCGGCUGCUCCAUUUCAUCCGACAUGACUGCCGCCACACAGGCUCGACGCUGACUCACGAAGAGCUCCAAUUUUGGGCCACGCGUGUAGCCGGCGACAACGCCGUGUAGGGAGGACGACCAGGCUGAUAUGUAGAACCUCCAUGGUUUGGUAAUGACACGUUGAGAUUUGAAGGCUUAACAGUAUAUGCAUCCAAGUAGACAAGAUGUAUGUUUUGGUCUAGUUUUUUUAGUAUACAUGUACUUUGCAACCAAUAUAGGUAAUGUAAAUAUAACUUUGUCUUAAUGCUACAAGUUCUAGUUUAUUGCCAGAAAUUUUUUUUGCGCCUCCUCUCCCCACGCAUUUUUGUCAAGCUCCACCACUUAGGCCAGUGGUUUGGUCCUCGACUCCUCAUAGCACCAUAAUUAGGUGUAGGAGGCGAUCGUUAGAUCCGACGUCAAUGACACAAAUAUAAGGUUGAGGGAGGGGAAGAGCAUUGGGUAGUGUUAAUGUGGUCGAAAAUGAGUCGUCGAAACCAUACCAGGUGGUGUAACUGGGUUGUUGCAUACACUCCAUUUAUCAGGGAUGCAUGAGGACGCAGACGCGUCCCGACGUCCGCGAUCAUUCGCGCCUCCAAAAAUAAACCAAUAUAUGUUGCUCUUCUAAAUGUGCUAAUACAAAUAUCCUCAACGCGGCUGUCGUUGACUUUUUUAAGAGGAAAUAUUUUUUUAGAGGACUGUUGUGGACUUAGUGGACUUGUUCAGGGGCGGAGCUCUGUUGGGGCCAAACUGGGCUAUGGCCCGCCCAGGUUUUUUGCACUUUUAAUUUUACCUAUGCAUCGAAGCAAAGCCCACCUGCAGCCCAGUAAGCAUAUGAUCGAUCCAAAGCGCUCGAGGUCUCUCAGUCGCAAGUCGCCAUGCUCUCUCGCACCCAGCCGGCACGAGCUCCUGCUGUUUCUCACGGCUGCAGCAGGCAGGAGGCAGAGACAUCGACGAAUCAAGCAACCACUCCAUCCAAUUUCCUUGCAAUUACGAUUAAGCAAGAGAUCACAGCUAAUCUAAUUUGUUUUCCCAAAUACUGAGUUCAACGAUGUAGUCAAAUACAUCAUAUAGUCCUGGUUAGAUAGUCUGAUUGUUCCACUCAAUUGAGGGGCAUGAAUUAGAUGAAAAUAGUACUACAUUGUACAUCUAAUUUUCCUGCAAUUGCUUCAUUAGAUAUCCUGAUCUUCCACUCAAUUGUUCUUUGCAUUUUACAAAUCACAACAUAUAUUUGGUAGCCAAAUCACAACAUAUAUUUGGUAGCCAUAAGCAAUGGUAAGCAAGCUCACUCACACCUAGAGAAAAAUUGAUUUGGUUUUCAAAAGAAAAAGGAUCAUUUCAAAAUUCACUUGAUAUAUACAUAUAUUCUCACUCCAUCUUGUAAUCCUGUUUUACAGACUAAUGAGUAUGACUCAGAUUUUUUUUUUGAAAAAACAGUGCUCUUCCUUUGUUUGGCCCGCCCAACAUUUUCUUUGAAGCUCCACCACUUGUUCACUUGCAUCCCUAUGAUGUAACCUCCUAGCAAGAACCACAUUUAUGCAUGUAUGUAUGCGACUUGUAUUUUCUUUUUUCGAAAGAGAUAUGAUUUACAUUUCCUGAUUUUAGUCGACAUGUUACCUUUUUUGAGAUGGAGAUGUUUUUUGCUUCAACGGGAAAUCCCGUUAAGGACAGAAAAUUGAUGAUAGCUCAUCGCCCCAUACCCAAUACCUUCCAUCUUAUACCCCUCUCCCCUCCAAAGUCCAAACCACCCGAACUUCCCUAACAAACUUCCACCCUCGAUUCAUCUCGGCCAGAAGCUCGUUCUUGGCGGCAAUGGCAACGGCCGUGCGGAGUCUGCCGCCGGGCCACGCGUUCGAGCCCAGCGGCCACCAGAUCAUCACGCAGUACCUCGCACCCAAGGCGCUCCGGGGCGACGCCACCCCGGGGCACGUCGCGGAGGGCGUGGACGUCUUCGCCGCGAGCCCCCCGGCGCUCCCCUUCCACCCCAGCAGCAGGCGGCGGCACGGGGAGGCGUGGGGCUACUUCUAUGGCGCCCAGGCCAGCGGCGACGCGCGGCCGGCGCCGGGCGGGUGCUGGGCGCGGUACGGCCGCGAGAAGGGGUACGUGCACGGCGCCGGCGCGGCCGCGGAGGCGGUCGCGUUCCGAAGCAGGUUCGCUUUCCACGUGCCGCGGAAGGGCUGCGACGGCGGGGCGGCGUGGGCGCCGACGCCGUGGCUGAUGAAGGAGUACCGGCUCAACAAGGGCGCGGCCGCUUUCCGCGCCGCGCAGCCGGGCCCCAAGGCGAACAUGGACUGCGUGGUCCGCAAGAUCUUCACGAAGCCGGUGGUGGCGGCCCCUCCGCCGCCGGCUUGCAGCUCCGACGAGGAGGACUCCAGCGGCCCCGACAUGGACGAGGAGGACGACGGGUGGUACGGCGAAGAGGACCGGAAGCGCGUCGGCUGCUCCAUCGAGGGCCCGCCGAGGAAGCGCGCUCGACCUAGCUGAUGAUGCCGACCGAGCGCGCACGGGUGUGGGGAUUGUGAUCCAUCCGGACGACUGGCUCGUGUCUCGCCGCGUUGCAUCGGUCAUGAAAACAAUCCAGGAUCGCUGCUGCGUUUAUCCUUCGGAGAGCUUUUGAUUUACAGUAACAGUACAUGGGUUUCUGUAGUUGCAGUCAUCACCAAACCCGUAGUUGAGAGAAACUGGUAGAGCCGAGAAUCUGAAUCUGUACGUAUCUUGCAUUGGUUCUGUAACAUUUUGAUCUGCUUGCUCUUGUACGAAUAGUUCAGGAAUCAUAUGCUUCAGGGUUGCAGUUCUCUUGGAUGUUGAAGUAGCAGCUUGUUUGUAAGAGAGUUUUUCACUUAUCAAUUCUCAUGUUGAUGCAGAGUAAAACCCCCUCUGUCCCCAAUCAACUCUCUGCUAAGUAAUCCUUCCUUGUACAAUUGCAGAAAUGUGAUGCUGGUCACAGAGGGAACUGUCUUCUGUGACCACCUCAUCAUUUUCCUGCAACACAUUGGUUGCGAUUUCAGAAAUUGCAGAAAUCAGCUACUCGUUGGAAGAUUUCUUUUCCAGAAUCUUCUCGUGAGCAUAUGCAUAUCCAAUUGCAGAAAUCUUCUCAUCAAUCCACUGCAACAAUCUUUCGGUUGCGAUUUCUUUUCCAGAAUCUUCUCGUUGGAAUGAAGCAUUAAGGAGUAAGUAUCAGCAAGGAAUUAAUACACUCCCAGGCCCAGCUAAUCAGCUACUCAAAUAACUUUUCCGAAUGCAUCCAGUGAGCAUAUGCAUAUCCAAGUUCUGAAUGCACUUGACAGUUCAAAACAAUUAUGGCGUGAUCCUCAAGUCAAAAAGAGAACAAAAAAUGUAAACAAAAUUACUCGUGCAUCACAAGCCAAGCCUCCGUCCAAACUUCUAACUCAUGUGGGGAAUCAUCCUAGCGAAAUCAAGUCAAAGGAGACGACUAACUCAGUGACUGCGUGGCUCAUCGGGUUCAGAAGCUUCUGCGGGGCUUUGCUUUCGCGCUUGCAGUAGGCGGCGCAGCCUUGUUGGGAUUGUCCAUCACCCCCAGUUCCAUGGAGGCCUUGCUCUUGCGCUUGCCGUGCGGCCCGUCGUCGGCUCUGGACGGGUCAGGUGCCGCUGGCGCCUUGUGCUUGAACCGGACCAGCAGGAUGGUCAUGUUGUCGACCGACGGUUGCGGUGGCUCUACGCACAUGUCAAGGAUGGCCUCGCAGUUCUUCCCAAGGUCCAUCCCCUGUGUGUGCAUGUGUGUGUUGGUCACAGCAAUACAUAUGUCAAGUUAAAGGGGAAUUUGAUGAGCUAAACAGGCAGACAUGCUGGUGAAACAAGAAGAAAUGCUCACAGAUUUCAUGUUGUUUCGUAUAAUUUCAACCAGGCCCUGGUUUAGCACGACGUCCCUGCAAAAAACGAGAGGUGUGUGAAUUUAGAGCAAAAAGCUGGUUUCAAUAUGAUAUUUUCACCGGUUUCCACCGAAUGUUUGUUUCCAUAUGAUAUUUUCGCAAUUUAGAUAGAGCAAAGAGCUGGGAGAUAGAUAAGUUAUGUCAGUGAGUAUGUCCGGGAAGGCAGAGCACAAAUUCCUAGCUACACUUCACCAUGUUUCCUUCACUGCCAACAACAUGCAGGCCAAAAAUUCUAAGAUCCAGGUUCUUCAAAGUAGGUUCUUUAUUAUAAAGAUAAGGCAGGCAUAUUUCAAUAUCUUUUUCCAACCAACUGACCAGGUUAAGUUCAUAUUCAUGCAUUCAGGUUAACAUUUUUCUGGAAAAAUUAUGAAGUACUCCAUACUAGCACAACAAGGGAUCAGCAGAGAUUCCGGUAUUCUGUACCUUCAGCAAAUCAUACAACAAUGAUAUGUACACGGUGAUGAUGCAGCUUAGCCCAAAGCAAAGCAAAUUUAACUGAACCCAAAUCUACAAAAUUCUUCCUUGGUAAAGACUACUAACUAUAUCUCGAGAGAAACGCGACUGUUGAAACUAACUGUCAUUUCGAGUCCGUGUACCAUGUAUGAAACUAAUCAUAGUCAUCACAGCAAACAAUAAUUGAUCAAAGCUUCAACAGUAAUAUAUAUUUAGUUGAGGACUUACCAGACUCCAUCACAUGCCAUAACAAGGAACUCAGUUUCAUCAGUUAUGUUCUCCUAACAGCAAAAGGGUCAUUUUCCAUUAGACCGUAUCCAGCAGGACAAACAUACAGAUUUUUAUGACAAUUCAGUAACUCACUACGCGAAUCUCAGGAGAACAAGUCAGUGCUUGUAGUGCAGGGGUCAGCCGGCUAUUGCUUUUAUACCUCAUAUCACCUGAAAUGCAAGCAAAAUGCCAAUUACAAUGUGAUAAACUCAAAAAACGAACAUACAAGAUAAAACUGUACCGAUCGAUCUGGAGACCGCGAUUCCACCAUCGAUGCGACCUGCUCCUCCAGUAACUACAACAGAGCGUCCUGCGUUCUCUAUUCUCCGUCUUUCAGCCGGCACACUCGGUUUGUGAUCGGUGGUCAAAACAGUUGCCUUAGAACACAACAAAGAUAAAACCAGGCACUAUUAGGAGUCACAGUUAUAACAAAAUACUGCACGGAUCGGGUACCAGCCAGACACCGAGAAGAGAAGUACCUGACCGUUCCUUGAGAUUACGCAGCGACAAUCACCAGCAUUCCCAACAAUGAUCUGGUUGCCUCUGAUGAGAGCCACACAGGCGGUACUUCCUACGUCUGCUGGCCCGGGGCGUCUCUGCAGACAAAUAACUCAAGCUGAAGUAAACAAUAGGUGUUUUCAUAACAUGAGAUUUCUACAUACAAAUAACUGGAGGGGAUGUGUAAAAAAUAAAAAAUGAGAUAUGACCUUCACAUUUACACAAGCACAACCGAGCAACAUAUCCUUGACAGUCGAAUUCGUAUUGGCAUUAUUAGCAGGGCUAUACUCAAAUAAUUCCCUCCGUCCCUCCUCUGUCAUCAUCAUCUGAUCCAUUCUGCAACAGUCGAGUAGCAACAGCGAUUACAAAUGUGACACAAAACUAUAUACUCCUGGUAGUAUCGGCAGAAAACUCCGGGAGAAACUGCGUAGCCUCAAAGAACUCAUAGGAUGCACGAAUUGCUUAGCUACUAAAUAACCUGAAGAACGCGCUCUCCACCGCAAUACGCAGACUGUCAUUGAAGUGUGGAUGCUUCUGGACCUCAAGAUGGAAGUGUUUCGCACAGAACAUUGAUACAGCAGGUCCUGUAUCAAGAAACAUUUCAGAUGGUAGUAAAUGGCACGCACUUCUUGCAAAAAGGGCAGGAUGUGAAAGGAUUUAUGUGAAUUCCAGGAGCUAAAUCUGUAUCAUGCAUAUAUCUGAAUUCUGCUUUUCGCAGGAGGAUGGGACUGAAUAGUGAAUGCCAACCUCCAUGGCCAUCAUAAACACCAAAGAACGAUGUGGCGGUGGAAACAUCAAGAUCUCCAACAGCUGCAUGCUGGGGAAAAAGAAGACCAGGAAGUUAGGCCUUGGCAUUUCACCAAAGAUAAACCAUGUAUCAGGAUGGUUUUUACUCACGGCAUCUUCCAUGUUGGCACGGUAACCUUGCAUGGACGACACCGCGUACUCGAGCCUGUCAUUCUCCCCCCUCUCGGUGGUCUUGGACAGCACCGGCUCCCUGCUGAUUGUGCUCAUGCCGGAGUUUGCCUGCCUGAAAGAUCACAGCAGCAUGGAUGAAAAAUCUUGCAGGAGUAAGAAAGAAACUCGAGAGCAAACCGAUGGUGAGUGAGAUGCAUGCAGAUGCAGAUGGCAUAAAUACCAGAAGAGAAAGCAAUGAAUAAAAAUCCAGACGAGACAUCACCAUGCGUUCUUCAUGGCUUGGUGGUGGCCGCCUCGUCCUUCUUCCUUCUCCGUCUGCGACGCAUGCACGAUGGAGCAGCAGCCGGAGCCAGAGAGGGUCCGGGAGGCCAGGUCGGUUGCGCCUGUACCUGGCACCAAAUGCAUCCGUCACGUCUGCAACGGCGGCCGGAGGGGACUUGGGAAAACAUUUCAGGCAAUGCUCAAAUUGGGACCGGGCGGAGGCAGGAUUCGGACACGGGAGGGGCCAACAAAGAGACGGCGACGGGCGAUCACGGAUGAAAUGGGAUGUAUCAAGUGCCAAUGUUUGGCAAUGGCAUUGCAGGUCGUCAGAAUGUAAGAUCUCUAACCUUUUCCCCGUGUGCGAGUAACUAGGGCACUGGCAUUGCCGCAUUGCGCAAAUAGCGGCGCGCAUUCAUACCUUGGCGGAUGAUCCGGCGGUGCGGUCGAGCGGCGGCCGGCGGGAGGCAAGGCGGCGAUCAGAGGCGGCCGGCGAUCAGAGGAGCCGGCCGGGUGCCCUGGUGGAGACGAGUGGCGGAGGAGCAGACACAAAACGAUCUACGACCCCGGAUUGCGUGGCACUUGCGAUCGACUCUUUUGUUGGACCCACAUGGGCCUCUCUCUACCUGUACCCCCCACGAGGGAGGGCUUCACUGCUCUGGCGUGUACGCCUGAAACGGAUUUAUUGCAGGCUGAAUUGGGCAACUCGCCGUCUCACUUACAUCUCCACCAGAUACCGCUCUUCUUUCUUCGUGCAUCGCUUUUCUUUCUUCCCCACGAAGAAAGAAAAAGAAGUAAUAUCACCGGAGGUCAUAUAACUUACGCUGGAUGUUCAGUUUGGUGCUAGAACUUUGAAAAUACGGAUUUGUGAUCAUCUAACUUGCGUUCUCGUGCAAAUACGGUCAUCUUAUCCGUAUCCGGAUGUAUCCUGCGCUUACGUGGCAUGACUAAAACCAUUUUUUACCGAAACACCCCUGCUUUGUUUUUAAUUGCACAGAAGCCCCCUCAUCAACACAUAUAGGUUACACUUGAUAGAGAAAUGAGAAAUAAAAAGGCCGAGCGCAUGUCACGCUUGACAAAGAAAUGAGAAACAAAAGGGCCGUGCGAGGCUUGAAUUCACGAGGCCAUGCACGCACAUGGCCUGACCAAACCAUUGUACUAAGCACGUCUUUAAAGAAAUAUACCUUAUUUCACUCUAUAAUGUAAGCAGGGAUCAGCUGACAUUUUCACAAACUUGCAAGCUGGGGUCACCUACUGGAUGCGCAAUACUAACCACUGGAACAUGCCCAAGAUUUGUACUUUUUUAGUUUCAAUUUAUAUAUUUAAUUGCCAAAAACUUUUGAAUUCAAAAUCCAUUUGAAUAAAUUCUGGUGAAAAAAAUCCGCUCAUCCUCAAGUAGUUGUCGUUGCCAACAUAUAAAAUUCUAGGUUUCUCCUUAGACACAUGAACACGUAUGGAUUCCAAAAUGGCAAAAAAAUUCGCUCGCGCUCGAAAUGCUUGAAAAUUCUUUCAUACAAAGCAACAAAUUUUUUGUUUGAAUUCAAAUAAUUAAAAUUUUAGAAGUCUAGAUAAAUAAAAUAUAGCACAUAAUGAUAUAUCAUUUUAUCCUGAUGUUUGUCCAUUAAUUAGCUUGCAACUGGCCCGGGUUUGAAUCUUGCAUAGGUUAUAUUUUUGCCAAAAAAACAUAUUCAGUACAAAAACAAUCAAAAUGUUUGUACCUCGUGAUUUGAAUUCUAGACCUAGAGGAGUGAAGAAAACUAAUCUACCGCAACAGUACAAAAUUGGAUUUGAAAUUUAAGUGAUCCAAGUCCAUUUUGACAUAGGAGUUCAAACCAACCAUAAACAAUUUGAGCGGAAUGAAAAAAAAUUGUGCACCCUCUAAAUUCAUUUAGAUAACUUGAUAUUAGAGCAAGUUUAUUGAUAACAUCAUUGUUCUCUUUGUAUAUGAUUGAAUUUAUGGUUGUCCCAGCUAAAAAAGAAUUUAUUUGUCGCAAAAAAAUUAAAAGAAAAAUAAUUUGUUUGUCGGGUUGCACAAUAUAACAACAUAUGCAUGUCAAUACUAGACAACAAAGGACGUCUAGUGUGGUGGCUAAAACGUGAGACCGGAUUGAAGAGGUUGUUGGUUUGAAUCCAAACGACACGAUUAAUUUUUAAAUCUUCAAAUCUUUCUCACGUCCACUAGCAGGUGAGUCCUUUAUAGGCCUGACUACCAAAUGAGACCCACAGACUUAAUUAUUAGUACUUAUUACGUGCGAAUGAAUUAUACAGCCAUAAUUAUGAAAAAACUAGGGGUGUUUCUACAAAAUGGACGUUACACAUGUCAUACCUAACGCCUCCUCCACCAACAAUUGUUGACAGUGGGACCAUGCAUGCGUGGCACGCCAUGCAAGCGGUGGAUACGCCCGCGUACACGUUUUGUGACCGUAUUUGCACCACAAUGCAAGUUGGAUGACCACAAAUCCGUAUUUUCGAAGUUCUAGCACCAAACUGAAUAUAGAAAGCAAGUUAUGUGACUCCCGGUGAUAUUACCUCGAAAGGUGAUCUCGUCCAGGGGCGUUUUCUUCCACUGCCGUCCCUCGGCGGCUCCCCACCGCCGAGGUCGUCUGUGUGUGUUUUUUUUGAAGGUGGGGGGGGGGGGUAGCUUUUGAUUUUAGUCUCUAGUACUUUAGGAUUUUGGGAUGUUUAUUGCUUUGGCCUCGGCGACGGCAAUGGCAGCGCUGAAUAAAGAAGGUUUAGAAAUGGGCGAUACCCGCGCAUGCAGUUAGGCGAUCAGGAGGCGAUCGCCUCGCCGCCGCCACCGCCGGCCGCCGCGCCCGCUGUGUGUGGCCUUCCUUCCGCGUCCAAGCCCAGGCUGGUCGUCGGAACAGCAGCGGCCAUGUCCGCAGACCGAUCGCUUGGCCCCCAGGUGCCCAGCGUCCCAGCAGCCUCCGAGUCAAGAUCGGGUUGCCCUAACCCCCGUCGCAAGGAAACUCACCUAAAUGACUCCAUAAAAUCGUCUAGGGUUUCGGUGGGUCUACCAAAACGACAACGCAAGCCGCCAGAUCGGAGUCCUGAGAUCUCCACUCCGCCGUCGCCCGCUAAUAUGUCGCCGCCGUCGCACGAGUCAGGAAAGAAGCCGCUAGCGGCCAUGGCGAACUCGGAGGAAGGUGGGGGCGCAUACGGGGGGUCGGGAUCUCGUGCUGGGAGCCUUGCACGCACUAUGCUGCAGGGCUAACCAGUCGCCUCCACCUGUUCCCGUAGGCCCCACAACUUACUAAACACAUUUUCGUUUCUUUUAGUUUACUCAAAAUUCUCUCUCUUUCCUGAUCCCGGCGACGGCCUGGUCGUCGGCUCCGCCGCGUCGGAGAUGUAUCACCGGCACCUCAACUCCAUCAUCUCGAAGGCCGGUGUGCUGGCUAUGUCAGUCGACUAUGGCCUCGCGCCGAAGCACCCGGUCUCUGCAGCCUACGAGGAUUCCUGGAAAGUGCUCAGCUAGCCGCGUCGACGGGCGACCAUGGCUGUCGGAGCACGGCGAUGCUGGCAGAAUGACAGUGACGACGCCAACAUCGUUCACAACAUAGCAAUCAUGGCCGAUACACGUUUUACCGAAAGGGACUUCACGCCAGGAGCUGCUCGUCUACUUGGGCGAGAGCAUGGGUUCUUGUUCCUCCCCCAGCCCGAGCGUGACUAGCGUGAUCCGCUGCAUUAUGAUGAUUUUCUGGAGCUUAACUGCAAUUAGGUGAUCGAAAACAGAGACAUAUGGAUAGGUGAAGCAGGACAUCAAACUUCAGUUCGUACAUAUGGGUUAACAUCAGUGAAUGUGUAUACAGUAUACACUCUUCCCGUCCGGUGAGUUGAAAUACUACUCGCCUCUGCUUGUGGAGCUUGCAUCGAGGUCCAAUCUUGAUGUGCGCCUCCACGUCCUCCUGCAGCAUCUCGGCGAAUCAAUGCUCCACCCAGCUCAUCGCCUGGUGCCCGCACGCCCUUCAGUUCCACCUUCUCACAGGUAGCUGGUCGGCUCAGAUCGGGAAUGGCGGCACGCGAGCAGCUACCGCUACAUUGUCUCGGGCUUGGGCUCACCGGAGUCGGGUGGCGCUAGCGACGAAAGCUCCCGUAUUACCGCCGGCCAAGGCCACGACCACGAGCUGCAGACCUCACCUUGAGGAAUCCUCUCUUGCAGAAGCUCUAACUCUGUAGAAUAAUGGCCGCCGCCGGGAUAAGGAAAGAGAGAGAAUUUUGAGUAAAUUUAGAGAAGUGAGAAUGUAUUUAGUAGGUUGUGGGGCCUACGGGGACAGGUGGACGUGACUGGUUGGCCCUGCAGCAUAGUGCGUGCAGGGCUCCCAGCACUAGAGCCCAACCCGCAUACGGGGCUCCCUCUGUGGAUGCUGCUCGCCCGAAGCCUACCUCCGAGGGAUCCGAGGCUGCUGCGCGGAUCAACCCACGGCUGCAGACGCUGACUAUAUGGAACCAGUUGGAGACAGCGGGGUCGGCGGGCACGGCGAGGUCGGCGCCGGCGGCUCGCGAGCGCAACAGCCGGGAUGAGGAAGGCCCAGAGGCUUUCAGAGAAGGAGAGGAUCCCGAGGAGGAUGCCGAGCUUGUGGAGGUCGACUUGGAGGGAGAUGGUGUGCUACAGGCUCAGUAGCACCCAUGGACUGUGAUAAUGCUUGUGUACUCCUUGGAUCGGCCAUCCCCUAGUACUCUGUUUGAGAAUAUUGCAGAUGGUUGGAGGUUGAGGGAGAACUUUGAUUAUGCUUACCAAGGUGACAACAAAUAUCUCGUGCACUUCGGCUGCGAGGCCAUGUCUCGUGUCCUAGGGGGAGGGCCAUGGCAGUAUGAGCACGAUCCGCUGCUGAUUGAGGCGUAUGAUGGUAUGAGGCAAGUGUCAGACUACAAGUUGGACAAGAUGAGAAUCUGGGUGCGCAUCCUCGAUGUGCCCAUGAACUGGAGGACGGAGACUGUGGUAAAAGCACUCUGCGCCAACUUAGGAACAAUUUUGCAAAUGGAGCUCGACGAGAAGACAGGCAACUACGUGCGUGUCCGGGUGGUGUCCGGGUGGCCGUUCCGGUGUACCGGGCGCUUGAGACAUCUGUGGCCAUGACUGCCAAGCUGCAGGAGAGGAAAACAAGGGUUGAGUUCCAAAUUCAGUAUGAAAAACUGCCAGACUUCUGCUACACAUGUGGCUACCUCGGACAUAAGGAGAAAUCGUGUGGCCGGAAGGUGAAAGGAAGGCCUCCAUCUGGCAAGUAUAGCGACAAACUCAAAUGUUCUCCACCACGCCGCUUUGGGAGGCAGUCCGGAACAGUGAAAGCGAAGGUCAACCCGAUGGCGUACCACGGCCUUGAUUUCUCUUCAGAGAGCACCGGGUCAUCGGCCCGAGGCCGAGGUGGACGAGGCGCGCGGCGCCCGGAAGGCAGCGCGGCGAGGCGUCAGCAACAUGCAGCAGAUCACAGCUCCGGAAACCCUGCCGUUGAUGCAAUGCUAGCCGAAAAGAUGCAAGCCAUGCCAGGAGGCAGCAAGGGUGCAAUGGAAGAUCGCCAUGCACAUGCAGAGGCUUACGUGCAUGUUCAGGUACAGGAGCACACCUCCAAAGGCACACAACACUCGGACUACUCCCAGCCGAGGAGCUCGGAUAUGAUCCCGGCGCUGCGUAAUCUUUCUCAGGAAGUGAAUAUGGACGACGUAGACCUCUCUGAUGGCGUCUCCGCUUUGGGCAAGCGUGCCGCUGCUGGUGAUCAAGUCGCUGCUGCUGGCGGGGAGGAGGCUAGCAAGGCUUUGGUGAUUUAUGCUAAUACAUCCAGUACGGACGAGCUUGUGGUUCUAGGUACGCCAAAAAAGCGCAGGACACUGGAGUCUCUAGACGGGCAGCAGACUCCGCGUGGCGAUGGGAUGAUGGAACAUGACAUGGUGGACGGAACUAGUACCAUGGAGGCCGUCGGCCCAGGGGCCGCCGACGAACUGACGGGGCCGGCGGAGCCCCGUCAGGAGGAAUGAAUAUCCUAAGCUGGAACUGCCGAGGGGGUGGGAACUCUCGGACAGUUCGUGAUCUUGUGAGUCUGGUGCAGGCUCAGUCCCCUAGUAUUGUUUUUCUUUGUGAGACUAGGCAGUCUAAGAAUAAAAUGAAGAGGUACCAUGCUCGGUUAGGUUUAAGAGGUUUUGAUGCUUUCGAUUGUGUGGGUCGUAGUGGAGGUCUUGCUUUGUAUUGGCAUGAGUCAGUGAGUCUUAAUGUAAAAGAAAUAAAUGAACAAUAUAUUGACGUGUAUGUAACUGGUGCGGAGGGUGAGCCACCCUGGCGGCUCACCUGCGUCUAUGGCGAGCCCCGAACGGAGGACUAUCAUCGCAUGUGGUCCCUCCUACGUAAUCUCCACCAGCAGACCAGCAUGCCUUGGGUCCUGGUGGGUGAUUUCAACGAGGAGAUGUGGAGUUUUGAGCACUUCUUCGACACACCGCGCUUGGCAGGUCAGAUGCUUGAUUUUCGUGAUGUUCUUGAGGUUUGUGGUCUAGGCGACCUCGGUUUUGCAGGUCUCCCACACACCUUUGAUAACCGGCGAGGUGGACGGGCAAACGUCAAGGUUCGCCUUGACCGUGCUGUGGCUAACAAUGCUUGGAGGGAUAUUUUCGCCCAUGCAAGGGUGGAGCAUUUGGUGGCGCCAAGCUCCGAUCACUUGGCCAUCCUCCUCAAGUGCGCGCUAGAGGAGCCGCGCCAACGGGAAGGCAGAAGGUGCAGACAGUACGAAGUUAUGUGGGAACGAGACCCCUCCCUCCCUGAGGUAAUUAUGAACACUUGGACUGAGUUGGGCUCUAUGUUAAAUCUUGGUGAUGUUGCUUCUGGACUAGGGAAUAUGAUGAAAAAACUACAAGAGUGGAGUCGAAAAAAGUUUGGAAAUGUCAUCCGUGAAAUUAACAAGUCCCGCUCUCGUCUCGAGGAGCUUAUGUCUAUGAAUGCAGAUAGAAAGGACAUACGGGAGGCGACUGACAGGAUGAACGAGCUGCUCUAUAGGGAGGAGAUGUUGUGGAUGCAGAGAUCCUGCAUUGCAUGGCUGCGGAAAGGGGACCACAACACCCAGUUCUUUCAUCGAAAAGUAGUUUGGCGCGCUCGCAAAAACCGUAUUAAAACUCUCAUUGAUGAUGAUGGAGUCACACAUCAGGACCAUGCGUCUAUGGCGGCCAUGGCCACUUCUUAUUUUGCCAAACUAUUUGCUGCUGACCCCUCUCUUUGUGCGGAUCCAGUAAUUGAUCUAAUUAAACCACGUGUGUCUGACCGCAUGAAUGAUGGACUGUGUGCAGAGUUUUCAGACAAGGAAAUUGCCAAUGCUCUGUUUCAGAUUGGACCGUUAAAGGCGCCGGGUCCGGAUGGCUUCCCCGCGCGCUUCUUCCAGCGUAAUUGGGACGUGAUGAGAGAACAAGUAAUUGCAGGGGUCAAGGAAUUUUUCCAGACAGGUAUUAGGCCUGAGGGGGUGAACAACACGUCCAUUGUUCUCAUCCCGAAGGUGGAUAACCCAGAGAGGCUCACGAAGUUCCGCCCAAUCAGCUUAUGUAACGUCAUCUACAAGGUGGUGGCAAAAUGUCUAGUAAACCGGUUGAGGCCUAUUCUGGAUGAUAUUAUCUCCCCUGAGCAAAGCGCCUUUGUCCCUGGACGUAUGAUCACUGAUAAUGCUUUGAUUCCGUUUGAGUGCUUUCAUUUUAUUCAGCAGGAGAAAGACCCAAAUAAAAGUUUCUGCGCGUAUAAACUGGACCUCUCCAAAGCAUACGAUAGAGUGGACUGGAUCUUCUUGGAGCGAAUGUUGAAAAAGAUGGGUUUCGCUCGCCGGUGGGUGGACUGGAUUAUGGCUUGCGUCACCUCGGCGAGAUAUACAGUUAAAUUCAAUGGAACCCUUCUGGAAUCGUUCGCACCGUCGCGUGGGCUACGGCAAGGUGAUCCUUUGUCCCCGUUUUUAUUCCUAUUUGUGGCUGGCGGUCUAUCUGCUCUCUUGAAAGAAGGAGAAGAAAAAGGCGACUUUACACCGCUAAAAGUGUGCCGCAGAGCUCCAGGGGUGUCUCAUCUUCUGUUUGCAGAUGAUACAUUACUGUUUUUUAAAGCAGAGGAGGAAGAAGGCCAAAAGGUCCAGGAAGUGCUAAACACGUAUGCUAAUGCCACCGAACAAUUUAUUAAUCCGGCCAAAUGUAGUGCUCUCUUUGGUUCAGCUUGUGCUAUGGACAAACAGGAGGCGGUAAGAACUACAUUAAACAUAGGUACUGUCACUUUUGAGGAGAAAUAUCUAGGGCUCCCAACGCCCGAAGGACGCAUGUCACGAGGUAAAUUUUAGAAUCUGCAAUCUCGGUUAUUGAAGAGGAUUAUUGCUUGGGGUGACACCCUCUCUCUCGCCGGUAAGGAAACCAUGAUUAAGGCAGUUGCCCAAGCUAUUCCCACUUAUAUUAUGGGUAUUUUUAAGCUUCCUACGUCAGUCUGUGAUGACCUGAAUAGAAUGGUUCGCAACUUCUGGUGGGGCGCCUCUGAGGGCAAGAGGAAGACGCACUGGCUUGCUUGGCCAAAGAUCCAGGCGCAGAAAAGCAAGGGUGGUCUGGGGUUCAGAGAUUUCCGCCUUUUUAACCAGGCUCUCCUAGCGAGGCAGGCCUGGCGUUUGCUUACUAAACCCACCAGUUUGUGUGUGCAGGUGCUAAAGGCCCGAUACUACCAUGAUGGACGCCUUGAGGACACGGUCUUCUCAGGGAACUCCUCCCCGACCUGGCAGGCUAUCCAACAUGGCCUCGAGCUCCUGAAAAAGGGCAUCAUAUGGCGUGUUGGGAACGGUCAGGACAUUCGCAUAUGGCGGGACCAAUGGUUGCCACGGGAGCCCUCUCGUCAGCCCAUCACUCAGCAGGGUACUUGCCGCCUGCGGAGGGUGGUUGAGCUCCUCGACGGCGAGGGCUCUUGGCGCACCGGCCUACUACAACGCUACUUCUUGCCGGCGGAUGUCGCCGUCAUCACUAGCAUCCGGACCUCGCCACGCGUCACCAACGAUAUCAUCGCCUGGGCGCCGAAGAAGAACGGUAUCUUCACCGUCCGAUCCGCGUACUGCGUGGCAAUGGACGAGCACGAGCGUCCAUUGGCCACCGCCAUGAGCAGGGCACCGGAUGGUCGUCGCGCCAUCUGGAAGAUCAUAUGGGGGUGCCCUGCUCCCCCUAAGGUACGCGUGUUUGCGUGGAGGGUUGUCACAAAUUCACUUGCUACUUGGGCCAACAAGGCUUCACGACACCUCGAGGAUACUGACGUCUGCCCCCUAUGUGGUGUUGAACGCGAGGACGGAUUCCACGCGCUUUGCAGGUGCCCACUGGCAAGGGAGCUAUGGAGACUCAUGGCGAUGGACUGGAACAUACCCAAGGUGGAGACCAUCCGGGACAUGGGGCCAGAGUGGCUAUUCGCCUUGUUGGAACCCCUGGAUGAGACGGCGAGGAUGGUGGUCCUCAUGAUCAUGUGAAGAGUAUGGCAUGUUUGCAAUGAGAUUACCCAUGACAAACCGCCACCUCCUGCCGAGGCCUCUCGUCGAUUCUUACAUGGCUAUAUUACUUCACUAUUAUGCAUCCAGCAACAUCCGCAGGCCAAUAUGGAGAAGGGGAAGAUGGUGGUUUGUGAUGGCCCGCCGGGCGUGCAGCCCUGCAGGAUAGCGACGGCGCGGCCAAGUUGGGCCCCCUAGUGCGGGCUGGGCCAAACUUAACACAGAUGGCGGCUUUGUUGCAGCCACAGGAGCAGCAGGAGGAGGCAUGAUCCUUCGAGAUGAUGGAGGGGAUAUCAUCUAUAGCGCGUGCAGAGAAAUUCGCACGUGUGAGAGUGCGCUGGAGGCGGAGCUCUCGGCGUGUAGAGAAGGCCUAGACCUUGCCUUACACAGGACAACGAUGCCUAUCAUUGUUGAGAUGGAUAGUGCGGAGGCUGUGGUGAUGCUCAAAGCACCCACAACAGAUAGAUCGCAGCACCGGUCUCUCAUUGAAGAGAUUAGCAGUCUAGCAGCCCUUGAGGAUAGAGAGGUUGUAUUUGCACAGUGUAGCCAUUGGCAGAACAACGCUAGUCAUGUGUUGGCUGCAUAUGGGCGUAGUACCCCCCGCACGGCAGUCUGGUUUGCAGGAGGGCCGGAAUUUCUUGUAAACUUGGUUAAGGCUGAGAGGCCUCCUUGAGUAAUGAAAAAUCCCCCCCCCCCUCGCAAAAAAAGGCAUUAGGAAUGGAUUUGGAAAUCAGUCUAUUCAAGUAAGAAUGGCGUGGAUGACAACAUCAUCUUGGUGGACUUGUGUUCUCUUCCUUGGGAGGUAGUCUGGAAGCGGAUGCGGAUUGUGGUAUGUAUCAGCGGCAUCUGAAAGAAGGUGGAUCGUGUAUUGGGUUCGUGGUUCGUGGCUAGCAAACAUGAUUUCCUCCUCCGACGUCUUAGUUGUACGGGAUGCCAGAUCUAGAUCGAUGGCAUGUUUGGAGUGUUGCCUUGGUCUGAUAUGUUCAACCGCAAUGGCUUCACCUUUGGUGAGCCACCUUAGAGGUCCGCAAAGCUGCAUAUCAGUGAUGGAACCGCGUCAAGAUCGGAUGAGGAGGUGAUUCGUUAUUUUUCUUCUCUUGGUGGUUGUUGUGAUGGUGCCGGAGACAGGUGACACACGUCGGUGUCAAUCUCAAGAGAUUCAUCUGUCUUGAUUGUAAUUGUAAAGACUAGCGUUUCGCUGUCUUUUCAGUUUUAUCAAAACGGUGUCUAUGUGACUUGUACAAUGAUCUUUAUAAUUUAAAUGCGACCCGUAUUAUCAGAAAAAGAAAGAACACAUCCAUUCUUCAAGGGAGGGAUACUCUAGCUCAUCGACUCAUCCGCACGAUAGAUAAUGGAGAGACUACUGAAAGGCUUCCCGGGGAUUAUAACAUGUGCCCCCUACUUGUCUCUGUGAUAAUCCUCCAUUAUUUGUAAGUGAACUCGUUUGCAAAAAAUCAGCAAAUUGGGAUUUUUAUCACCUUGGUCUCGGCGGCGGCAAUGGCAGCGCUGAAUAAAGAAGCUUUAGACCCUUCCCCGACAAGGUAUUGGGAAUGGAUUUGGAAUUCAGUCUAUUCAAGUAAGAAUGGCGUGGAUGACAACAUCAUCUUGGUGGACUUGUGUUAUCUUCCUUGGGAGGUAGUCUGGAAGCAGAUGCGGAUUGUGGUAUGUAUCAACGGCAUCUGAAAGAUGGUGGAUCGUGUAUUGUGUUCGUGGUUCAUGUCUAGCAAACAUGAUUUCGUCCUCCAAUGUUUUAGUUGUACGGGAUGCCAGAUCUAGAUCGAUGACAUGUCUGUGGUGUUGCCUUGGUCUGAUAUGUUCAACCGCAAUGGCUUCAUCUUUGGUGAGCCACCUUAGAGGUCCGCAAAGCUGCAUAUCAGCGAUGGAACCGCAUCAAGCUCGGGUGAGGAGGUGAUUCGUCAUUUUUCUUCUCUUAGUGGUUGUUGUGAUGGUGCCGGAGACAGGUGACACACAUCGGUGUCAAGCUCAAGGGAUUCAUCUGUCUUGAUUGUAAUCGUAAAGACUAGUGUUUUGCUGUAUUUUCAGUUUUAUCAAAACGGUGUCUAUGUGACUUGUACAAUGAUCUUUAUAAUUUAAAUGCGACCCGUAUUAUCAUAAAAAGAAAGAAUAGAAACAUCUAUUCUUCAAGGGAGGGAUACUCUAGCUCAUCGACUCAUCCCCACAAUAGAUAAUGGACAUACUACUGAAAGGUUUCCCGGGGAUUAUAACAUGUGCCCCCUACUUUUCUAUGUGAUAAUCCUCCAUUAUUUGUAAGUGAACUCGUUUGUAAAAAAUCAGCAAAUUGGAAUUGAGAAAAGGUGCAACAAAGUUUUAUUGGUAUUGAUGCUAAGUUAAUCCUUUUAAUCCCAUAUAAUGUACCAGUUGCGUGACUUUUGGUCUUGGAAUUACCAUAAAAGCAUCUUUAGCGGACCCCGUAUAACGCUGACCCAUAAAAUGCGUUCACAGUUCGUGAAAAAACGGUUUUGCGGGCAGGCACGGGCGGCGGUCGAGCAGACCCCAUAAAAAGAUAUGCAGAGCAGACCCGUAAAAAAUAUUCGGCAUAUAUUUUUUACGGGUCCGCAUUGCGAGGUCUGCUCGGCCGCCGCCCGCGCCGGCCCAUAAAUCAAUAAUUUGCAUUUCAAUUUCGGGCAUGAAAACACAUUUCUUUGCUUUUUUAUUUUCUUUAAGGGCAUUGGAUACAUAAUAAUUCACCAAAUCUUUCCUAGAAUAGUAAGAUCAAAGAAAACAAGAACCACAAUUAGGCAUUUUAGAAGAUAUCCAACUUAUAUAACGGCUCUCACUAGUUGGACCAACAUCUUCUCCAUGCCUUCAUUGUUGGUCUGCGGAUUCUUGAUCUUGCAUUCUUCAUGCUUCUUCUUUGAUUCUAAAAAAGUAGACGUUGCUCCCCCUCUAGUUUCUUCUCUAAUUGCACAUGCAGCCACAUCAUUAGCUUCCACUCUACCAACGUGUGCACGAACAACUAUUAAGUUUCUUUCUAUCAAUAAAUCGAUGUAUUCUUCUUCCCAAUACCAAAAUGAGCACCCACCUUCCUACACACAUGACCAUCUCAAUAGGCUACCGAAACUGAACCGAAUAGGUUGACAAAGCCGAAUGAAAACAAGAACAUACCCCGUCGUUUUCGCAUUUGAAGAAUACCCCAUCCGGGUGUUGCAGCGUGCUGGAUGUUAGCUGCUGUGUGCAGUUGUCGCAAUGUAUGAGCGGCUUCGGCGAGCCGCUGCGCGAGCGCCAAGCCCGGACGACGACCGGCUGAGUCCUUGCCGGCAAACCGACGACGACGACUAGAGGACGAACCAUUACCUGCAUGCGGCGAUGGGGCUUGGCCGGGUGCUCCCCAACCAAUCCAUGGAUUAGCGCAGCUGCCGGUGUUCGGAAACGCCAAAUCCGGCGGCCGCGACAAACAACCACUGAUCUGCAACUUUCCGGCCGGCUAAGGCAGGAGAAAGUGGCGGAGGAUAAUCUCGGGCGUGCAGCCCGUCGGCGUGAUCCCGACGGCUGAUAUGGCCGGAAUCGUAGGCGGCGGCCCGACGACGGUGGGUGGGGAAAAGCGCAGGCUAAAAUGUCCCCCCGCCAACCGCUCCCGCUAUAUAGAGGGCAUCGCUGCGGGUUGGGGUGAGAAUUUUGCCGCGCCCCGCAAAAAUAUUUACGGGCCCGACGCGUUUGCGGGGUCUGAUCGAGCAGCUUUUUUCGCGUGGACUCGUAUUUUGGCGGUUAUUUUGCGGGUCGUGGUAUUAUAUGGGGUCUGUUAGAGAUGCCCUAAGAAGGGAGUUUUAUGUGUCCAUCCGGCUUGUCCCAUGCUUGUUGCUACCAAACACCGACGGGAGGCUUCGCUUGAGGGAUACAUUGAUUCCUCCAACUAAGAUAUGUUGAAUAUAUAUGUCUUUCAUGUAUUUAUGUAUAUCCUGGCUCACCUCCUAAUUAUGUAUAGUUGAGGUUGAUGCCUGCUUGUACUCUAUAUAUACGUGCAUCUGCACCCAAUCAAUACAACGAUAAUUGUAUUGGCAAAACAUCUCUCUACAUGGUAUCAUCCUGAAGGUCUGACCUAGGGCCGCCGCCGCGCCUCCUCGCGUGCACCGCCGCUGCCUACCACCGCCACUGCACGCCGCCGCCGUCGUGUUUCCGUCUGCAAUCGCCGCCGCCACCCCAUGCCGCCGCGCCGACCCGCCGCCGCCGCCGCGCACCUCCUGCCGCACCACCGCCGCCCCGCCGUGCCGCCUCUUCUUCCCGUCGCCGAUGCCGUCUCCUCUCGACGUAGCCGCCGCUGCUCCUACUCAGCCACCCUACCCCGCCGCGCCAUGGCCUCCCGAGUUUCGCCUCCACCAGCUCCUCGAACCCCUUCGUCGGCCCCGAGCCCUCCGCCGCCGCCAUCCGUGAUCUUAACAUCGAGGCCCGUGUCCCCGUUCGCCUUGACAGCUCCAGCACCUCGUACUAUGCAUGGAAGACCUACUUCAACCUCAUCUUCCGCGAGUACUAUCUUACCAAGCACAUCGAUGGCUUCAUGGAUGACGACUACAUGAAGGGCGACCCGGAGUGGUCCGCCAUCAAGGCCACGCUCAUCCGAUGGUUUUAUCAAACCGUCUCGAAGGACAUCUUCCACACGGUUGUCGCUGAGGACGACGAUGCUUGCGCCGUGUGGACCAAGAUCAACACGCUCUUCAUCGACAACAAACUUCAACGCCUUGUUUUCUUGCAGCAGGAGUUCUUUGGUUGUCAUCACGACAACUCCACCAUCGAUGAGUACUGCAUGCGGCUUAAGAUGCUCGCCGACGAGCUUCGUGACAUCGGGGCCAAAGUCUCCGACGAUCUCAUGUUGAGCACCAUCACCGCCGGCCUCAACGAGGAUUUCGGGAACGCGACGUCUAACCUCACUUUGCUGCCGCAACCCACUUUUCAGCACGUCACCGCGUACCUCAAGAUUGAGGAGCGCCAAAUGACAAAGCUGAAGCAGCGGGUCCAGCACACUGCCCUCGCCGUCGGCACAACCCGUGGCCGCACCGCUCCACCGGCCACGCCACCUCAGCCGCACCCUCCCGCGCCCGCUGGGUACUUCCCGUUGCCGCCCGCGCCCCCUCGCCUCCCCAGCAGCCGCAAGGUGGCAGGGGCUGGCGCAACCGGCGGGGCGGCCGCUGUCAGCAGCAGUAGCANNNNNNNNNNNNNNNNNNNNNNNNNNNNNNNNNNNNNNNNNNNNNNNNNNNNNNNNNNNNNNNNNNNNNNNNNNNNNNNNNNNNNNNNNNNNNNNNNNNNNNNNNNNNNNNNNNNNNNNNNNNNNNNNNNNNNNNNNNNNNNNNNNNNNNNNCCUCCACCAUGGGCAACCGGGCAGAACCCGUGGACGGGCGUCGUGCAUGCCUAUCAUAUGCCCGUCCCACGGGUUCCUGCCCAGAGUCUUCUCGGCCCUCGCCCCGCGGGCCAUCAGGCGUUCCUUGGUGCCCCCUACCAGCCGCCGCCUAUCGGUGGGUAUGGCCCGCCCACCCAGGCGUCGCCCUACAGGGCCCCCCUGCCGCCACCGGUCCCUAUACCAUGGGAUCCCACCCUCCUCGCCGCCCUGCACUCUGCGCCAUCGCCGAGUAACUAUGGCAGUGGAGGCGACUGGUACAUGGACUCAGGUGCUACCACGCACAUGAUAACUCAUCCUGGUAACCUAACCUCCUUCACUCCCGUUAACACACCCACUCGUAUCACCGUUGGCAACGACUAUUCUUUUACCUAUCACUCAUAUCGGUAGCAUUAGUUUUCCUUCUAGUUCCACACCUAUCACUAUGUCUAAUGUUCUUAUUUCACCUGACUUAGUCACUAGCUUAGUUUCCGUUCAUUGUCUUACUCAUGAGAACCCACUUACUGUUGAAUUUGACGGUGUUGGUUUUUCUGUGAAAGACGCCCAUUCCCGGAUGGUACUUCACCGAUGUGACAACCCCAAUGAGCUUUAUCUCGUGCAUGCCGGCACUUCCACCUCCACACCCGCCGCCGGCGUCUACCUUUGGCAUGCUCGCUUGGGCCACCCCAACCCCACCAUUUUGUGUUAGAUUCUUAGGAGUUUUUCUUUCUCAUGUAAUAAGCUCAAAGAGCAUACUUGCGAGGCUUGUCGCUUGGGCAAGCAUGUUCGUAUUCCCUUUAGUGUGUCUACAAAUGUUUCCACUUUUCCAUUUCAAUAACUUCAUAGUGAUGUUUGGACGUCUCCCGUUGCGAGGAACACAGGCUAUCUAUACUACUUGGUGAUUUUAGAUGAUUAUUCGCAUUAUGUGUGGACUUUUCCUCUUCGUCGCAAAUCUGAUGCUUUAGCCAAACUCACCUCCUUUUAUUCCUAUGUCACCACCCAGUUCGGUCGCCCCAUUCUUGCACUCCAAACUGAGAACGGAAAAGAGUUUGACAAUGUCGCUCUCCGCACCCUUCUUGCCUCUCAUGGCACCAUCUUCCGUCUAACUUGCCCAUACACCUCACAACAGAACGACCGAGCUGAGCAUAUUCUUUGCACUCUUAAUGACUAUGUUCACACAUUACUCUUUCACUCGAACGUGCCCGCUCGAUUUUGGCCUGAUGCUCUCGCCACUGCCACCUGCUACCUCUUGAGCACUUCGUUGGUUUUCCCUUGAAGAGGAAAGGGUGAUGCAGCAAAGUAGCGUAAGUAUUUCCCUCAGUUUUUGAGAACCAAGGUAUCAAUCCAGUAGGAGGCUACGCACGAGUCCCUCGCACCUACAAUACGUGCCUUGCUGCCCCUACUGUCACUGGGAAAGGACACCGCAAGAUUGAACCCAAAGCUAAGCACUUCUCCCAUUGCAUGAAAGAUAAAUCUAGUAGGCCAAACCAAAAUGAUAAUUCGAAGAGACUUGCAAAGAUAACCAAUCAUACAUAAAAGAUUCCAGAGAAGAUUCAAGUAUUGUUCAUAGAUAAACUUGAUCAUAAACCCACAAUUCAUCGGUCUCAACAAACACACCGCAAAAGAAGAUUACAUCGAAUAGAUCUCCACAAGAGAGGGGGAGAACUUUGUAUUGAGAUCCAAAAAGAGAGAAGAAGCCAUCUAGCUAAUAACUAUGGACCCGUAGGUCUGAAGUAAACUACUCACACUUCAUCAGAGGGGCUAUGGUGUUGAUGUAGAAGCCCUCCGUGAUCGAUGCCCCCUCCGGCGGAGCUCCGGAAAAGGCCCCAAGAUGGGAUCUCAUGGAUACAUAAAGUUACGGCGGUGGAAUUAGGGUUUUGGCUCCGUAUCUGGUAGUUUGGGGGUACGUAGGUAUAUAUAGGAGGAAGGAGUACGUCGGUGGAGCAACAGGGGGCCCACGAGGGUGGAGAGCGCACCUGGGGGGGGGGGUAGGCGCCCCCCCUACCUCGUGCCUUCCUCGUUCAUUGGUUGACGUAGGGUCCAAGUCCUCCGGAUCAUGUUCGUUCCAAAAAUCACGUUCCCGAAGGUUUCAUUCCGUUUGGACUGCGUUUGAUAUUCUUUUUCUGCGAAACCCUAAAAUAGGCAAAAAAACAUCAAUUCUGGGCUGGGCCUCCGGUUAAUAGGUUAGUCCCAAAAAUAAUAUAAAAGUGUAUAAUAAAGCCCAAUAAUGUCCAAAACAGAAUAUAAUAUAUCAUGGAACAAUAAAAAAUUAUAGAUACGUUGGAGACGUAUCAAGCAUCCCCAAGCUUAAUUCCUACUCGUCCUCGAGUAGGUAAAUGAUAAAAACAGAAUUUUUGAUGUGGAAUGCUACUUGGCAUAAUUUCAAUGUAAUUUUUCUUAAUUGUGGUAUGAAUAUUCAGAUCCGAAAGAUUCAAGACAAAAGUUCAAUAUUGACAUAGAAAUAAUAAUACUUCAAGCAUACUAACUAAGCAAUUAUGUCUCUUCAAAAUAACAUGGCCAAAGAAAGUUAUCCCUACAAAAUCAUAUAGUCUGGCUAUGCUCUAUCUUCACCACACAAAGUAUUUAAAUCAUGCACAACCCCGAUGACAAGCCAAGCAAUUGUUUCAUACUUUUGGUGUUCUCAAACUUUUUCAAUCUUCACGCAAUACAUGAGCGUGAGCCAUGGACAUAACACUUUAGGUGGAAUAGAAUGGUGGUUGUGGAGGAGACAAAAAAAGGUGGAAGAUAGUCUCACAUCAACUAGGCAUAUCAACGGGCUAUGGAGAUGCCCAUCAAUAGAUAUCAAUGUGAGUGAGUAGGGAUUUCCAUGCAACGGAUGCACUAGAGCUAUAAGUAUAUGAAAGCUCAACAAAAGGAACUAAGUGGGUGUGCAUCCAACUCGCUUGCUCACGAAGACCUAGGGCAUUUUGAGGAAGCCCAUCAUUGGAAUAUACAAGCCAAGUUCUAUAAUGAAAAAUUCCCACUAGUAUAUGAAAAUGAUAACAUAGGAGACUCUCUAUUAUGAAGAUCAUGGUGCUACUUUGAAGCACAAGUGUGGUAAACGGAUAGUAGCAUUGUCCCUUCUCUCUUUUUCUCUCAUAUUUUUUUAUUUGGGCCUUUUUUAUGGCCUCUUUUUUUCGUCCGGAGUCUCAUCCCGACUUGUGGGGGAAUCAUAGUCUCCAUCAUCCUUUCCUCACUUGGGACAAUGCUCUAAAAAUGAUGAUCAUCACACUUUUAUUUACUUACAACUCAACAAUUACAACUUACUUAGAACAAAAUAUGACUCUAUGUGAAUGCCUCUGGCGGUGUACCAGGAUAUGAAUCAAGAGUGACAUGUAUGAAAUAAUUAUGAAUGGUAGCUUUGCCACAAAUACAAUGUCAACACAUGAUCAUGCAAAGCAAUAUGACAAUGAUGGAGCGUGUCAUAGUAAACGGAAUGGUGGAAAGUUGCAUGGCAAUAUAUCUCGAAAUGGCUAUGGAAAUGCCAUGAUAGGUUGGUAUGGUGGCUGUUUUGAGGAAGGUGUAUGGUGGGUGUAUGAUACCGGCGAAAGGUGCACAGUAUUAGAGAGGCUAGCAAUGGUGGAAGGAAGAAAAGUGCGUAUGAUCCAUGGACUCAACCUUAGUCAUAAAGAACUCAUAUACUUAUUGCAAAAAUCUACAAGUUAUCAAAGCAAAGUAUUACGCGCAUGCUCCUAGGGGGAUAGAUUGGUAGGAAAAGACCAUCGCUCGUUCCCGACCGCCACUCAUAAGAAAGACAAUCAAUAAAUAAAUCAUGCUUCGACUUCAUCACAUAAUGGUUCAUCAUACGUGCAUGCUACGGGAAUCACAAACUUUAACACAAGUAUUUCUCAAAUUCACAACUACUCAACUAGCAUGACUCUAAUAUCACUGUCGGUGUCAAAACCGGCGGAUCUCUAGUAGGGGGUCCCGAACUGUGCGUCUAGGCGGAUGGUAACAGGAGGCAUGGGACACGAUGUUAUACCCAGGUUCGGGCCCUCUUGAUGGAGGUAAAACCCUACGUCCUGCUUGAUUAAUAUUGAUGAUAUGGGUAGUACAAGAGUAGAUCUACCACGAGAUCAAGGAGGCUAAACCCUAGAAGCUAGCCUAUGGUAUGAUUGUUGUUCGUCCUACGGACUAAAACCCUCCGAUUUAUAUAGACACCGGAGAGGGCUAGGGUUACACAGAGUCGGUUACAAUGGUAGGAGAUCUACAUAUCCGUAUCACCAAGCUUGCCUUCCACACCAAGAAAAGUCCCUUCCGGACACGGGACGAAGUCUUCAAUCUUGUAUCUUCAUAGUCCAGGAGUCCGGCCGAAGGUAUAGUCCAGCUAUCCGGACACCCCCUAAUCCAGGACUCCCUCAGUAGCCCCUGAGCCAGGCUUCAAUGACGACGAGUCCGGCGCGCAGAUUGUCUUCGGCAUUACAAGGCGGGUUCCUCCUCCAAGUACUUCAUAGAAGAUUUUGAACACAAAGGUAGUGUCCGGCUCUGCAAAAUAAGUUUCCACAUAUUGCCAUAGAGAGAAUAAUAUUUACACAAAUCUAAUCUGCUGACGUAUUCUGUAGCGUGACAUCACACCACGGCCAUGUCUUUAUUCGAAUCGUUUUACUGUCCCACCUCAGCGCGUUUAGCGAGGCGGUUUCCUUGGCACGUCUUGUCAACGCAGAGAUCGUGUCCCCUUAUUCCGGGAUUCUCAUCAAUACGGGCGUGGGUAACCCAACCGUACCCGUUGGUAUGUUUUCUCGAUCAAAGGCGAGUCCCAAACGGUCACGGGGAGGGCCCUUGGUAUUCAACCUCUUAUAAAGAGACCAAGGCCUUACUCUUUUCUUUCAAUCUCAAACGAGUUCGCCCUUCGCCUCGAGUUCCAACACCCAAGGCUCCAGAUUUUAGGCGCUUCGGACCUUCGACAAUGUCUGGUUCCGACCUUCGAGGCCGAUGGAUGCCCUCCUCCGUCACGGAGGAGGACGUGCUGAAGUUGAGAGAGGCCAGGUUCUUGACCGGCGAAAUCUCGCAUAGGCUGCCUGCUCAAGGGCAGGUCAUUCCCACUCCCAAGCCUGGUGAGAGUGUGGUGUUCAUGUCUCACUUCCUUCUGGGGCUAGGCUUCCCGACGGAUCCCUUCGUGAGGGGGCUCAUGUUUUAUUAUGGGCUGGAAUUUCACGACUUAGCUCCGGAGUCCAUCCUCCAUAUUUCCUCAUUCAUCAUCGUGUGUGAAGCCUUCCUCCGUAUUACUCCUCACUUCGGACUAUGGCUCAAGACCUUCAAAGUAGAGCCGAAGAUGAUCGAGGGACGGCACGCGGAGUGCGGAGGUGCUUUUAUAAGCAAGAAUGCUGGUGCUCCAUGGCCCGAGGGCUCUUUUCAAGGGGAGUCCAGCUUAUGGCAACGAGAGUGGUUUUAUAUCACAGCUCCCAGGAGCACCAAGCGGGUGGCGCUGCCUGCUUUCCGCUCGGGUCCCCCGCCACGACUGGCGUCAUGGGUCAAUAAGGGGCUGGACUGGGGGUUGGCAAAGGACGUGCCCCUGUUGCAGGGCCGCAUCCGAGAUCUCCUAGAAAGAGAUAUCAGUCUGGUCGUGGUGACAAAGGUUAUGUUAAUUCGCCGAGUUCUACCCUGCAAACGUCGCCCCCUCUGCCUGUGGGAGUUCAAUCCGGAGGGACCACGAGGUCUCCAACAUUUUCUUGGCAUGACGCCCGUGGAGAUGUACAAAUUGUUCUUCGGGCCACAAGUAGUGUGUCCGGAUUCUACGGAGGAUGCAGGUCUGAGCUGCAAUCGUCCGGAUACUCAAGUAAGUAGCCUUGUGCCCGGACUCGCUAUCCGUAUAUUUAUCAUAAAAUUGCCCCUAAAAGAGCUGUCCUUUAAACAGGAGUGGAUAGCGAAAGCAAAGCUAAUCAGGUGUCCGGCCCCCUCCCCGAGACCACGCCGGGUCCCGUGCUAGUCAGGAUGUUGGAGGUUGUGCCUUCAAAGGAAAGUGAGGGAGGGGACAAGGAAGCUACAGCCUCCUCGAAGGAGGUUGUCCGAAAGGGAGGAAUCGAAAAUUCCUCUCCUCAAGGGAAGAAGAGGACCGCCUCUGAAGACCCGGAGACCAUGGCCUCAAAGCGGGGGAAGAAAUCUUCGCCAGAGGGUCCUGUGCUGGGGGAUACUUCGGCCGAAUUAUGCCCUCAAGGGGAUCAGCCCUCCACCGAGCUGUAGGUAGAGAUGAGUUUUAUUUUUAAGAAACAAGAGAAAUCCUUGCUUUAUAUCUGAGAAAAGUAAUCGAAAAUUUACCUUGUAGCUCAGACCUUAGCCCUUCUCAGCAGAGCUCGUCUUCGGGGGAUCUUCCUCCGGAGAUGAUGGAGAGUGGAACGCCUCCCCCUGCCGUACCGCCUUGCGAGGCAGGUGACCCUGAGGUAUCGUCACGGAGGGUUUCUCUGAAUCCGGCAGGGCCGGAAGGUAGUCAUAUGGCCCCUCAAAGCCCUCCGCGUCCGACCUUCGAAAAGGGCCAUCGGACAAGUCCGGCGCCGUCUGGUGCACGGUCAGAGGAGCUGAAGGAUCUGCUAGGGCGAGCAUCUAUCUCAGAGGAGCACCGUACAUUGAUGCGUACGGUGAUUGAGAGGAUUUCAUCCGCGGAGAGUGGAUUGCACGAGGCCGUCAGGAGUUUACUGACAGGUUUUGAGGUACGCGAAAUAAUGUACCCUUUUUGGACAGUUGCGCAUAAAUAAGAUGCGCCCUGUGUAGAUAGUAGCCCCUGAGACUCUGUGCGUUGUCAAAAGUGAUGGCGCGCAGAGGAUCAUAAUCCUAGGUCUAAUAUGCCGCCUUCAUACGUAGGUGGCGAAGUGUCCGGUGGCAAGCCGGACUGAUGAAUUUGCCGAGCUAAAGCGGCAAAUUGACGUGGCAGAUGCCGACAUCGCACUUGUCAACAAGCGGCUUGACGAGGCACAAGGUAUGUAAUUCCUCCGGCGGCACCUGGUAAGAGGAGCUUUAUGCCAGUAUCUUACAAUGUGUGCGCUUGAUGCAGAUGGUGCUGCUGCCAUGGAGAAUCUUCGGGCGGAACUUGCCCGAGCCAAGGAGCAAGCCAGGAAAAGUGAUGCGGCUGCCGGAAAGGCAAUUGAAGAGCUGAAAGCCGAACAGGCUGCUCACUGCCGAAGCAAGAAGGAAAUGGCCGAGAUGGCCGUGAAGCUGAAGAACGCUACUGACCGUUGCAAGCUUCUUGAAAAAGAAGAUCGGGCAGAACAGACGGACCUGGAGAAGGCCGUUUCCGAUGCCAAGGAUGCUCGCUCUGCAAUGAGAGCUAUGAAGGAGGAGCUGCGUCAGGCCGGAGAGAUCACGGCUGGAAAGCCCUUUAUGCUACGAAGGAAGUUCUGUGAUCCUAAACAUGCUCCGUUAGACCGGAUGUGGAGUACGGUGGACACCUAUCUGGAUUUGGCAGCGAGUGCCGCAGAUGCGGCCGAACACUUCCGAGAUCAAGAAGAUCGCGAAGUGGAAAAGCUCUUUUGGUCGCAGUUCCACAAUCCGGAGCAUCCACUGUCAUUAGCCGAUCGUUUGGCCGAAUGGGCCGAGCUAAAUAGGUUGUCUGGACUCGCCAUGAAGUAUGUCAUGAGUCAUCUGUGGCCAGAGAGGCCAGAGCCGAAAAGUUAUUUCAACUUAGUGCAGCAGUUCCUUGGUGCGGCGCCGCAUAUCAAUGCGAUGAAGAGGUCAACGUGCAUAGAGGGUGCGCGGAUGGCUCUUGCCCGUGUGAAGACAUACUGGGCGGAAAUGGAGGCCACCGCUGUUGCAUCCCCAGACUCGGAUGGAAGCCGAGUACCUGCCGAGCACUAUUUUCAGGAAGUUCUGCAAGGCGCUCGUUUAAUAGAGACACAGUGCUCGAAGGAUACUAUGUUCGAAUAACAUAUAUUAUUGUAAAACAAUAUUUUGAUAAAUUGUAGAAUCUUUUUAUACUUGUGCCUGCAAGUAUUAUAAUACCUCCUGUGCGGCCGUUUAACAUAUAUGUAUAUAUAAUCUGAAAGAUGGCAGUCAUCGGCUUCAGCCCCCAUGCACAUAAUGCGGGGGUGUUCGCAGAAGGCGCAUUUUCACACUUAAUCCAAUGUCUUGGUCCUAGAAAGGAGGUGAUAGCGCAGCGAACUAGGCAAUCAAACUAUGAUGCUUUAUCACUUUCACUUAGCCAUAGGAGUUUGACAGUGAGGCUACUUAUAUAGCCCCUGGUGGCGCCUGCGCUCGCCCGAACUCGGGGCGCGUAUGUGCCUGGCCGGGAAGCGGCCCUUUGUUAAUGCGGAGGAAUCCUAAAGAUUCCGGUAAGUCAUCGAGUGGUUGACCAGUCUCACGCUAUAUCAUGAUAGUCAGUUUUCGGCUUUCUCUACUAAGGUGCUCGCCUGGCCGAACCAGGGCACAAUCGCAGUAGUUCUCCUGGUGCCGCCUUAGCCGAUAGAGCGGAACGUAAGGUAGCAAAACACAGGAGCCGGGCAAACCCAUCAUUUGACCAAAGACAUGAUUCAGAGCUGAUGCAUAUAAGGCCAAACUCGCGACGCCGAACACUCCCUAAGGUAUUCAGUCUUUAUGAGGGCGGGCGGGAUAACGCCCUUAGUAAUAAGCACCUAGUGUCCAGGUACGCGCAAAACUCUGACGUGGCCACAUGCCAAAACGCCAGCCUCCUCCUUGGUUAUACCAAGAAACCAGGGGAUGUGUAUCAACAAGAGACAGUAAAAAGGUUUACGCAGGGUCUUAAUCUGAAAAGAAUCCUUGGAACAGGUCCCUGCUGCACGUCUGCGCCUGUGUCUCUGUUGUGCCGUAUCCUGGACGGGCGUAGCACGGUGUUCAUAUGUAAAAGAGAGGAACUUAGUUUAGGAAAGAUCGUGCCGAACAUGAGUUAUACUAAAUAAACGAAGUAUAAAUCGAAAUGGGUAAAAUUGAGCUUUAUUGUCUCUUGUUUUAUAUGCGCGGAGCCCCUAGUACAGGGGUAUACGGCUAUUAAGCCUUUAUCAAUUGUAUGCUUAUGCCGGACUCGUCUAGCCGUGUCCGUGGUCUUGACGACCUGUUUAGGUGCUUCGGCUGGUGAAGCCGCUUUAUUGUGGGGCUGUCAAGGCAGCCGCACUGUCUUCCGCGUGGGGGGAACACUCAAUGUUUUCCCUUUAAUGAGAUGAUGCCUCGUGGACCGGGCAUCUUAAGCAUAAGAGAUGCAUAAUGCGGUAUUGCGUUAAAGCGGGCGAAAGCUUCGCGUCCCAGCAGUGCUUGAUAGCUACUUGAGAAUGGGGCGAUGCAGAAAGUUAGCUGUUCGCGACGGAAGUUAUCGGGGGAGCCGAAACAUAACUUCUAGCCGGAGAGAACCCAUGCAACGGGCAUCCGGGCCUAGCGUUACCCCUUGAAAGGAGGUUUUGCUAUGGUGAAUUUUUGUUGGGUCCAUCCCCAUGUUGCGGAUUGUGUCCUGGUAUAACAGGUUUAGACCACUACCGCCGUCCAUCAGGACAUUUGUAAAGUGGAGUCCGUCGAUUAUUGGAUCUAAUACCAAGGCAGUCCAGCCUACGUUCCGGAUACUUCUAGAGUAAUCCUGAUGGUAGAAGGUGAUCAGUUUUAACAACCAUUGGCGAGACUCCUUUGGGAUAGGCCAUAUGGCGCGUAUCUCUAUUGGCACCAUUCUGUUCGUCACGUGAGGUAAGUUUACUAUUUUGACUUCCUGUGGGAAAUCCUUUUGUUUCCUGGUGCUCUGCUUGUGGGGUUCGUCGUCGUCCUCACUUGGUGUGUCGAGCCCCUUGUGUUCGGCGUUGAGUUUGCCGGAUUGCUUGAAAACCCAACAAUCUCUGUGGGUAUGGUUCGCAGGCUUCCCGAAAGUACUGUGUAUUUGACAUAUCUUGUCCAAGAUUUUGUUUAAGUUGGAUAGCUCGUUCCUAUUAUCCUUGAGGGGCGGCUUUCUCUAAUUCUGUCGCGAGCUUUUGAAUCCGGCGUUGACCGCCGUGCUCUUUGGGCUGUUUCCCUUAUCCCGAUGCUGGUCCUUGUUGCGUCGGGGUUUUCCGUUUCCAUCCCUAACUUCGGAUGUACUUGGGUCGCUGGUGCUACAUUUUGCCAACCAGCUGUCCUCUCCUACGCAAAAGCGGGUUAUGAGGCUUGUUAAUGCAUCCAUUGUUCUUGGCUUUUCUUGGCCGAGGUGUCUGGCAAGCCAUUCGUCUCGAACGUUAUGCUUAAAAGCUGAUAGGGCUUCGGCGUCCGGACAGUCGACUAUCUGAUUCUUUUUGGUAAGAAAUUUGUUCCAGAAUUUCCGGGCUGACUCUCCGGGCUGUUGAGUUAUGUGACUGAGAUCGUUUGCAUCCGGAGGGCGGACAUAGGUCCCUUGAAACUUUGCCCAGAAAGCAUCGUCAAGCUCUUCCCAACUUCCAAUGGUGUUUUCGGGAAGGCUUUUGAGCCAAUGCCGGGCUGGCCCUUUAAGCUUGAGGGGUAAGUAUUUUAUGGCGUGGAGGUCAUCUCCUCUGGCCAUGUGUAUGUGGAGGAUAUAAUCCUCGAUCCAGACCCCAGGGUCUGUUGUUCCGUCGUACGCCUCUAUGUUUACGGGCUUGAAUCCCGCUGGAAAUUCAUGGUCCAACACCUCAUCAGUGAAACAUAGGGGGUGUGCGGCACCCCUGUAUUUGGGUGUGCCAUGAUGUUCAGAUAUUUGUUGUGUUGCAUUGCUUACUAGAGCUUGCUUUCUUGGUACGUAGAUAGAUCUGGCUGGGCCGUCUUUUUGAUGCGGAUCCUUUGGUGGACCGUGUGCCGGCUUGUGUGCGUCGCCGCUUGCCGCUCCAUGCUGGCCUUGCGGUCGUCUAUCCGACCGGGUGGCUUUCCUAUUUUUUAACUGCGGGGGCUCUAAGGCCUCCUCGUCAAAUUCAGGCAGUAGCUUUCGCUUUGGAUAGCUUUUUGUGCGGCGACUGCCACCAUAUUUGUCUGCGGUGUUGCGUACUUUGCUCCAUCUAAUUCUGAGUGCAUCUUCCGCAGUUUUGAGCUUCCGCUUCUGCUUUUUCAGGCUACGCGCAGUGGCGACGAGCCCUUCGUGGAGGUUCUUCUGCUCCAUGAGCCUAUCCGGCGUAAGGUCGUCCGGACUAUUGUUUUCGCCGGGGACGGGGUGUUCGGUUUGUUUAUCCAAGUUGCCCUGUUCGGACGGUUGCUCGAAGGCAUGUUCGUCGUCCGCCGGCUCGUCCUCCUCUAUGGCUGGGUCUGUAUGGCUGCUGUCUCUGUCGAGGCAGGGCUUGGAGCAGCGCUUACGUUGCCGCUUUGAUUGCUUUUCGAGUGAACGAUCCCUCGUUGCAUCCCUGUGUUCCUCGUCGUCGCUUCCUUUGGGUGUGUCCACCAUGUAUACAUCAUGAGAUGAGGUGGCUGUCCAGUGCCUUAUAGGCGUUGGUUCAUGUUCAUCUCCUACAUCGUCGUCCAUACCGUCGAUGUCUUCGGAGUCGAAGUCGAGCACGUCAUUUAAAUUAUCGACAGUGGCUACGAAGUGGGUGGUGGGUGGGCUUUGAAUUUCUUCAUCAUCCACAUCCCAACCUUGUUGACCAUAGUCCGGCCAGGGCUCUCCUGAUAAAGAGAGAGACUUUAGUGAAUUCAGAAUAUCACCAAAGGGCGAGUGCUGAAAGAUGUCCGCGGUGGUGAACUCCAUGAUCGGCCCAAUCGGGUUCGAUCGGUAGGGGCGCGGAGAGCUAGGAGUCUGGAGAGGAGUCCGACUCCUUGGAGUCACGGGCUUCGCAGAGAAUAGGGCUGGUGUUCGGCUCGAUCGCCGUAGAGAUUGCAGCCCCCGAGGCGGUGUUCAACCACCCAUCCUCGAUUGGUGCAGUUGGCUCUAAAUUAAGGGUCGGAGCUGAUGCGGGUGCGGCCUCCAAGGCACUGUUCGACGGCAGAGCUAGAUCAUGCCCAUCAUGACAGUGCGGCACGCUCGGCUGCGGCUCGAAUCCGUCGAAGAUCAAGUCUCCGCGGAGGUCCGCUGUGUAGUUUAAACUUCCAAAUCUGACCUGACGGCCAGGGGCGUAGCUUUCGAUCUGCUCCAGAUGGCCAAGCGAAUUGGCCCGCAGUGCAAAGCCGCCAAAUACGAAGAUCUGUUCGGGGAGAAAAGUCUCACCCUGGAUCGCAUCGUCGUUGAUGAUCGCAGGAGUCAUCGGGCCUAAAAGUGACGACACAGAGGAACUCUCAAUGAAAGCACCAAUGUCGGUGUCAAAACCGGCGGAUCUCGGGUAGGGGUUCCCGAACUGUGCGUCUAGGCGGAUGGUAACAGGAGGCAGGGGACACGAUGUUUUACCCAGGUUCGGGCCCUCUUGAUGGAGGUAAAACCCUACGUCCUGCUUGAUUAAUAUUGAUGAUAUGGGUAGUACAAGAGUAGAUCUACCACGAGAUCAAGGAGGCUAAACCCUAGAAGCUAGCCUAUGGUAUGAUUGUUGUUCGUCCUACGGACUAAAACCCUCCGGUUUAUAUAGACACCGGAGAGGGCUAGGGUUACACAGAGUCGGUUACAAUGGUAGGAGAUCUACAUAUCCGUAUCACCAAGCUUGCCUUCCACGCCAAGAAAAGUCCCUUUCGGACACGAGAUGAAGUCUUCAAUCUUGUAUCUUCAUAGUCCAGGAGUCCGGCCGAAGGUAUAGUCCGGCUAUCCGGACACCCCCUAAUCCAGGACUCCCUCAAUCACCAUCUCCAUAUCUCAAAACAAUUAUCAAGUAUCAAACUUCUCAUAGUAUUCAACACACUCAUAAGAAAUUUUUUAUUAAUCUUGAAUGCAUAACAUAAUUAAAGCAAAUUACCAUGCUGUUUUGUAGGAAUCUCAAAAUAAUCUAAGUGAAGCAUGAGAGAACAAUAGUUUCUAUAAAACAAAUCCACCGACGUGCUCUAAAGGAUAUAAGUGAAGCACUAGAGCAAAAACUAUAUAACUCAAAACAUAUAAGUGAAGCACAUAGAGUAUUCUAACAAUUUAUGAAUCAUGUGUGUCUCUCUCAAAAGGUGUGUACAGCAAGGAUGAUUGUGGAAAACUAACAAAUAAAUACUCAAAUAAUACAAGACGCUCCAAGCAAAACACAUAUCAUGUGGUAAGUAAAAAUAUAGCUCCAAGUAAAGUUACCGAUGGAAGUAGACGAAAGAGGGGAUGCCUUCCGGGGCAUCCCCAAGCUUUGGCUUUUAGGUGUCCUUAGAUUAUCUUGGGGUGCCAUGGGCAUACCCAAGCUUAGGCUCUUUCCACUCCUUGUUCCAUAAUCCAUCAAAUCUUUUACCCCAAACUUGAAAACUUCACAACACAAAACUUAAAGUAGAAAAUCUCCUGAGCUCCGUUAGCGAAAGAAAACAAAACACCACUUCAAGGUACUGUAAUGAACUCAUUCUUUAUUUAUAUUGGUGUUAAACCUACUGUAUUCCAACUUCUCUAUGGUUUAUAAACUAUUUUACUAGCCAUAUAUUCAUCAAAAUAAGCAAACAACACACGAAAAACAGAAUCUGUCAAAAACAGAACAGUCUGUAGUAAUCUGUAGCUAACGCAAGAUCUAGAACCCCAAAAAUUCUAAAAUAAAUUUGUGGACAUGAGGAAUUUAUCUAUUAAUCAUCUGAAAAAAGAAUUAACUAAAUAUCACUUUCCAAAUAAAAAUGGCAUCAAUCCUCGUGAGCGCUAAAGUUUCUGUUUUUUACAGCAAGAUUAAAAAGACUUUCCCCAAGUCUUCCCAACGGUUCUACUUGGCGCAAACACCAAUUAAACACAAAAAACACAACCAAAUCAGAGUCCAGAUAAAUUAUUUAUUACUAAACAGGAGCAAAAAGCAAAGAAUAAAAAUAAAAUUGGGUUGCCUCCCAACAAGCGCUAUCGUUUAACGCCCCUAGCUAGGCAUAAAAGUAAGGAUAGAUCUAGGUAUCUUUAGUUGGUAAUUCUUUAAUGAGACAUCUAUCACCUUUAGGAGUUUCUUUCCUUUUAUCAAUAUUCAAACUUCUAGGCACACGAUCGAAAAAAUCAUUAGUAGCAAAUGGUUCCUUAAUGAUAGCAAAAAGAUUAGGAUGAAUACUUAUAGAUUUGAGGUCCGCAGUUCCUUUUCUAGAGGAUUCACCCUUAUUUUUAGGAACACACAUAAACUUGGCAAUUUUAGUUGGAGGACUUGGAGUAUUCUUUACGGAAGAAAAAGCAGUUCCCAAGUUGGUGAUGAUACCCUCAAGUUUAUCGAUUCUAGUGGAAUCAUGAUUGAUUGUUUCAUUAACUAUAGGUUCCUUCUCUUUAAUAUUUUUCAAAGUUACUCCUACUUUAGAUCCAUAUUGGGUAAUUUGGUUCUGGAUCUUUUUAUCGAAAUUUUCAAUUAACUCAAUGGUAGCAACUUUAUUUUCAAUAAUUUCAAGUUUUUGCAUUACAUGCUCCAAAGUUAACAUAGUUCCAUUAACCAAAAGAGGGGGUGAGCCAAACAAAUCUAUCAUAGCAUUAUAGGAAUCGAAAGUGUGGCUACCCAAGAAAUUCCCUCCGGCAAUGGUAUCAAGGACAUAUUUGUGCCAAGGAAUAGCACCUACAUAAAAAUUGCGGAGAAGAAUAGAAGUAGAUUGCUUCCUGGUAGAUCUAUUUUGAGUAUUGCAAAUUCUAUACCAAGCGUCUUUUAGGUUUUCUCCUUCCCUUUGCUUAAAAUUAAGACCUUCAUUUUCGGGAGACAACGGAGAAGAUAGGGGACUAGCCAUAAUGACAAGCAAGCAAUCCAACACACAAGCGAACAAGAAACGGGCAAAAAGAGGCAAAUAGAGAAAGAGAGGCAGGAUGGAGAGAGAGGGCGAAUAAAAUGGCAAGGGUGAAGUGGGGGAGAGGAAAAUGAGAGACAAAUGGAAAAUAAUGUAAUGCUGGAGAUAAGGGUUUGUGAUGGGUACUUGGUAUGUCUUGACUUGCAACGGCGCCACAAGUGACUCGUUGUCGGGAGUCACAUCUUGACUUGUCUUGCGCGAACCUCCCCGGCAACGGCGCCAGAAAUCCUUCUUGCUACCUCUUGAGCACUGCGUUGGUUUUCCCUUGAAGAGGAAAGGGUGAUGCAGCAAAGUAGCGUAAGUAUUUCCCUCAGUUUUUGAGAACCAAGGUAUCAAUCCAGUAGGAGGCCGCGCACGAGUCCCUCGCACCUACACAAACAAAUAAAUCCUCGCAACCAAAGCGAUAAGGGGUUGUCAAUCCCUACACGGUCACUUACGAGAGUGAGAUCUGAUAGGAUAAUAUUUUUGGUAUUUUUAUGAUAAAGAGAAAUAAAAGAUGCAAGUAAAACAAAUGGCAAAGGAAAUAACUAAGUAUUGGAAGAUCAAUAUGAUGGAAGAUAGACCUGGGGGCCAUAGGUUUCACUCGUGGCUUCUCUCAAGAGCAUAAGUAUUUACGGUGGGUGAAAAAAAAUAUUUUUGAGCAAUUGACAGAAUUGAGCAUAGUUAUGAGAAUAUCUAGGUAUGAUCAUGUAUAUAGGCAUCACGUCCGAGACAAGUAGACCGACUCCUGCCUGCAUCUACUACUAUAACUCCACACAUCGACCGCUAUCCAGCAUGCAUCUAGAGUAUUAAGUUAAAGAGAACAGAGUAACGCUUUAAGCAAGAUGACAUGAUGUAGAGGGAUAAACUCAUGCAAUAUGAUAUAAACCCCAUCUUGUUAUCCUCGAUGGCAACAAUACAAUACGUGCCUUGCUGCCCCUACUGUCACUGGGAAAGGACACCGCAAGAUUGAACCCAAAGCUAAGCACUUCUCCCAUUGCAAGAAAGAUCAAUCUAGUAGGCCAAACCAAACUGAUAAUUCGAAGAGACUUGCAAAGAUAACAAAUCAUACAUAAAAGAAUUCAUAGAAGAUUCAAAUAUUGUUCAUAUAUAAACUUGAUCAUAAACCCACAAUUCAUCGGUCUCAACAAACACACCGCAAAAGAAGAUUACAUCAAAUAGAUCUCCACAAGAGAGGGCGAGAACUUUGUAUUGAGAUCAAAAGAGAGAGAAGAAGCCAUCUAGCUAAUAACUAUGGACCCGUAGGUCUGAAGUAAACUACUCACACUUCAUCGGAGGGGCUAUGGUGUUGAUGUAGAAGCCCUCUGUGAUCGAUGCCCCCUCCGGCGGAGCUCCAGAAAAGGCCCCAAGAUGGGAUCUCGUGGAUACAGAAAGUUACGGCGGUGGAAUUAGGGUUUUGGGUCCUUAUCUGGCAGUUUGGGGGUACGUAGGUAUAUAUAGGAGGAAGGAGUAUGUCGGUGGAGCAACAGGGGGCCCAUGAGGGUGGAGGGUGCGCCUAGGAGGGGGGGGGGUAGGCGCGCCCCUACCUCGUGCCUUCCUUGUUGAUUGCCUGAUGUAGGGUCCAAGUCCUCUGGAUCAUGUUCAUUCUGAAAAUCACGUUCCCGAAGGUUUCAUUCCGUUUGGACUCCGUUUGAUAUUCUUUUUCUGCGAAACCCUAAAAUAGGAAAAAAAAAC
This 99519-nucleotide long non-coding RNA is filed under the name Triticum aestivum (bread wheat). RNAcentral's name for it is "long non-coding RNA (TAES_LNC021082)". The record is from RNAcentral. Lineage: Eukaryota; Viridiplantae; Streptophyta; Magnoliopsida; Poales; Poaceae.